AUUUGUCCCUGAUGUGUGGCAACAAACCCUGGAAAGCCAAAUCGGCUAGUUGCCGAUCAUCCAGAACCAGGCUAUAGCACUUGUUCUUGACCUCCCGUAUCCUCUGCACAAAACUUUCAACCGAUUCAUCAUUGCGUUGCUUCAACUUGACCAAAUCGGUGAUCUUCUUCUCAUGGACCCCAGAAAAGAAGUACUUGUGGAAUUGUUUCUCUAGAUCGGCCCAAGUGAUCACUGAGUUGGGAGAUAAUGAUAUGAACCAGGUGAAAGCCGAUCCAGAUAAUGAUGACGAGAACAGGCGAACCCUUAACUCGUCCCUGUUAGCAGCUUCUCCGUAUUGGAUGAUGAACCUGUUGACAUGUUCCAUGGUCGACGUAUCAUCCUGCCCUGAAAACUAAGAAAAAUCUGGCACUUUGUACUGAUUUGGAAGCGGGAUUAAAUCAUACGCGGGAGGAUACGGCGUCCGAUAAGAGUAAGUGUUGACUUUGGGUUUUAUCCCAAAUUGGUCUCUCAUUACUUCAGCAAUCUUAUCGGCCCAAUAAGCAUCGGCAUCUUGCCGAUGAGGCGGCUGCGGAUCCGGCACCUGCUGGUAAGCUUCCACGUGUCUGUGCGGUGCACGAUCUGCAUGGAACAUCGGGUUGGUCAAUUGGCCGCCAACUUGCUGACCACCGAUCUGCUGACCGCCAAACUGUUGCCAGCCAAUCUGUUGUCCGCCGAUCUGCUGUCUGCUGAUCUGCUGCCCAAGAUUCAUUGGCUGGCUGGGCAAUCCCUGAUUCUGGAACCCAGGGUAGACCUGAUGACUCUGUUGGGGCGUUUGUGGAAAGACUUGCUGCCCAAGCCAUCCAUUAUUAGCGUUCAUCGGCAUAGGCCCUGCCGAUGACUGAUAAUUGGGUAUCAUCAUUGAAUUGACAUACCCUGGCUGAGUCGUAAACCUCUAUUGCGUCAGCAUUGAAUAUGCCGACGCGUUAGGCAUCUGGAACGUUGGAGCUUGAGAAUUCCCAGUGUAAGGCCUUACAGUAGUGGUUGUAGUAUACUCGGGACUCUGAUUCAUCGGCAUAUUUGGGGGUGCCGAUGCCAUAGGAGCCUUGCCUCUCACAUCAGUCGUCUGAGAUGUACCAGGUGUCGUCAACUCUGGAGGCAUACCAUAACCCCACCAGUUAGGAGGAGGAAUCGAUCCCAACAUCGCCGAUGCCAACAGAUCUGUAGCGAGCUUAAUCUGCCCAUCUGAAGUCGGUGGAUUAGUUGUCAUCGGCGUAGACUGUGCAUUGGUGACUCCUAACGUGCUUGGAGGAACAGGAAUUUCUGUGUCUGCAGCAGCCGUAGCAGCCGAUGGAGCUGAAACCACUGGUGAUCCUGGCUAAUGAUAGGCAGGGCCCGUAUAAUUUGGUGGCAAUUGUCCUUCUUUGAAAGUUCUAGCCACGGCAUUGAAAACUGUAUUGGACAACACACCAGCUUGAUUGAUCAAGGCACGGUUAAUAGCAUUAUCAACCAUGUCUUGAAGUUUACCAGGAUUAGCGUCGAAAGUGACCUGCCGAGGCGUCGGCAGUGCUUCCUUCUAGAUUACUUCGCCGCUCCUGUUGAUGCUGAAGGACUUCAAACAUUGCUGCUUGUAAUCCUCCAUAGCCUUUGCAAUAGCUUGCUUCUGCUCAUCCUUGAGAUUGGCUUCCAUCACAGGGAUGACGUUCUCUUGAUCGAAUUCGGUAGUCGACAUGUCGAUCUUGAUCUUGAAUCUGGUCCCACCGAGCGUGCCAAAAGAUGUGUUGAUGCAAAAGCUAGAUCUGCAAAUACAAAGGGCUAAUACCCGAUUUAAACGUUAAGGCGUGCCAGCCGAUUUGACCUUACUAUCGGCGAAGGUGAUAACUCGAAUACUUUGGUCCCGACAACAGCGAUGUGCCCGGAUGCCACGGCCAAGAGGUAUUCACGCGGUACUUGAGAAUACGUCGAGCUUAAGUCGACGAACUCCUAAGAACUCGUAGUAAAAAGGAAAAUAUGACGAAGUCGUCGAAAAGUAGAUGCUGGAAUAUGAGUAAAAACGUGUGUUUGAUUGAUUGAUAGAUAGAUAGAUUACAAGGCCCUAGGGUCUACAUUUAUACCCUGCUCAAAGAGCUACAACCAGACACGACUAGAAUUCGAAUUCCAAAUUUAAACAGAAUCCGUGUACAAAACAAUUUAAACAACUAAGGAAAACAUAAAACUAUCCUGCCGUGACAAGCUGGGACACCACCACGGACCAAGUGGCUGCCGUGACAAGCUGGGACACCACCACGGACCAAGUGGCAACCUCCAAGUCUUCCUUCCACGUCAUCGGCAGACUCCCCAUCGGCAACGAUCAAUACUGGCCAUCGGCAUCACCAUCCACGGACUUAGCCACAUUCAGCUAUCUCCUCAUCGGCAACUAUCCUUAUCGGCAACUCUCCUGCAGACCAGUCACUAUUACCCUUUCUUGCCGAUCUACAUUCUACCGAUCCUGGGUACGUGUCCAAAAAUGGUGUCAACACGUUGGUAUAACAAUCACUCUCCACUCCUUUACUUACUUGUAUACCUUGCUAGUUGUUUAGUUUGUUUAGUUUAGUCUUCUUGUUUAGGAGUGUAGCUAGCCUUCUCUUGUUGUUGUGUUUUAGUGUUUAGCCUUGUACUAGUUUGUAUAGGUGGCUUGCAUAGCUUUGUUGAGCUAGUGCUAGAAUUGCUUCACCAUUUGUUUUACUAACUCACUUUCUUAGUGAAGUUUGUAGAAAUUUUAAAUAGGCUAUUCACCCCCUCUAGCCAUUUGGACCUUUCAGUAACUAAAUCAGCCCACAUUAGCUUCUUCACAGGCUUUUGUCAUGAUACUGCUGAUUUUGAUGUUGUACCUAUGAGCUUGUUCAAUUUUAUUAGGAUGUUCAUGGGAAUUUGAUAUUGAUGCUUUACACCACGGUAGAACUAAUACAUACACUUUCAUGCAUAAGGACAAAAAAAUUACUUGAUGUCUUUGUCUCCUAUAGAAAUUAUUAAACAUGCUAAAGAGAUUAACAAUAAACAUCCGAUAAACAUUAAUAAAAAUAGUAGGAUUAAGUUACAAGGAGGUGCUUUUCUUGCUACAACUUCCGCUACUGCUGAGUUAUGUGAUAAUCUAGAUGUACCAUAUUAUACUAUGUUUUGUCACCGUAUUAUAUCUUGUGCAUUGCCUGUUGUCACUAACUUUUUGCAGGAGUUCGUUGAUGGGGAAGAGUCGAGAACGACUCCAAUUCUAGAAGGAGGGGAUGAUGAGGACAUCGCCAAGAUAGAGUCAAGGAUGACUCCAAUUCAAGAAGGGGAGGAUGAUGAGCACACCGCCACAUUGGACACGCCUACACCAUUGUCUUCUCCAAGUUGCAACUCAUCUCCAACUCGGCUACCACAUCACCCUCUGAUUCAGCCAAUAUAUUGUCAAUGUUUCAAUCAUAACUUCUUCAUACGACAUCAAAAUGGGGAGAUCUUAGACUUGUUGGAAAGGGGAUGAUGACGCCAUCAUUUUGGAUCUGGUCCCAGCUCCAGAUGGCCCAUGGAUUAAUCUAUGUGACCAUGACAAGGUGCUACGUCACCUGUUUUGGGCCAACUUGGCCAUGUAUCGAGUCGGCCCUUAAGCCCAAAGUUGUGGGCACCAUCCCUAGUCGCCUUCAACCCUAGGACACCUCUCUUUUAUAUUCGAUGCAGCCACUGCUAUUGAGACUUGAGUUUUAUUUAGAAUUUAAUUUUCCAUCGAGAAACUAAAUCAUUCAUUGUAACUGUGGUGACAAAUCCUUUUACAGCGAUCCAGGGCCCCCAUUCUUGAUCUCCUCCACUGUGUCGAUUAGUCCUUUGGAACCGAAUUAUUUGAACCCUCUAUUGAUAUUCACAUCAUUCAUAUUUGCAAUUUCAGAUUGCGUGUUUAAACCUUCUUGCUUGUGUUCUUCGAUUCUUUCACUUGUAGGAAAAGCUUUCUUGGUGAGGUCAAUCAAGUUAUGCUUGGUUGAUAACCAACGGAGCAGUGGUGUAACGGUUGCAGGGUUCGAAUCAUGUCUGAUUUGAAGCCGAAUCACCAAUGUCGAUAUCUCCAUAAAUCUAACUUACUAGUUACCUCUCGGAAGAUCAGGCAUGUACUCAUCACCUAGAACCCACAACAUCGAGCUUGAGCUUUAGUGAGAUUGAGAGUGUGGCAUUUCGACACCACUUAAUGGACUCCCCCACACAAAGCUUGGUCAGACUUCCCCACCUCAAAGCCCCCGACAAUGAUGAAACUCUUGACCACCACUUGUUGCCUUCUCGCAAGUUCUAGUUGUACUUCACAAGAUGUCCCUACUCGCUUCCAUACCACCACCAUAUCAGUCUAGCAACUCAACUGAUGAAGAGGAGCACUAUGAUGUUCUAUGUUAAAUGUGAGCUUGACUCAUUGUAAUGAAGUUAUAUAUGCCACAUGAUGUACUACUAAUAGAAAUAGAUAGUAUGUGUGUAUUUGCAAAAUAAACUCUUGUGCUUAAAUAUGGCACAUGAUGCACUACUAAUAGAAAUAAAUAGUAUGUGUGUAUUUGCAAAAUAAACUUUUGUGCAUGAAAUUCUUGUCCCUAGUAACACAUAGAAGCAUGUGCAUUGUGCACACUCAUGCAUGUAAUCUGUGACUAUGUGUAUGUAUGGUGUGACACUGAUAAUGUUAGUUUGGUGUUUAUUAUGUCCUAUGUGAAUCUUUAUACAUGAUGCAUUCUGUGUGGAACAUGUAAUCCAAUUAAGCAUGUUUAUUCUGAUUAUUUUGUGGUGGAUGCAUUAUUUCACCCCAUUGUAUUAAGUUUUGAUUAAUCCAUGUCUAGUGAAGAGGUCCACUAUGAAUAGGAUGGGUGACACCAGUGUAGUACAAGUAGGAAACUAGAACAAUGGUGGACCACCCCAAGCACCCAAUUGCCACAAGGUUGAAUGAUGGUGCAACAAAUGCUAGCGUGUGUUAAAGAAUCUUGAAUGGAUCACAAUGCCUAAAGGGAAGUGAAUAGGCAUAACUUGAAGCUUAAAAAGCUUUUGCAGCAGAUUAAAUCACGUGUAUCAGAAUUUUUGGUCCCAUUCAGAAUUUCCUAACUUGUCCAAAAAUUCUAGUGAGAACAAAAUUUUUGAAUCCUAGAGAGAAAUGAACUAGUUAUGGUUACAAAACAUAAAUUUGCUCAAAUACUAAAUUAAUUUCAUUACACAUGUAGAGAUGUAGUACAAAGGGAUUCCACAUUUUUGCUUCAUCCAUCACCUUCACAUAAUAAAGAUUGUGCCACCACAACAAAUAAACAAGAUAUGCAAAAAGAAAGUCAUAAGCACAUUGGGACACAAGAUUUAUUUGAGGUACGGCCACACCACAAAGUUGUACCUAGCAACAUCACCAUUGUUGAGAUGACAACAAAGGCCUUAGAGUCUCUUUCAACCCCCCCUCUUUCCCUAACGACCACAAAGAUCAAGCCAAAAAUAUCACUAGAACAAAUGGGUGAUACAAACUUCCCUAAACACCUCACAAUCAAGAGAUAAGGGUGUCAUCCGUCAACACCUAGCCACAUGGGGUUCCAAUAACCCAAGAGUAGUAGAACAAAAACCAAAUCACUGGUGGAUGUCACAAGUGCUUAAAUGGGUCUUACUCAUGAAGUCGCAAGAAACAAGCACAAAGAACUCACUCCAAUCUCACUCAUAAAGAUGGGGAUCUAAGCUUGAGUGAGAGACAAUGUGGGAGAGGGAGAAAGGUGAAGAGCUUUUUGUCUCAAAGUUAUUGAGAGCUUCAAAGUGGUCAAAAGAGAGAGAUAGAGGAAGAAGGAAAAGUGAAAUAAAUUCACUUCCACCUUGUGUUGACUGUGAAGAACAAGACGGGUGAGCUCCUUAUCUCUCAUAUCUAGGGUUAGCUCAAAUAUUGCAGGGUGGGCUCAAAAUAUUCGGUAAAUACUCCUCAAGCAACCCAUGCAGGCAUGGGUCAAAAUAUUCGAGCACCCAGUGAAAAGCAACGCAAGGCCGAGUUAGUUUGAGAUUGCUAUUUUGGGUUGUAUAAAGGUUUGAGUUAGUGAUCCGUCGAGCACUUAGGACACCUACAAUUGAUGAGACUUUGAUAUCUCUUAGUAUUACGACAUCAUAUACUCAAGUGAAGUUCAAAUAAAUUUGAAUUAAAAUCAAACUUCUUUCGCUUUGAAAUACAUUGUAGCAUCUUGCUUUGAAGUAAGAAUUGAGGGUCACAUGUAUCCUUUUGUACUUUGCACAUUAGUACAUAACUGAAAAUCUCAUGAAACAUUGUUAUCUCUUUAUAUGCAUCAUCAUCUAGUUAACUAAACCCACUAAUAGUAUUGAUGCACUUACAAAUCCUGAUGUAGUCAUGACUCAUGAGCAAUAUAUGGAGAGCAUGCUUGACUUGAUGCAAGCGAACCAAGGAGGUCGAGUUAAGGUGGUGCUUGUACCAUAAUGGUAUGGAACUUUUCACCAGACAUCACUGGAUCUGCACCAUUGAGUAGAAAUUUAGCUUCAUCCGAUGCACGAGGAAGGAUAGGGUCAACUAUGCAACACAUUAGUUGCAUGGUGCUACCAGUGCGUGGUUGCAAGACUAUCAUGCUCGCCUACCUGUCAGCACAAGGUUGACUUGGAGAGGAUUUAAGGAGGCCUUUCAUGCUUUCUUUGUCCCAUCCAAAGCUAUUGAAGUGAGGGCAAAUGAGUUUCACAAAAUCACCCAAGGUGGACACUCGGUAUUUGAGUAUGCCAUCCACUUCAACUACCUAUCUUAGUAUGUUCCCUUGGAAGUCGCUAAUGACGUGGUGAAGUGUCUCAAGUUCAAGAAUGGACUCUCUCUAAAGAUGCAAGAUAAGUUUUCCAUCACUCCCUACAAGCAAUUAGUAAGUAUUGUACUUAUUUGAAUGAUCAUCCCAUUUGGAUUUGGAUCUGACUAUGCACCCAUUAAAAGAUAACACAGAAAUAGAAAGUUCUAAGCAACAUUUUGCAAAAACUAUAUGGAUUUUUGGGACAACUAAGUGACUCCUUGAAAGUGAUUAUGUCUUAUUUUGUCAUGUUAACCUGUUGGAAGCUCUUAGUGAUAACAUUGAUGAUUCAUGCUGAUUUUAUUAUAUAUGCCCCUCAUAGUAAAGUACGUAGAAAUUAGUGGGUUCCAAAAUACACCUUAAUGUAAAUGUUGGAUAUAGCAAUUUGUAACCUUAUAGUUUUGCAUGUUAUAGGCUCAGGAACUCAAGAAGUGAGUGAAAUAUGAAGAUGUACAUCUCUUGUAUAGCUAUCCCAAACUUCUAGUUGCAAAGUAUAAGAUUUAGGUUAAGAGCCUAAGAAAGUUCUAGUAACUAAGUGAUGCUUCAUUAAAAUGUUUAGAUGGUUUACCUGAUCUAGAAAUUUAGGUUCCUUACUUAUGGUAACUAGAUUAGAUGUUUUCUAGGUUUGUGAUGUGUUAAACCAUGCCAUGAAAAUAUGAUUCUUCAUGGUGCAUGUCUGUUAUGUGAGUAGGGAAUUUGGUUCCUUAACCUUCUAGCUUUUGAAUCUUAUCCACAUUAGUGUUUCAUGGUUUGUUAACCUUGUAGUUUUAGGCCUUGUUUAGAUCCAAAAACUUUUUGGAUUUAAACACUGUAGCACUUUCGUUUGUAUUUGGUAAUUAUUAUCCAAUCAUGGACUAACUAGGUUCAAAAGGUUCGUCUCGCAAAUUACAGGCAAACUAUGCAAUUUUUUAUUUUUUUAUCUAUAUUUAGUGCUCCAUGCAUGUGCCGCAAGAUUCAAUGUGAUGGGAAAUCUUAAAAAGUUUUUGGAUUUUAGAUGGAAUUAAACAAGGUCUUAGUUGGAUAAACCCAAGUUGUAAUAGCGCACUUCAAUCUAUAGAUCUACUAUUAAUAACGUCAACAAUUUCGAAAACCACUUAUUGCUAGUACCAAGAGUCAACUAACACAACAUGACAAACAAUGUAUGACUUGUUGUCUUCAUUCUUAGCUAUUUCCUUUGCCUAAUCUUUGAGACCACCUAAAAAAUUCAUGUUGGAGGAAGGACACACCCUUCAUGCUUUACGAGUGCCUCAGUUAUUCCAUACCACAUAACCCCUCAUUGGCCUACACCAACUUGGAGGUGGGGUGAAUCAAAAAUAAAAAUACUUGGAGGUGGGGUUGCUUAUCAAGUGCCACGAACAGAAUGAUUUUUGUGGAUCGUGCCUUUCUUUUAUCAUUUUGCAAUGGGCGACGUGUGGUGAACCCUGUGUCUUCCUAUGCAGGGCCACAUGGUACACCUCAUGUGCUACAGCGAAUGAUAUUUGACAUUUGCAACUGUUUAUGUUACUUUCACAGUUAGACUAUGAAGAUAUAUUUUUAUGGAAAGAGAAGUGUCUUGCUGUAAAUAUAGUGUUGGUGUGGAACAACUUAUUCACCGGGGAGUAUAUAUGAUCAUCCCCUUUCCAUCAUUUCACAGGUUCAUAAAUUGUCAAUAAAGCUAUUCGAAAUGUUACAAACAUUCCUUUUUUUUCCUCGAGUUUAAACUGAUAGGACGAACGGAUCACAUUCAGUUAGCAUGGGCUUCCAUAGUAUUCGUAUCUUUCAAGCAAGAGGGUUAUCUGUUGACUUUCCAUUCUUUUUUUAGUUUCCCCCUUUUACAAAUCCAAUAUUGAUCUAUAUUUCUAAUCCAAAUCAUGGAUGUUAAACAGAUGCAGAUUCGCCAGUAGGAUCAAUCUUCUUUUCCUUAUUUCAAGUUCAGCAAUCAAAUAGUUUGUAAGUAGACACUAGUAUAUUAUGUUCCUUCUUGGAUAUGGGAACAUCAUCCGUCGCUAACUAAGAUGUCAAUGGUAGUUUGCUUUCAGAUUAUUAAGUGAUGCAGUAUCAUUACUAUGUUAUUAGCAGAGAAGCAUUUUUCACAUGAUUGAAACUCUCAUCACUAGUACAGGGAAGGGCUUUAGCCCCGGGCCGUAAGGGCCUUUAGUCCCGGCUACGGAACCGGGACUAAGGUUUCGAGACUAAAUGUCCCACCUUUAGUUCCGGUUCCGAGGACCAGGACUAAAGGUCCACCUUUAGUCCCGGUUGGUAACAGCAACCGGGACUAAAAGGUGCGCCAGGGUGUGCCACCUGGCCUUCACUUUUAGUCCCGGUUGUUGCUACCAACCGGGACUAAAGACUUUUUUCUUUUUUCUUUUUCUUUUCAUUUGGUUUUCCAUUUAGGGUUUACAAUUAUGUUAUUGUUAUUUUCGAAUGUGUAUUGUUUGCUGGUAGUUUAUGGAACGCGCACCUAUAAUUUAUAUAAUUUAAAGCAUUACAUAUAAAUAUACUAUAAAACACUAUAUAUAUAUAUAAUAUGUAUCUAUAGGUCCAUAAUAUAAUAUUUACACAUAUGCUUCACGGACAAAGUAUUUACAACACAAUUUAUCUCCGCCACUCAAGCAUCGUACAAAUGAUCAUCGUUAUUUGGUUUCAUUGGCUCCUCAGGGUUGAAGUAGCACUCGCCGCCGGGAUUCAGGACUUGGUCGUUAAGAAAUCCUGCGAUUGUCUCCUGAAUUGCUGUGGGGGUAUAAACCCCUAUACCCUCAUGGGUUGACAUGGGCCGCACCAUCAGAGGUGGCUCGGCCCACAAGAUGAAGACGUGCGGCGCACGAUGCUGGUCGACGUAUACCGCAAGGCUACAAGAUAUUGUACCAAAUAGGAUACUUUGCUUGUAACUCUCUCCCUUCAGGAUAUAUAAGGAGGGGCAGAGGAUACUUUGCUUGUAACUCUGUCCCUUCAAGAUAUAUAAGGAGGGGCAGAGGUCCCCUAGAGGACAGGUCAUAGACAACUUAUCUCGUCUCAACUGAACACAAUCCAAUACAAUCAGACGUAGGACGUAGGUAUUACGCCCACACGACGGCCAAACCUGGAUAAAAACCUUGUCUGUGUCUUGCGUCACCAUCAAGUUCGUAGCUUGCGCACCGUCUACCGAUAAACUACUACCGUGGGUAUACCCCAAGGUAGAGUGUCGACUAGCUUUCGUCGACAGUGGCGUUGCGUACACCUCUCCCGACGAACAAGAUGGCUAUCAUCCCUGACUUCGCGGCCGUAGCAGGCGACUUCACGUUCACCGUCAGCUUCAACAGCUUCACCGCCACGACCACGGAGGAGGCGUAGAUCCGAUGUACACCAAUCACUUCUUCAUCGAUGUCAGUCGCGACUCCAACUACGCUGGCUACGACUCGGACUACUCCAGCAACGUUUCCGACCACGCCGAUGUUGACGGUCCUUAAGUACUAAAAUUAACAAUCAAAUAAACAUGGAAAAGGAUCAAUCUGAAACAAACAUCUAGAAUUAGGGUUUUAUCUGAUAGAAUUCCACGAGCUUUGGUGUUUAUCUAUUUCUGCAGGGGGUUAUCAGAGAAUAUGGAGAGAAGGCCCACAUGUCAUGUUUACAACGAGAUAAUUACGUGCCGCGCAAUUUUCUUCAAUCUAGAAGACUCCAGAAGCCACUAGACCGAAGCGGAGGCAGAACGGGGCCAGAGGCAGGGCGCCCGCCCUCCUGCCCUAGGCGCCCGCCCCCACUGUGAGUCCAAUCAGGACUCUGUUUCGUGGGAGAUCUCCACCGACCUAAAGGAUCAAUCUAAACCAUACAAUCAAUAUCGGUUUGAUCCGACGGCUCAAAUUCACUUGAAGGGACUAUAAAACCAAGGCCUCUCCCCCCUGGAGAAGAGAGAAGAGAAGAAAUCAUUAUUCAGAGGUAGCCAUCAAAGUUAGGGUUUAGAGCUUCUCUCCCACAGAGAAUUAGAAUUAGCUACUCCCUAAUCCUUCAAGUUUAGAGGUUUGAUUAGAUAGCAAUUAGAGAAGUAGAGCACUACGCUCUAGAUUCGGAUCUUCGGUAAUAAAGAUUGGUAUUAUUCAUAUCUUUCUCUAAUUCUUUGUUCUAAUUGCAUUAUGUCUCUAAUUAUUAUGUUCUUAGUUUGUUCUAGUUCUAUAUUUGAUAUAGUUCUAAUUGAUAAUGAGUUUAUGUAUAAGUUUGCAAAGCGCUUAGCUCUUGACGCGAGGGAGUUAGGUGAUAGAUCACAUGUGAGCGUGGUGCUUAGAUGUUAUUUAUCUGCAAAUGUAUCCUAUUGGCCGGGUCGUGUGGUAGUUCGUGAUAGUGACAGCUUCGUUGAUUCUUAUAUAGUCCACCCUCCGUUGAUAGGACAGGCAGAACCGGUAUUGUGGAGUAAGUCGUGCGAUGCUCUGAUUUACUUUAUCAAUGUUCCUUAUACAUAAAUGAAGAGUCUUUUAUGCUAUAUAUGAUCUUGUAGAUAACUAGAGUAGAUUAUGACUUAGUAGUUAGUAGAUAACUUAGAAUCCAUUCUCUAGCUAAUCCGACAUCACCUACAUAUAUGAGGAGUAGUCUAUUUUCUAAUCGUUGUGUUAUUUAUCCCUUGAACUUAUAAUUCAUUAUCAUUAUCUUUAUGGUUUACCCCCUGCUAAAGUAAGUGACUGUGUGACGAGUUUCUCAUUAGUAAUCAUGUCUUGCAAGUUUAUCUCUAGUCUAUGCCUUGAUAGAUUUUGCCCUUAAUUUAAUUUCAUCCCUUUUGUUCUCUUGAGCAAAAUUAUAAAUAACGAUACCUGGAAUACUUAUCCUGGUGAAAUGCUACAAUGAGGUGUUUUAUCUGUGCGCUUGCGGAUAGAAUAGAUUAUUUUCUAGAGAGCCUUUACAUUUAUAAAUACCUUUGUACACUCUGGCACCAUGCUGGGGAUGACAACCUAGUAUCUAAGUGGUGUUAGCUAGUGUCAACAAGCAUUUCUGGCGCCGUUGCCGGGGAACUCAUAAGGGAAUCAUAAGGACCAAAAGGGUAAUAUAUAGGAACGGUAAGGGAAGCUAGUAAAUUAGUCAAGGUUAUUCAUAUAAAAUAUUAGACUAGACUAUAGAGAAAUAAUUGCAUAAAACAACUACUAAGUGAGAAAUCAUAACAAGGCACCUCUGCUUUGGCAGGUUCACCCUGUUGUUUUCUAUGUUUACAUUUUUUAUACAGGGUAUAUCAGGAUUGACUUUGGGUACAUUCAACUCUUCAUCAUGAGAACCAAAGCAAUCAAGAAAGAGAAGAAGAAGCUAGCUACCAAUUGCUGAAGCUAUGGCACAAAAGACCUUGCAAGAAUUCUCUGCUCCAAGCCUCGAGAACAUUCCAACUGGUCCAAGACUUGCAGUAGAAGAAGGAGUACCCGAGUUCGAGCUCAAGUCAAGCCUCAUCAAUUUGGUACAAGCUACACAAUUCAGUGGAAAGGCACAUGAAGAUGCUAGUGCACACUUGCAGAAUUUUUUAGAGAUUGGAAGCACAAUCCACAUCAACGGAGUUGACAAAGACGUCAUACUGCUUCGCCUUUUUCCAUUCUCACUAGAAGGAAAAGCGAGGAAGUGGUUCUACACUCAUCAAGAUAACAUCAACAACUGGACGAACUUGUCAGAUGCUUUUCUAUCAAAGUUUUUCCCUAUAGGCAAAACAACUGCCUUAAGAGGAAAUAUUGUUGUAACACCCAAAAACUUUACUUAUUUAAAAUAGAUAAAUUGAAUUUAAAUGAAUUUAUUUUGUGAGCAUUUUCACUAUAGGAAAAUAAAUAAAUUUGGAGAAAUUAAAAUUUGUUAUAAACUUAGAGAAAUGUUUAUGUUGCAUUCAUGCCGGAGCAUUUCUUUUGUGAUGAUUGAUUGGAAAACAAAGUGAUUCUUUUAUUUUCUUUUUCCUGCUCAAAAUCUCAAUUGGAAAAAAAUUAGUAUAUAAAAAAAAAGAAACUUCUCUUCCCCUUCCUCUUUUCGGCUUGGAGGCCCAGCAACCCCCCCCCCCCCCCCGCGCCCCAUCUCCUUCUUGGGCCGGCCCAGCUCCCUUCCCCCUCUCUCUCUCACCCGCUGACAGGCCGGGCCUGCCUGUCAGCUCCCUCUUCUCCCAACCGACGCCCCGCUCCUUCCUCUCGGUUGGAAACCGCCCGGGCCGAGCCCCGCGCCCACGAUCCCCCUCUCUCCCUUUUUCCCCGCGCCUCAGAAGCUUUUGAAGAGCCCCGCGCCCGAGCCCUGUUCUUUCUCCCCCAUUCCCCCUCCUCGCCUCCGUUUUCCUCUCAUCCUAGCGCAGAAAAGAAACUGCCGGAGCAGCAAGCGCCGCCGCGCGUCGUUCCUCCGUUUGGAGCCCUUUUGCCGCGUUUCGUCCCCUGGGUGAGCAUCGCCUCCUUCCUCGCUUCCUCCCGGUGCUCGUUUCGUUCCGUUUCUUGGUCGUUGGGGUCGGUUUCGGCGAACUCCGUCGAGCUCCAUGGCCGCCGGCCAUGGAGCGGGCCACGCGUGGUCUCCCCGGCCGCGCUAAGCUUGGAAUCGAGUUCGCUGCGACCUCCUCUCUCUCCCGGUAGUUUCGGUUCGCAAAACCAUGCCCCGUAGCGCCCUAUCGAAUUUCGCCGGCGAGCUUGGGUCGGCCAGCAAUGGCCGCCGCCGCGCCCUCCUUUCCCUCCGGCCAGGAGCGCCGCCCCUCUCUCUUUUCCCCCUUUCUCUAAUCUCGGCCGUCCGUUCGCGAUCUGACGGCCCUCAGCGCACCAUACCCCUUCGGGGGAAAAUUUGCUUAAAGAGCCCCUCCUAGAUUUCCUAAUUCGGCCGCAGUCCCUAGCGCCUUCGAGUAAAAUACGUUUUCUCUUUUAGAAAACGUAUUAUCCGUCGGUUAGGUCAAAAUACGCUUUCGGGAAAUUACAGAAUUGCCACUGAACUUGUUUUGGCCAUAAAAUAUUCGUUAUAGCUCCGAAUUGACCCGUUCAAAUUGCGUUAGGUUCGUAAUUAAAUUCUCUACAUGAUAGUACCACUGUUUCUAUAGUUUGCCACUUUUUAUUUUCAGGGUUAGGUUUAAUUAAUUAAUUGCCUAUAGGAAAUCGCCGAAAGGUCGUAACUUGGUCGUUUUAGCUCCGAUUUUCGUGAUCUUCGUAUCUAUGUGAUCGUAGCGAAUCGUAGGUUCUGUUUUUAAAUAUUUUAUUUCAUUUUUGAUCUGUUGGUGUACUGUUCUAAUUAAAUGAUUGUUUGCUUGUAUGAAUGAACCUGGAUGCGUGUUGUUGUGUGGUACCGAUCGAGCGCAGACGGUGACGUGUCCGUGGGUGAUCCAUUUUACUACGAGGAGCAGCAGGACCAGCAGCAGUUCCCCUUCACUGAAGGCAAGUAUAACAUGGGUUUCCCUUGUACACCUAUUCACUUAAUUAAUUACGCAUCUGCAUGUGUCUAAUUUGGUAACCCUAAGGACAUCCUAGCUACCUGACUAUAUAUUUAUGACACCUAUGGGUAGAAUGCAUGUGGGUAGCUUUGCUAGUGCUUUAAUUAAUUGAGAAUUUACUAUCACUCUGACUUUAAUGAAUAUGAUGAUAAAUGUUGGGAAAAAAGGCUAUGGUGCAAUUGACUUCGGUCGAGUUGACCUAGACCCUCCGUAAGGACUUCUCUGUAAGCGACAAUCCGGGACUUACAGUGCAACCGUGAUGGUUAUAUGGCUCUAACUUUAGCUCAGUAAUAGGAUCUCAUCUAGCUGGUUAGAGGUUACCCGAAAGGGCGCAAGAGGGGCUUGCCACUUUGGGUAUAGAACUGCUUCUGUUCCUAUGUGUAUAGCCGUGAUGGAAAUGUGCCAUAGGAAAGGGGGGUUCUCUAUAUCUGCCUGCCGAGGAAACCUCGCGGCCCUAGCUGGUUAGAAGUGGCCUAUGGAAGGCUUCAUAGUGUUCCCUGCCCGCUCACCUUGGCAGUGUUAGUGGGUCUUGCAAACCCCGGGAAUAUGGGUAACACGAUUUACGGGAAAAGUGCACACCUCUGCGCAGAGUUUGAUCAAACUGGUAUACUAGCCGUGCUCUCGGACAUGAGCGGCCUUGGACCCUUACGGAAUAGUUGGGUGUGGAUGGUUAGGGGAAAUAACUUAUGAAAAUCUGACGCAUGGAUCGUGAUGAUUAAUGUGGUUUAACCGUGAUGGUGAUGGUGUUAGCCGUGAAGGUUAACGGUGUUAUUAUCAUGUGCUCAUUUGGGCUAAUCGGGAGCUUAAGCAUAAUUGAUGAUUAAAUAGGAUUAAAACAUUGACCAAUUAAAAUGCUAACUGCAGUAGCCAGUGUCUGACCUUUUUGAGCCGCAUAAAAUCCUAUGUUAUGCCUGCGGAGUACGAGAUGUACUCACGCUUGUCUUUAUCUUUCCUUUUGGACAAAAUCCCGGAUGGGUAACAGAUGACAGCUUCUACGAGGAAUUUCCUGAGGACUUCUAGGUUGGCGAUCCUCCAGUCGGUCGUCCCUGUGUUGGAGUUACCUUUCAUAGCUAGUAUGAGUUCAUUUUCCGUUUGUCGCAGACUUUGAUAUAUUUGUGUUGUAAUAACGAUAUGUAAGACACUUGUGAUGAUACAUUUGUAAUUUGUCGACUUGUGUGCGCGACUAUUCCUGGGGCGCACAUGAGCUUAAUGUACUCAAAUUUAUCCUUAAAUUUGGGUUUGACAAAUUGGUAUCAGAGCAAGGCUGACUGUAGGACGCAAACCUAGGUAGAAACAGUCGAUUUUAGGGUUUUUAUUUUCGCUUUAUUUAUUUCACUGCUCACUUUACUUUUUUGUUAUUUUAUUAAAAGUUUAUACUCUUACUCACUGUUCUAUUUAUGUAAACAUAUUGAUUCUAAUUCUUAAAACAAAAUUUAUAGAUGCCUCGUCGCAGCGCAGCCGCGUACCGUGCCCUCUUCGUCGCCGCCCGUGCUCCGGCAGUUGCACCAGCUCCAGUAGCUGCACCUGCACCAGUACCAGCACCCGUACCUGAGCCCGAGGUCGUCGCCUCUGGUGGCAGCGAGGAGGAGGAGCCUAUGGACACGGGGUCCCCUACGCCUACACCUUCAGCUCCUACACCAGUGGCGGUACCGAUUCCGCAGGCUGCCGCUCCAGUUCCACCUGCGCCUGCACCACCUGCACCUGCACCACCUUCGCCUGCACCCCACGCGUCGACGGGUUCAGCACCGACGCCUCAGUACCCUUAGGUUGUUCCAGAGAUGGGAUGGACCUCCAGGAACAAGUUCAUGGAGGCGGACGAAGACGCUCACUACCACACUCUGCUCACGGGUGUGUUGGCGAGCUACUACCCGGAGUUUGCUGCCACCAUCCGCUACCUUUGUUCGGAGCACAAGCACCUGUUGGAGAACACCUACUGGAAGGCCGAGGUGAUCACCACAGCUCGGAACAACGUCGACAACUCGGACGAGGUGGAGUCCAUACACGAGAGCUGGGUUAGGCGUGCUUCCGCCUACGAGAGCAUGGAAGAUGCAGCUCAGGCCGCGUACUUUCACUACCAUGGCCGCCGUUUUGAGGCCAUGCAAGAGGAUAGGUACCGGUUCCUUCCCCGCAACGACCCAGAUGGCAAGACAUGGCACGUCCUGGCACCUCCUGCCGGCGACCCUACCCUGGAUACGACUGUGAGACACGUCAGUGUCAUUCAGGAGAUGAAUGGGGCACUGAGGCAGGAGCUGCGUGUUGCGCAGCAGGCGGGGAAGCGCCUCCAGCGUCAGGUGGAUGAGCUGCGUGGUCAGCUUGGACAGCCACCCAUCUACAAGAAGAAGCCCCGCAAGUUCGUUCUCCAAGAUAGAGCUCCUUAGAUUUUCCCAGUACUUUCUAGAUUGACGUUAGCACGAGUAUUUCAGUAAUGUGUGGCAUGUGAACGUUAGUGAGUUGCUGUUUGUGUUGAUGAACAUUUAUGAUUUGGAGUUUUGUUUGAUUGUGGAAACAUGUGGGCCUGUCCGCAUGUUUCUAAACCUUAAUCUUAGAAGUAAUGUUGUUUAAAUUCGAGGUUGGGUUACUUUAUCUUGUCUCAGUCAUGCUGUUUCUGGAGCAGUCUGUGAUGCUUAUUCAGUAUCUCAUUAUCGGUUCAGUCAAAAAUUACGAAAUUUUUAUGGUGAAAACUAUACUGCUAUAUCUUUCAUCUCCAACUGGAAUCACCUCAUUAUCUAUUCGGAUCUGUGAGAUAUGUCCGUUUUAAUCUGCUGUACCUGCGCAGACUGAGAACCAGAGCAGAACCUGAUAAAUCAAAAUUUUGAUUAUGUUACUGUUGGAAUCAGUAAAUGUGGUCUGAAUAAAGUUUGUAGAGAAUUUCUUAACAUUUCCAACGAUGUAUACCAUAUUCCUUUUUGGAUCUGUAGGUUCUGAGAUAAGCACGGAUUACUGACCUGCUGAGUUUGAAACUUGUCCAGAAAACUGCUAGACUUGUUUUUAUUCAUUAUAAGCGAUGAAUAAUUAUUUUUGGAAGAACACUAAAAGCCAUGAAUCUUUGUUGGAAGCAGAUGGACGCCGAAGGAGCAGCCGCUGGUCGUGGACGUGGCCGUGGCCGUGGUCGUGGCCGUGGACGUGGUGUACCUGAGAAUCCACCACCACCACCGCCGCCGAUGACUAUUGAGCAGCUUAUGGGUAUGCAAGCUAAUUUGAUGCAAGCCAUGAUGAACCGUAUGAACAAUGAACCAGUAGCAGCACCACCGCCGGUUCAAGUCCGUGACAAGCGAGGGGAGUUCUUGAAAGGACGCCCUCCGGUGUUCACCCAUGCCUCUGAUCCACUGGAGGCAGACGACUGGUUAAAAGCAGUCGAGAAGCAGCUGAACAUUGCCCAAUGCAGCGACCUGGAGAAAGUGCUGUACGCAUCAGGCCAGCUGCAAGGACCUGCACAGGAGUGGUGGGAGUCCUAUCAAUAUGGACGCCCGAACAAUGCUCCGCCAGUCACCUGGAAGGAGUUUACGGAAGGGUUCAGGUCCCAUCAUAUUCCGGAGGGCCUGAUAGAACUGAAAGCGGAAGAGUUCAGAUCUCUCAAGCAGGGAUCAAUGUCAGUCAGUGAGUAUCGUGACAAGUUUGCUCAACUGUCACGAUAUGCUCCAUAUGAGGUGGCCAGGGACUCUGACAAGCAACGUCUUUUCCUGAAGGCUCUGUAUGAUGGACUGCAGCUGCAGCUGAUGAGCAACACCUACCCUUGCUUCCAAGAAUUGGUGAACCGCGCUAUUGUCAUCGACAACAAGCGCAAGGAGAUGGAUGCAAAGAAGAGAAAGCUCCAGGGGCAGCCGUCGGGCAGCAACACUCGCCCACGUGCGUACCCUCAGCAGGGAUUCCCUCAGCGCAGUCAAGGGCCGCCGAAUCAGUGGAACCGUGGUCAGUUUCCUCAGCGUCCCCAGUACUACCAGCAGCACAAUCACCAAAACCAACAACGUCCCCAGCAACAGUAUGGCAACCAGAAUCAGCAACGCCCCCAGCAUCAGGUCAGCAAUCAGGCACCACGCCAAGGAGUGCCCAAUAAUGCUCCCGGCAAGAGUGCAGCACCCAGCGGCAAUCCCAAUGCCUGUUACCGCUGCGGAGAGGUGGGACACUAUGCCUACCAGUGCCCCAAGAAGCAGAAUCCACCAGCCCAGCAAAAUCAGAACAACAAUCAGAGGCCUGCUCGACCUCCGUUCUCUGGGAAAGUGAACCAUGUGUCCACUGACACAGCUCAGGAAGCACCUGAGGUUAUGAUGGGUACGUUCAACAUCAACUCCAUCCCCGCUACAGUACUGUUUGAUUCUGGUGCUUCACAUUCUUUUAUCUCCCAAGCUUUUGUUAGAGUGCAUAGCAUCCCACUUUGUGCACUGAAAAAUUCCAUGCUAGUAAAUUCACCGGGAGGCACCAUGCCAGCUAAUUACUGGAGCCCCUCCACUAGUAUAUCUCUAAGGGGGGUAGAUUUCAAGGUGAAACCUAUUGUGCUAAGAACCAUGGGAAUUGACCUCAUACUUGGUAUGGAUUGGAUGAAGCAGCAUGGGGCAGUAAUACAGUGUCAAGAGAGGGCUGUGGUGGUGACAUCACCAGGUGGGGAUAGAAUAAGUGUGGAUGUGGCAGUGCAGCCUCAGCCGACUGCUACAGUGAAUUAGUUGAGUGGUGGUAAUCAAGAAGACCAGGUGGUGGACGAGUUCCCCGAUGUUUUCCCGGAUGAGUUGCCAGGUAUGCCACCAGACCGAGACAUUGAAUUUCUUAUUGAGCUUUUACCUGGAACUGCACCCAUAGCAAAAAGACCAUAUAGAAUGGGGGUAAAUGAAUUAGAGGAACUUAAGAAACAGCUUAAGGAAUUGCAAGAAAAAGGGUUUAUUCGUCCUAGUUCUUCACCAUGGGGUGCACCAGUAAUCUUUGUUGAUAAGAAAGAUGGCACUAGGAGGAUGUGUGUGGAUUAUCGGUCAUUAAAUGAAGUCACUAUUAAAAACAAGUACCCAUUGCCUAGAAUAGAUGACUUAUUUGACCAACUGAAAGGAGCAUGUGUAUUCUCCAAAAUUGACCUUCGAUCUGGCUAUCACCAGUUGAAAAUCCGUGCAACUGACAUACCUAAGACAGCUUUUACCACAAGGUAUGGCUUGUAUGAGUAUACAGUCAUGUCAUUUGGGUUGACCAAUGCACCUGCAUACUUCAUGUAUAUGAUGAACAAGGUGUUCCUGGAGUAUUUGGAUAAGUUCGUGGUAGUAUUCAUUGAUGAUAUAUUAAUCUUCUCCAAAACAAAAGAAGAACAUGCUGAACAUUUGAGGCUGGUCUUGCAAAAGCUUAGAGAGAAUAAAUUGUAUGCCAAGAAAAGCAAGUGUGAGUUUUGGUUGGAUGAGGUCUCAUUUUUGGGACAUGUGGUCUCUAACGGUGGAAUAGUCGUAGACCCCAGUAAAGUGCAGGAUGUGCUAAAUUGGAAGCCUCCAACCAAUGCUAGUGAGAUCCGUAGCUUUUUGGGACUAGCUGGUUAUUAUAGGAGAUUUAUUGAAGGCUUCUCUAAGUUAGCAAAGCCCAUGACAGCCCUACUAGAGAAGAGUGCCAAAUUUAUUUGGUCAGAUAAGUGUCAAGAAAAUUUUGAGGAGCUAAAGAAAAGGUUGACCACAGCCCCCGUGUUGACCUUACCAGAUCUGAGCAAAACCUUCUCUAUUUAUUGCGAUGCAUCUCGCCUAGGCCUUGGCUGUGUGCUUAUACAAGAAGGAAGAGUAGUGGCGUACGCAUCCAGGCAGUUGAGAAAACAUGAGCUGAACUAUCCUACUCAUGAUUUGGAGCUAGCUGCCGUGGUUCAUGCUCUGAAGAUUUGGAGGCAUUAUCUAAUUGGACAUAAGUGUGAUAUUUAUACGGAUCACAAAAGUUUGAAGUAUAUUUUCACACAGUCAGAUCUGAACCUAAGGCAAUGCCGCUGGCUAGAAUUAAUAAAGGAUUAUGACCUGGAAGUGCAUUACCAUCCCGGGAAGGCAAACGUUGUUGCCGAUGCACUUAGCCGAAAGAGUUAUGCUAAUGGGCUGCAAUUGACCUUCAUUCCCACAGAGUUGCUAGCUGAAAUAGAGCAUCUCAAUUUGGGUUUAGUGAACAACACUGUUGAAUUGGAGUUAGAGCCCACCCUAGAGCAAGAAAUCCGCAAAGGUCAGUUGGAAGAUGAGAAAUUAAAAGAAAUUUCAGAGAAUGUAGUGCUUGGAAAAGCACCGGGUUUCAAGUUAGAUGAAAAUGGUACACUAUGGUUUGGGAAGAGAAUAUGUGUGCCAGAAGUGAAAUCCAUCCGAGAUGCAAUCCUGCGUGAAGCACAUGACUCUGCAUAUUCAAUUCACCCCGGAAGCACCAAGAUGUAUCUAGAUCUUAAAGAAAACUAUUGGUGGUAUGGAUUAAAGAGAGAUGUGGCAGAGUAUGUAGCGUUAUGUGAUACUUGUCAGAGGGUGAAAGCCGAGCACCAAAGACCUGCAGGGUUGUUGUAGCCAAUGCAAGUGCCCGAAUGGAAAUGGGAAGAAGUAGGUAUGGAUUUCAUCACUGGAUUGCCCCGCACCCAGCGUGGGUAUGAUUCAAUUUGGGUAAUAGUGGAUCGACUCACUAAAGUUGCUCACUUUUUGCCCGUUAAGACCAACUAUGAUGGUGCAAAGUUGGCAAAGUUAUAUAUGGAUAGAAUCGUGAGUCUGCACGGAGUUCCGAAGAAGAUCGUGUCUGAUCGGGGCACACAAUUCACAUCUCAGUUUUGGCAUAAAGUACAUGAAUCAUUGGGAACAAAGUUGAACUUUAGUUCCGCGUAUCAUCCCCAAACUGAUGGGCAGACCGAAAGAGUAAAUCAGAUUCUAGAAGACAUGUUGAGAGCGUGUGCGUUACAGUAUGGUACCAGUUGGGACACUAGUUUACCAUAUGCUGAAUUUUCAUAUAAUAAUAGUUACCAGAAAAGUCUUGAUAUGGCACCGUUUGAAGCAUUGUAUGGGCGGAAAUGUAGAACACCUCUGUUUUGGAAUCAGACUGGUGAGAGUCAAGUAUUUGGACCUGAUGUUCUUAGAGAUGCAGAGGAAAAAGUGCGGAAAAUACGGGACAAUUUGAAAGUAGCCCAGUCUCGGCAAAAGAGUUAUGCUGAUACUAGAAGAAGGGAUUUGGCAUUCGAGAUAGGCGACUAUGUGUACUUGAAGGUGUCACCUAUGAGAAGUGUCAGGAGAUUUAAUAUGAAGGGAAAAUUGGCACCAAGGUACGUUGGACCGUUCAGAAUUCUUAGGAGACGUGGAGAAGUGGCCUAUCAGUUAGAGUUGCCUGCGAGUAUGUCGGGUAUUCACGAUGUGUUCCAUGUGUCGCAACUGAAGAAAUGUUUGCGAGUGCCUGAGGAACAAAUUCCAUUGGAGGAACUCACAGUUGAAGGAGAUCUAACUUAUGAGGAAUAUCCAAUCAAGAUCGUAGAAACAGCGGAAAGAGUCACCCGGAGUCGGGUCAUAAAGAUGUGCAAAGUGCAGUGGCACCGAUAUAAAGAAGAAGAAGCCACUUGGGAAAGAGAAGAUGAGCUGAGACAAUCUUAUCCGUAUCUCUUUGAGUAAGCACCGUCUCAAUCUCGAGGACGAGAUUAUCUUUAGGGGGGUAGAAUUGUAACACCCAAAAACUUUACUUAUUUAAAAUAGAUGAAUUGAAUUUAAAUGAAUUUAUUUUGUGAGCAUUUUCACUAUAGGAAAAUAAAUAAAUUUGGAGAAAUUAAAAUUUGUUAUAAACUUAGAGAAAUGUUUAUGUUGCAUUCAUGCCGGAGCAUUUCUUUUGUGAUGAUUGAUUGGAAAACAAAGUGAUUCUUUUAUUUUCUUUUUCCUGCUCAAAAUCUCAAUUGGAAAAAAAUUAGUAUAUAAAAAAAAAAGAAACUUCUCUUCCCCUUCCUCUUUUCGGCUUGGAGGCCCAGCAACCCCCCCCCCCCCCCCCCGCGCGCCCCAUCUCCUUCUUGGGCCGGCCCAGAUCCCUUCCCCCUCUCUCUCUCACCCGCUGACAGGCCGGGCCCGCCUGUCAGCUCCCUCUUCUCCCAACCGACGCCCCGCUCCUUCCUCUCGGUUGGAAACCGCCCGGGCCGAGCACCGCGCCCACGAUCCCCCUCUCUCCCUUUUUCCCCGCGCCUCGGAAGCUUUUGAAGAGCCCCGCGCCCGAGCCCUGUUCUUUCUCCCCCAUUCCCCCUCCUCGCCUCCGUUUUCCUCUCAUCCUAGCGCAGAAAAGAAACUGCCGGAGCAGCAAGCGCCGCCGCGCGUCGUUCCUCCGUUUGGAGCCCUUUUGCCGCGUUUCGUCCCCUGGGUGAGCAUCGCCUCCUUCCUCGCUUCCUCCCGGUGCUCGUUUCGUUCCGUUUCUUGGUCGUUGGGGUCGGUUUCGGCGAACUCCGUCGAGCUCCAUGGCCGCCGGCCAUGGAGCGGGCCACGCGUGGUCUCCCCGGCCGCGCUAAGCUUGGAAUCGAGUUCGCUGCGACCUCCUCUCUCUCCCGGUAGUUUCGGUUCGCAAAACCAUGCCCCGUAGCGCCCUAUCGAAUUUCGCCGGCGAGCUUGGGUCGGCCAGCAAUGGCCGCCGCCGCGCCCUCCUUUCCCUCCGGCCAGGAGCGCCGCCCCUCUCUCUCUUUUCCCCCUUUCUCUAAUCUCGGCCGUCCGUUCGCGAUCUGACGGCCCUCAGCGCACCAUACCCCUUCGGGGGAAAAUUUGCUUAAAGAGCCCCUCCCAGAUUUCCUAAUUCGGCCGCAGUCCCUAGCGCCUUCGAGUAAAAUACGUUUUCUCUUUUAGAAAACGUAUUAUCCGUCGGUUAGGUCAAAAUACGCUUUCGGGAAAUUACAGAAUUGCCACUGAACUUGUUUUGGCCAUAAAAUAUUCGUUAUAGCUCCGAAUUGACCCGUUCAAAUUGCGUUAGGUUCGUAAUUAAAUUCUCUACAUGAUAGUACCACUGUUUCUAUAGUUUGCCACUUUUUAUUUUCAGGGUUAGGUUUAAUUAAUUAAUUGCCUAUAGGAAAUCGCCGAAAGGUCGUAACUUGGUCGUUUUAGCUCCGAUUUUCGUGAUCUUCGUAUCUAUGUGAUCGUAGCGAAUCGUAGGUUCUGUUUUUAAAUAUUUUAUUUCAUUUUUGAUCUGUUGGUGUACUGUUCUAAUUAAAUGAUUGUUUGCUUGUAUGAAUGAACCUGGAUGCGUGUUGUUGUGUGGUACCGAUCGAGCGCAGACGGUGACGUGUCCGUGGGUGAUCCAUUUUACUACGAGGAGCAGCAGGACCAGCAGCAGUUCCCCUUCACUGAAGGCAAGUAUAACAUGGGUUUCCCUUGUACACCUAUUCACUUAAUUAAUUACGCAUCUGCAUGUGUCUAAUUUGGUAACCCUAAGGACAUCCUAGCUACCUGACUAUAUAUUUAUGACACCUAUGGGUAGAAUGCAUGUGGGUAGCUUUGCUAGUGCUUUAAUUAAUUGAGAAUUUACUAUCACUCUGACUUUAAUGAAUAUGAUGAUAAAUGUUGGGAAAAAGGGCUAUGGUGCAAUUGACUUCGGUCGAGUUGACCUAGACCCUCCGUAAGGACUUCUCUGUAAGCGACAAUCCGGGACUUACAGUGCAACCGUGAUGGUUAUAUGGCUCUAACUUUAGCUCAGUAAUAGGAUCUCAUCUAGCUGGUUAGAGGUUACCCGAAAGGGCGCAAGAGGGGCUUGCCACUUUGGGUAUAGAACUGCUUUUGUUCCUAUGUGUAUAGCCGUGAUGGAAAUGUGCCAUAGGAAAGGGGGGUUCUCUAUAUCUGCCUGCCGAGGAAACCUCGCGGCCCUAGCUGGUUAGAAGUGGCCUAUGGAAGGCUUCAUAGUGUUCCCUGCCCGCUCACCUUGGCAGUGUUAGUGGGUCUUGCAAACCCCGGGAAUAUGGGUAACACGAUUUACGGGAAAAGUGCACACCUCUGCGCAGAGUUUGAUCAAACUGGUAUACUAGCCGUGCUCUCGGACAUGAGCGGCCUUGGACCCUUACAGAAUAGUUGGGUGUGGAUGGUUAUGGGAAAUAACUUAUGAAAAUCUGACGCAUGGAUCGUGAUGAUUAAUGUGGUUUAACCGUGAUGGUGAUGGUGUUAGCCGUGAAGGUUAACGGUGUUAUUAUCAUGUGCUCAUUUGGGCUAAUCGGGAGCUUAAGCAUAAUUGAUGAUUAAAUAGGAUUAAAACAUUGACCAAUUAAAAUGCUAACUGCAGUAGCCAGUGUCUGACCUUUUUGAGCCGCAUAAAAUCCUAUGUUAUGCCUGCGGAGUACGAGAUGUACUCACGCUUGUCUUUAUCUUUCUUUUUGGACAAAAUCCCGGAUGGGUAACAGAUGACAUCUUCUACGAGGAAUUUCCUGAGGACUUCUAGGUUGGCGAUCCCCCAGUCGGUCGUCCCUGUGUUGGAGUUACCUUUCAUAGCUAGUAUGAGUUCUUUUUCCGUUUGUCGCAGACUUUGAUAUAUUUGUGUUGUAAUAACGAUAUGUAAGACACUUGUGAUGAUACAUUUGUAAUUUGUCGACUUGUGUGCGCGACUAUUCCUGGGGCGCACAUGAGCUUAAUGUACUCAAAUUUAUCCUUAAAUUUGGGUUUGACAAUUGUCAGUUUCCAACACCAGAAGACAGAAGCCAUUUUAGAAGCAUGGGAGCGUUUUCAAGGAUACAUAUCAGAUUGUCCUUACCAUGGAAUGGCCACAUGGUUACUUAUGCAGACCUUCUACCAUGGAUUAACCCAGAAGGCUCGUGAGUGCCUAGAUGCAUCUGCUAAAGGAUCAUUCUUAGAGCUUACAACUGCAAAAGCAAAGAUACUUUUGGAUAAGAUAGCAGAAAAUCAAAGCUGGUUCCAAGAUAAAGCUCAACAAUGUCAUCAAACUGAAGAAAUACCAGAAGAAGUAAAAGCAUUAUCAACUAAGAUGGAAAAUUUGCUCCAUUGGAUUGACCAGAGGGCCAAGUUCAAAGAAGAUCAAAGGGUCAUUGAGACAACAUACAAAUAUCAACCAACUUCGAGUCAACCCAAUAGCAAAGGUAUGAAUUCAGGUAAUACUUUCAAACAACUUUCAUUAAAAGAGAUAAUUGCUCAACAAACUAAAACUAAUGAUGAAGUUAAACAAAGGCUAGAUACAAAUAAAUCAUCUCUAAAAGAUAUACACAAUAAAAUGAAUUUUCUACUAACUGCCUUUGAUGAGCAAAACACUCUCAAUAAAAGGGUAGAGCUUAAAUUAAUAAAGUUAGCUGCUGCACUGCCUGUUGCUACUAACAUUGAGCAGGUAAAGAAUAUAACUACUAGAGGAGGCAAAGCCACCAGAGAUCCCCCAUACCCAAAAGAGAAACAAAGAACAUCAGCACCAGUGCAACCAGCAGUGAUAGAAGAAGAAAGCCCAGUUGAAGCAGAAGAUCUGCUCCAACCACCAAGAACUGGAGAAAUGAGGAAAGAUUUUUACGACACCAACUAUUUGCCAUUUCCGAGAAGAAACAGAGGACUGUAGUCGGAUGAGCAGUUUGGUAAGUUUGUAGAGGUAAUUCAGAAAUUAUAUGUCAACAUACCUCUGCUGGAUGCCAUACAGGUACCUACAUAUGCGAAGUACAUCAGAGAUAUUCUUAACAAGAAGAGACCACUGCCCACCACUGAGGUUAUCAAGCUGACAGAAGAAUGUAGUGCAGCCAUCCUCAACAAAACACCAAAGAAGAAGGAAGAUCCAGGAUGCCCCACUAUUGAUUGCUCGAUCGGAAACCAACACUUCAACAAUGCACUUUGUGAUCUCGGAGCAAGUGUCAGUGUGAUGCCAGCAUCAGUCUACAAAAAGCUUGAGCAUGCGACCCUAGAACCAACAUCAAUGUGCCUACAACUAGCGGAUCAAUCGGUUCGACAUCCGUUGGGUAUCGCCGAAAACAUUCCAGUCAAGAUCAGAGAUUUCCUUGUGCUAGUAGACUUCGUAGUAUUGGACAUGAGUCCUGACUCAAAAGUGUCCAUCAUCCUUAGAAGGCCAUUUCUGAGCACUGCCAAUGCCCACAUUGAUGUCGGGAAAGGAAAAAUCAAGUUCAACAUAAACGGACAAGAAGAACACUUCACAUUCAAACCAGACCAGAGAGAGACUCUACAGUGAAGGAAGUUCAUGAAGAACCACUGGAGACACCAUCUCCUGAGGAAGGUAAUUCAGAAGAUUAAAAGAUUUGGAGGUCCAGCUUGGGGGACCUAAAAAUCCCAAACCCUCACCGGGAGGUAAAUCGGUAUUUAUCCGCAUUAUUAAUUUUCUCAUAUUUAAAUUCUUGCAUAACUAAUUCUUGCAUUUAUUCAUAGCAUUAUUAUAAUAAUCAAAAGCCCCAUAUAAAUAAUAUUCAUGGUGCGUAACAACCCAUAUUUAUUAAUUAUUGUGGAGGCACAAAAAUAUUUUCCAUAAUCAUCUUAAUUAAGUUUCAAUUCUCAUAGAUUUUCCUGCAUUAUAUUUAAUUAUAGUAACCUUCUAGAAGCAUGACCCACACUCCUUGGGUCCCACAUGUCAUACACCACACCUCACAUACAUCCUAUCACAUAAUUUCAUCCACCAAUAUGUUUCCACUCACCAGACAUCUUUCCACCAUCCAACCACCACCAACACAAUAUUAUUCUGCGUGAGAUCAAAGCAAGGAAGCAAGUAGAGGAGGCACACCUAGGAUGGGCACCAGGGGUGGGCGCCCGCCCACCUACCCAGGGCGCCCGCCUUGUUCCCUGCUCAGCCUAUAAACAGCCACCUCCAGCUCCCCUUCUCUUCACACACACAUUUUAGAAAACCUUGCAAGCUCGUAGUUCUCGGUUUCCAGAGAAUAGCUCUGAGUGUGAGAAGGUUGAGAGUUCUUUUGAGUGAGAGAGUGAGUAUCACCUAGUAAGUAGUGAUCCCGUUGUCUAAGCGGAAAUAAAAGUUGUUUAGCGGGAGGCUCUACCAAAAUAGAAACUUGUCUUGAACGAUUAACCCCUGGACUACUGAUAUUCCGGACAGCUGACCGCUAACAUUUUCUCUCACAUUUUCCACUAGUUGUGUUUUUGCCAACUUUUGUUUGCAGGAUGUUUAAGAAGGUGAAGAAUGCAGGGAAGGCUCUCAAGAACAUUGGUACAAGAAGUUCAUCCCGACACUCCUCACACCCGUCAGAGAUGAGCGUCGACCCAACGCCCACACAAGCUCCGUCAUCUUCAUCUAAUCAGCAAGUCAAGGUCCUUCUCAAGAUAGGAGACCUUGGACUAAAGACCCGAAGAGAGAAAGAAGUCUAUCAGCAACUGAAGAACAAAGAUUUUAUUCACACCCCUACUCUUGAUCCAAUCCUACUACAAGAAACAGGUAUGGACACUGAAUUCGACUUAAUUUUUCAGAUGAUAGGUUGGACAAAUUUUUGGAAUAUAACUGAGCUGGGUUCUCGUCUUCUCACCCUCGAAUUUCUUUGCACCUUACAAUAUUAUGAGGGAGGAAUUGUUUUUCGGAUGUUCAAACAGGAGAUUAUGUUGUCUUGGAGAGAGCUGAGCGACCAUCUUGGUUUCUCUUCAAGAUGCAUCCUGAACAUUGACUCCGAUCUACCUAAUUUUGAGAGACACCAGUUUUGGAGAGAAAUAUCUAGAGAUAAUUUUUAUAGUCAAGCCCGAACCAGUGACAUGAAACACCCCACUCUUAGGAUGUUCCACAAAUGGCUUGGGUACAAUCUUUUCUAUCGUGAUGAUAUUAGGAAAGUAAGAGUAGGAGAUUUACAACUUUUAUAUGCUGGUAUUAAUAAAGUACCCACUUCACCUGUUACACUAUUAGCUUCUCAUUGGCUUAGUGUACCUAGUCUUCAGGGACCAGUAGGAUGUACUUCACUUAUCACUCGUCUAGCCUUUAAUCUUCACUUACUAGAAAACUCAUCGUUGGACUUCAUAGAUGAGUUAAGAAUUUAUCAUGGCUAUGACACAUUUAGACAAGCUCGGAUGCUAAAGAAAGAGGGGAAUAUAAUAUAUAUGUUAAAUGAUGAUAGAGGCAAGAUUCGGUUACCUAACCCGAACCUUGGCCUCUACGUUGUUCAAAACUUUUUGAUUGAGAUUGCAGCAACACCAGUGAACCAGAGAGCUCCACAACGAGUGGCAUCUGAAAGGAUGACCACCCAUCGAGAACGCACCUGGUAUGGAGCUGAUCCCGGGCCAGAAGAAGCAGCGCACCUGCAUUAUUGCGAUUACAACCCCCGAGUCCUUCGAGACCCAUGGGUUCGACAUGCGCAACCACAAGAGCCAACAGAGGAGACAUGGCCGGAGAGCCAAGAUCAUCAGUGGACUAACCCACCUUUUCAUACGGGCAGGUACUCCACUGAUCCAUAUGGAGCUUCAGGAUCCAGACCUCCGCCCCAAUUUGAUGCAGGACGAUACUCCGACGCCUCCUACGCUUUCACGAAUGACUACUAUCAAGAGGCCGGUGCUUUCUCCACUCGUACCGACAACACUCUCCUCGACAUCCAGAACACGCAAGCAGAACAUGGAAGACUCCUGGAAGAGCAAUAAAAAUGGAACCAGGACCAUACCGCUGCAGUACAAGAGCUGAGACAAGAUACAACAACAAUGAACGACAACAUCACAACCAUGAUGCGGUUCUGGAACAUCGGGUAAGACCGACAGUAACAUCCAGCUUGGGGGAGUUCCUCCCCAAUUUAUCAAGUAAGUUUUUAUUUGCACUUCUUAUUUAUUCUUUUCUAUUUUAGUAUUUUAUCUUAAAAGAAAAACUUAGAAAACCCAAUAAAUAUUUUCUUGCUUUAAUUUACUGUAUUUUAUAAACAUGAAAACAAAAUAAAAAGAGUGUGUAGAUAAGUGUGCUUUAUUUAUCUGCUAAAUAUUAAUCUCUAGAAAAAAUAAAAAGACCAAAAAAAAUGCAUGAUGGAAAUGAUGAACAGUUGCUCUGUUUACUUACAAGUACCUAGCUUUUAUAUUAGAGUUCUUCCAGGAAUUACUAAAACUAGAAUUACUAUUUUUUUAGAACAUAAAACUAAAGUCUAGGUAAGAGAAAGGCAUGAUAUAAAGUUGAGCUGCUGUUUAUCUUGUUCCUACUACACUAAGAUUCUGGAGAUUUAUUUUGAAAACUUACAAAGCACAUGAUGAGUUCCUAGCAUAACAAACUACCUACCACAGCCAUACUUGCUAUAACAUCUUUUACUAUAUUUACAUUGAGUUUAAUCGAGAUGUGUAGACCCUUAGGAGCUUUUCAUGUGGUUAAAUUAAGAUAUUCACUUGCACACAUCUACUACACCAUCCAUCACCAUUUAUUAAAAUUGCUAAAAAUAUUAUCACUCACUGUCCCAAAUAUUGUUAUUCUCUCUCUCUAAAAAAAGAUUCAAUGCAGAAGAGGCAUGGGUUAUACAAAAAUAUGCGAGGAAAUAAAAAGGGGCAAGUGCCCGGAACCUCGAAAAAGAAAGAAAAAGAGUGAGACGAGAGGUAAAAAUGGACAAGUGUCCGGAGUAGAAUUAGGGGUACAAAGAUGCCCACUUGAGCGGAAAAAAUGGACAAGUGUCCGACAGUAGAAUUAGAAAAGAGAGAAAAGAAAAAGAUAACCCAUGUUCUCCCAAAGCAGAGAUCAAAGAAGAGGAGAGAUAGCAACAUGAGGAGCAAUGAGAAGUAAGUUUUAUUAUCACCAUCACUACCAUUUACUCCACCACACAUGCACAUCUUGAUUUAAUUAUAUGCUGAGUUCCUUUGGAUCCAUGGCUCGAUUAGACAACAUAUGUAUGAGCUGUUUUUCACUCCUAUGAGCUCUACUUAAAUAUUCCAUUAGCUAUAGGUAAGUGACAUUAUGGUAAGGAUCCACAAAUACUACAUAUAGAGAGACUUGAGAGAAUCAUUGCUGGGAACUCUGAGUUUUAUUUUGAAAACUUAUGAAAAACUCUGGAACAAAGGUGAAGUAUAGACAGGAGGAAUAGUGCUUGACUCAAUUAUUUUAUCUUUCAAUUACUUAAGACUUAAGUACAGGUACUAAGCUCCAUAACACUUCACUCUAAUCUGGAAGAAUUUUUAUGUAAAAGCAUGUGUCCUUGUCAGGAAAGAAAACAUCGAAGUAACUCCUGAUCCGUCUGAGUUUAACUAUUUGCUCAGGGACGAGCAAAGGGUAAGCUUGGGGGAGUUUGUUGACGGUCCUUAAGUACUAAAAUUAACAAUCAAAUAAACAUGGAAAAGGAUCAAUCUGAAACAAACAUCUAGAAUUAGGGUUUUAUCUGACAGAAUUCCAUGAGCUUUGGUGUUUAUCUAUUUCUGCAGGGGGUUAUCAGAGAAUAUAGAGAGAAGGCCCACAUGUCAUGUUUACAACGAGAUAAUUAUGUGCCGCGCAAUUUUCUUCAAUCUAGAAGACUCCAGAAGCCACGAGACCGAAGCGGAGGCAAAACGGGGCUAGAGGCAGGGCGCCCGCCCUCCUACCCUGGGCGCCCGCCCCCUCUGUGAGUCCAAUCAAGACUCUGUUUCGUAGGAGAUCUCCACCGACCUAAAGGAUCAAUCUAAACCAUACAAUUAAUGUCGGUUUGAUUCGACGGCUCAAAUUCACUUGAAGGGACUAUAAAACCAAGGCCUCUCCCCCCGGAGAAGAGAGAAGAGAAGAAAUCAUUAUUCAGAGGUAGCCAUCAAAGUUAGGGUUUAGAGCUUCUCUCCCACAGAGAAUUAGAAUUAGCUACUCCCUAAUCCUUCAAGUUUAGAGGUUUGAUUAGAUAGCAAUUAAAGAAGUAGAGCACUACGCUCUAGAUUCGGAUCUUCAGUAAUAAAGAUUAGUAUUAUUCAUAUCUUUCUCUAAUUCUUUGUUCUAAUUGCAUUAUGUCUCUAAUUAUUAUGUUCUUAGUUUGUUCUAGUUCUGUAUUUGAUAUAGUUCUAAUUGAUAAUGAGUUUAUGUAUAAGUUUGCAAAGCGCUUAGCUCUUGACGCGAGGGAGUUAGGUGAUAGAUCACAUGUGAGCGUGGUGCUUAGAUGUUAUUUAUCUGCAAAUGUAUCCUAUUGGCCGGGUCGUGUGGUAGUUCGCGAUAGUGACAGCUUCGUUGAUUCUUAUAUAGUCCACCCUCCGUUGAUAGGACAGGCAGAACCGGUAUUGUGGAGUAAGUCGUGCGAUGCUCUGAUUUACUUUAUCAAUGUUCCUUAUACAUAAAUGAAGAGUCUUUUAUGCUAUAUAUGAUCUUGUAGAUAACUAGAGUAGAUUAUGACUUAGUAGUUAGUAGAUAACUUAGAAUCCAUUCUCUAGCUAAUCCGACAUCACCUACAUAUAUGAGGAGUAGUCUAUUUUUUAAUCGCUGUAUUAUUUAUCCCUUGAACUUAUAAUUCAUUAUCAUUAUCUUUAUGGUUUACCCCCUGCUAAAGUAAGUGACUGUGUGACGAGUUUCUCAUUAGUAAUCAUGUCUUGCAAGUUUAUCUCUAGUCUAUGCCUUGAUAGAUUUUGCCCUUAAUUUAAUUUCAUCCCUUUUGUUCUCUUGAGCAAAAUUAUAAAUAACGAUACCUGGAAUACUUAUCCUGGUGAAAUGCUACAAUGAGGUGUUUUAUCUGUGCGUUUGCGGAUAGAAUAGAUUAUUUUCUAGAGAGCCUUUACAUUUAUAAAUACCUUUGUACACUCUGGCACCAUGCUGGGGAUGACAACCUAGUAUCUAAGUGGUGUUAGCUAGUGUCAACAGCCGACAACGCGUCACCCGUUUUCCUGCUACAAAGGGAGGCAGAUCGACAACACCGACCGGCUUGGGCUAUCGACCAAAUUGUUUAGCCUACUUGCUCUGACACCAGUCGCAAUAAUAAUCGCCGCGAAGAACGGCGCUACGACAACAGCGACCACCGUCAUGACAAGUCGAAAAGCUCGAGGGCCAGACAAUUUUGUCGUCACCGACUAGACUUUCGUCCAAAGAUAAGUACACUUCUAAUAUUUUAUUUAUUUUUGGCAUAAUAUUUUUUAUUAUCCUUUAAAAAUAACUUUUUGGUUAGCCGACUAGUUUUUUCUCCUACACGAGUUUUCUAGAGCCAGCACUGUCUCCGACUCCUCCCUACACGUGCAUGAGAUCUGCCCUCUGCGUUCCGGGUGGUCGGCAGUAGCUCUCUGGCGAGGCAGGCAAUCCUACGCGUGCCUAGGUUCCGCACCUCAAGCUGAUUGUUGGCUAGACCAGAGCUGGUACAAGCUUUAGGAUGAAUUAACUACUUGUGCUAAUUUUAUAACAAAAAAAUCUAAAACUUGUCUCUGUGCUGAUUUAUUAUCUAGAGUUUAUUUAUAUAUCAUGUACUACCUAUUCUCUAUAUUUAUUUUUCAGGAGUUUGGCUCAGUCAACAAGCUACGCUCGGGGACUCGUCGACUAUUCCCUACGCUGUGCUCGGGGACUGCUCCGACUACCGAGCAUGUUUACGUUCCCAACCACACUCGGGGACUUGUCGACUAGUCUCUAUGCUGGGCUCGAAGACUGUGCCGACCACCAAGCACAUUUACGUUCCCAACCAUGCUCGGGGACUUGUCCACCAGUCCCUACGCCGUGCUCGGAGACUGUGCCGACCACCGAGCACGUUUACGUUUCCAACCAUGCUCGGGGACUGGUCGACCAGUCUCUAUGCUGUGCUCGGGGACUGUGCUGACCACCGAGCACGAUUACAUUCCCAACCGUGCUCGGAGACUCAUCUAUCACUCUCUGCGCUGUGCUCGGGACUUGCUUCGAUUACUCUCUGACCACAGCUUGGAGAUUGGACGUGAUAAUUUUUAAUAUUUUAGACCUUGCUACAAGGCUCAUACUUUGCCUUCCAGCAAGCUCGGGGACUACAUCGGUACGAUGCAUCUGGCGAUGCAUUUCAGUAUCAGAUUUUCUAUAUGGUUUUUUCUCUUUAGACCAUGGCACCACGUGUCUACGUCACCUACUACCAGGCUCAGGGACUAAGUGGGCACACUUCACCUUACGGUGAAUAUGCCUGCUUUUUUGAGGUCUAUACUUUUCACAAAAGUAAAGUGGGCACACUUCGCUAGGAAAGAAAUCUUUUUUGAUUAAGAGCACCAUGCAUUCUUCGAAUAACCUGCUUCUUCGAUGUCGAUGUUGAUCAACUGUCUUUUGAGUUUGUUAAAAUACUGUUGCAACUGUUUCGGCGACUUUCCUGCUUAUCGAAGACGUCAAGCCUCGCUGAUCGAAGAAGCUCAAGACGGCGUGUUACGUCACAAUACAUGGUGCUCGGGGACUAGGUGUGGGGGUAUAAACCCCUAUGCCCUCAUAGGUUGACAUGGGCCGCACCAUCAGAGGUGGCUCGGCCCACAAGAUGAAGACGUACGGCGCACGAUGCUGGUCGACGUGCACCGCAAGGCUACAAGAUAUUGUACCAAAUAGGAUACUUUGCUUGUAACUCUGUCCCUUCAGGAUAUAUAAGGAGGGGCAGAGGUCCCCUAGAGAACAAGUCAUAGACAACUUAUCUCAUCUCAACUCAACACAAUCCAAUACAAUCAGACGCAGGUCGUAGGUAUUACGCCCACACGACAGCCGAACUUGGAUAAAAACCUUGUCUGUGUCUUGCGUCACCAUCAAGUUCGUAGCUUGCACACUGUCUAUCGAUAAACUACUUCCGUGGGUAUACUCCAAGGUAGACUGCCGACUAGCUUUUGUCGACAAUUCCUUUUAGGCGCACCGCAUCCAACACCUGCUCCUUCAGCCACAUCUCCUUUAAUAGACAUUAAAAAAAAAGUUAGAUGUAUGAAUAGGAUUUAUUAAAUAGCAACAAAUAAAUGAAAUAAACUUAUUGUAUAUACAUGUUACGUACUUUUAGGUUCUCAAGAUUAGUUCUUUUGGCAUAGACCGUCAUAAACUCGCACACAUAGUAGCCACACAAAUUGUUGCCCGGUGUCUGCCGUAGAACCCACUGAAGUAAGAUGGUCUUUGAAAGUGCUGUAUUCAACUCUGGACAGUGUUUCUGCACGAAUCCAGCCCAAACCCUAGCAAUAAAACGAUCAUUAUUAAUUAUCUAUUACCAAGUUAAAAGAGCAGAAUUUAAUAUAUAGAGAUCGGAGUUACCCUUGGAUAAUAUCUAUCAUUUCUUGGUAAUCGUCCUGUGGUUUUCUCAACGAGUCAUUGAUUACCAAUUAACAUUGCCAGAGAUCAAUGACAAUUAGUAUCCAAUGAAAGCUGCAUUUGUGUGCAUAUGUAGGCAAAAUUAGUAUAUAUCUUCAUAUUGAUCUGAUUAAUUAGUUAAAUAGAAUGUACACACGAUAACGACACUGACUUAAAGUUGUAGGGAAAGAGUAUAUAUCUUUUAUCUUUUUGGUUGAUCAAGAACCUCCGUAGAUUUCUCUCCGUUUGAGUUCUCCAUAAGACAUUUCAAUACAACAUUUGGAUCUACAAAUCAAAUCUCCUUGUCAUUUCUAACUCUGAGGUCCCUCAUCAUGUUUCUGCAUAUGUAUAGCGGGUUUCUGUAAUUAGUUAUAUAUAUACAUGAUAAGUUACAGUGACAUUAUUGAAGGAAAGAAUCACUUAUAGACACAAGCAACUCAUUAGAGAUUUGUCAAGAGCAUCCAUGUGGCAUAGUUGGUGUAGCUCAUUAAAUUGAACAUAAAUAAUAUCAUCACCACAUAAAUAAUAUCAUCACCACGUAAAGUAUUAUAAGUUUCUAAUUUUUUAUACAGAAAUUAAAGUAACAAAUAACCUAAAAUUCUCUAUUUCUAGUUUUUCUAAACCAGCAAAAUUAAAAAGACAUAAAAGUUCUCUAUUUUCUAACUAAUCAUGAAAUGUGGCAUGCAUACUAGUUAUAAUUAACUAAUUCACCAUGUCAUAAAGUGCAAAUUAAAGAAAUAUAAGUUUCUAAUUUUUAAUAGAGAAAUUAAAGUAACAAAAAACCUAAAAUUCUCUAUUUCUAAUUUUUCUAAACAAGCAAAAUUAAAAAAGCACAAAAGUCUUCUAUGUUUCUAACUAAUCAUGAAAUGUGGUAUGCAUACUAGUUAUAAUUAACUAAUUAACCUUGUCAUAAAUUGCAAAUUAAAGUAUUAUAAGUUUCUAAUUUUUAAUAGAGAAAUUAAAGUAACAAAAAACCUAAAAUUCUCUAUUUCUAAUUUGUCUAAACAAGCAAAAUUAAAAAAGCACAAAAAUUCUUUAUUUUCUUAAAUAUCAUGAAAUGUGGUAUGCAUACUAGUUAUAAUUAACUAAAUAAAUUGGUCAAAAUUGCAAAUUAAAGUAUUAUAUGUUUUUAAUUUUUUUCUAAACUAAUUAAAAUAAAAAAAACAUAUUAUCACUAUUUCUCUGAAAAACGCCUCACGGUUGAGAAGACGAUGAAGCUAAUAACCUCUUAAAAAAACCAUAAAAUAAAAAACAACAUACAUAACACUAGGAAAUGACAUAUGCCGCUGCUAAAUGUUGAGAAGAUGAAGCUAGUGACCUCUUAACAAGUCGAUGACGGCGUAGAAAUGAUGAAAUGAAUCAAUAGCCGGAGAUGAGAGCAAGAACAAGCAACUCUAAAUGAAGAACACAGCAAAAGAGUGAAGAUCGAUGGGCUCGGCCAGAGAAAGAAGAGUUCAAAUAUGGGAAAGGACAUUUAGUCCCGGUUCCACUUAAAAACCGGGUCUAAAUUCCAACACUAGUCCCGGCCGGUGAGACGGACCGGGACAACAACUUUUAAUCCCGGAUGGUGGUACCAACCGGGACUAAAGGCUAGGCUUUUGUCCCGGUUCGUGAGACCAACCGGGACUAAAGGUCCCGUCUGCCGAUCUCUGACACCAUAGCCGUUGGGCAGGGGACUUUUAGUCCCGGUUGGUCUCACCAACUGGGACUAAAUAUGUUUUUGUCCCGGACGCUGAUUGGACCGAGAUUAUUGUUCAUUUUGGACAACUGACCAAAGGCAUGUUCUAUACUAGUGCAUGUCAUCUACUGUAGGCCUUGUUUAGUUUCCAUUUUUUUUUACUAUAGUACUUUCAUUUUUAUUUGAUAAUUAUUGUUCAGUUGUAGACUAACUAGGUUUAAAAGAUUUAUCUUGUAAUUUACAUAUAAAUUAUGUAAUUAGUUUUUGUUUUUAUUUAUAUUUAAUAUUUCAUGUAUUUACCGUAAGAUUUCAUGAAUUCAUGUAAUAAAGAAUCUUGAAACGUUUUUGUUUGAGUGGCCCCUUGCAAUUAUUCGGCUCAAAGGAUUUGGCUCCUGGGCAGAGCUUUCCACAUGUGUUGACAACGACACCUCCCGGAAGCUUUCCGUGCUGGUGUUGUUCUUGUUUUUCAUGUAUAUCUUGGUCAUGUUUAGUUCCCAAAAAAUUUUGCUAAAUUUUUCAGAUUCUCUGUCACAUCAAAUCUUUAGAUGUAUGUAUGGAGUAUUAAAUAUAGACAAAAAUAAAAACUAAUUACACAGUUUGGUCGAAAUUGACGAGACGAAUCUUUUGGGCCUAGUUAGUCCAUGAUUGGAUAAUAUUUGUCAAAUACAAACGAAAUUGAUACUAUUCACAUUUUGCAAAAUUUUUUAGAACUAAACAAGGCCCUUGUGUGAUGAUACUCUUGUUCGUUUUUUCCUCCACUUGCGUCAUGGAUUUGUUUCCUACUAGAUAUAUGCCCGUACGAUGAAUGGGGCUAUAUUUUUACUCACGCGCAACUACGAUGACAAAUUUGAUUAUUUUUCAGAAAAUAUUAAAAACUAAUACACAAAUUUAUAUGGGCGACCCUAAACUAUUUCUAAAUUUCCUUUUUUAAAUAUAUGAAACCAUGUUACCUUUUUAUCUACAUUGUACAUCUUUUUUUCAUGUUGGAGUGUCCGCCCGCAAAGGUUUUUUCUCACAGUUUGCGUACGCCCCUCGCGGCCAUAAAGCUCUAUAAGAGCAACUUCAACAGGGCCCUAGGUAGCUAGUCUAAAAACAAUACUCCAGUAGAGCCUUUACUAGAGCCCCAAUUUAGAGUGGGCACCCAAAUCUAUAUAUGGCCAAACGGGCCACACGGUACGAGCAUGGAACGGCACGUCGCGGCACGGGCACGGUUCGGCACGGGCACGAUUUGGCACGCGUGUCUGCCGUGUCGUGCCUGACGUGCUACCGUGCCAGCCUCCCAGCACGAGCACGACACGGCUAGAUCUGGAGCGUGCCGUGUCGUGCCGUGCCGCUAGGCACGGCAGCACGCCAGCACGAGCACAAGCACGAGCACCCCGGCAUGAGCACGAGAACGACACGGCCGUGUAACAGGAAGAAAUGGACGGAGGAGAUCGCUUGGGGAAGCGAUCCAACGGCUCCCGUGCCUGGAGCGGGCUGAUGGAGCGGGUCGUGCCCGUGCCGUCCUGUCGUGUGCGGCUUCCAGCACGGGCACGGGCACGGGGGCGUGCCGUGCCAGCACGGGCACGAGGCAGGCCGGGCCGGGCCGUUUUCGGACCGUGCUUUCUCGUACCGUGCUCGUGCCGGCCCGUUUAAAUCGGCCCGUUUGGCCAUCUAUACCCAAAUCUUUCCUGCAGACCCUAUUUGUGUUGGCCCAAUAGCCCAGCCUCAUCCUUCGUGAUGUGACCAUUACUUCCCCACAUGGUACAGACGUAGCCUCGCCCACCUUCCUCUAGUGCCCAUCUCCACUACCGUGCUCCCUCCCUCCACCCCCGACCUCCACCGCUGGGCAGAUUCACCGGUGCGCAAUUCCGGCGCGGCCUCUUCCCCGCCACGCGGGCACUGCUCAUCUCAUUUGCGUUCUAGCCUUUGCGUGGAGGAUGUGAGGAAGAAAGAUUUGACCUCGUGACGUGUGGGUCCCACAUGUCAUUGUCUGCUAAUUUGGAUUUGGAGGCUUUUAUUUAGGGGGUACGGUUAGAGUGGAAGCAAAAAUUUUGAGCAUCCAAAUGAAAAGUAGGAGUCCUAUUUUUUAGGCUACUGCUGGAGUUACUCUUAUACAUAUAUAUUUCUUUAAUUCGUGAGCAGCUGUAUUAAGUCCUUUGUCGUGCAAUAUCUCUUUGAAUAAAGUUGCAUUUGUUCCGGAGAAUAUAAAAUGCAUUCACGGUGCGAGAAGAGGAGCCUCAUCUUUUUUGCCUUUUGAUUGAUGAUAGUCCUGGAUUCGCUCCAGUUUGGUCUAUCGGAAUAAUCAUGAUGAUCUCCUGCUGCCGGAUCAAGACAGCAAGGACCGCUAACCUGGGAAGUCAUUUUUAUUCCCUGGUCGCUAGGGCUGAAAGAAUUUCUCCUUUGUUGACAAUUUCCUCCAGAGAAUUCAGGUCACAAGCAUUGAUCGUGAAUUCUUGGCAAUUGGUGAUUCUAUAAAUGUUGGUGAUUCAAGUCACAGUUUGGAGGUAAGUCGCAUCGGUUCUUAGAAUAGAGAAUUUGACCGGAAUGUAGAAUGUUUGAAUUGAUGUGAUGACGAAUUAGUACAUGCUAGUACAAUAUGGUCGUACCACCUGUUUUCAGUUUCGAUUUUCUUUCUACACCGUCUUUGCUUGAACGUAUUAGCAGUAGAAUAUUAUUUUUCUCUCACAACAAAUCAAAUCAACAGAAUCUAUACUUUUUUUAACCAGCCGAACAGCGUCUAAUCCGUUGAUCAAAAGUAAUAACUGUUGUUGUUGAUUGGUGAAGGGAAUAACAAUAUACGGUUCAUUUUAAAUGACACCAGAUGUUAAAAUUUUCUCUUCUGCUAUGUCUGUGUGUCUGUCCUUCUUGCAUACUUCCUCCUAAAGAUGGCAAGGCAAUGGGUACCCGAGAUCCGAAACCCGAUGGGUUUUUGCUCUAUUAGGGUAAGGAUAUGGGUCAACUUUGCUACCCGUGGGUUUGUUAAUGGGGCAAAAGCUAGACCCAGCGGGUUUGUGGGCAUAGGUCUAGGUGUGUAGUACCCAAACCCGCAAACCCAUGGGGUUUUUAAAUCCAAAUCACCAUAUCAUCACACAAUAUAAUUAGUACAUAAAGUACAAAAUGCAAAAAAAACAAAAUAGAGAACAUGCAUGCUCCAUACUUUUUUUAGUAGAAGCUCCUUAUGUGAAAGCUGCAGCUAGCUAGUGCGUCUUAGUGCAUGCACUCAGUUCAUCUAGACUCAAAGAUAUGACAGAUGUUGGCAUCGAGCAUUAGCAGGUCAUGGCCCAGUGCAUGCUAGAGGUGAGUGUUUCUGUGAGAACUCGCAAAUUUCUAGUGCAGAGGUGUAAUAACACAUAACAUGAGUCCCACCUUGCCAAUUAAUUCAACUUUAAGUAUUUUGGUGCGCUAUAGAGUAGACUUGCUCACUUGACUGGAUGACCAUCUUAUGACAUGCUGUGACGAGCACGGACAACCCGUUAAAUACCCGUGACCCGAUGGGUAUGGGUUUGGGCACAAAAUCAAACCCGUGACGGGUCAUGGGUUUUUUAGUGGGCAUAUUUUAUAUUAAUGGACAUGGGUUUGGGAUGGCAAAACCCAGUGGAUUUGUACCCGUUGCCAUCUUUACUUCCUCCGUCCAAGAACAAAUGCAACUAUAUGUUUCGUGUCAAAAAAGUAGUUCAUAUUUAACCCAAUUUCUAAUGAAUAUUAUUCACUUUUAUGACUUCAAAUUAAUUUAAUAUAAAAACAUUUCAUAAAUAAUCUAAAGAUAUUUAUUUGAUAUCACAAAUAUUAAUACUUUUUAAUCUAUAAUUGAUUAAAUUUAAGAUACUAAACUAGAACACUAUUAGAAUUGUAUUUUUUCGAUGGAGAGAGUAUAUAAUAUGUAUAUACCGAAAAUGUUUAUAAAGGCUGAGUGAGUUGUCUUUUUCCUCGACAAUAUAAAGAAGAUAAGGAAAAACAAGAAAGAGAAUACGUACUGUGUUUUGCAGCACAAUUUCGGGCAUUCUUUAUCUGUAACUCACGUGCGUCAGCACUUAGCAGCUCGAGACAUGAGAUCCCCUGCAGCAGCGGAAUUUAUAACCCUCGUGCGGCAGGAUCACACGUGACCACAUCUCGCCGGAGCAGCGUGGGACAACACGAGCUACUGAAAACCAAAAAAUUUUCAAGAUUCUCCGUCUCAUCGAAUCUUAUGACACAUAUAUGAAACAUUAAAUAUAGACGAAAACAAAAACUAAUUAUACAGUUUAGCUGUAAAUCACGAGACGAAUCUUUUGAUUCUAGUUAGUCCAUGAUUAGAUAAUAUUUGUCACAAACAAAUGAAAGUGCUACAGUACCAAAAACUUUUCACUUUUCGGAACUAAACAAGGCCCUAGCUAAAAUAUUAGUACAGUACUAGCACAGAUCAAAUAGGACAAAACCCAAAUGUAAUUACCUCUAUAUUAAUGUGUCUAUUAGUAUGUUUUUUUGGCUGUGAAAGCGUGUGCAGCAGGUAUUAUUAAUCGGUCUAUUUUUUCUAUUAUUAAAAAACCGUGCAUGUCUAUACAGGAUUACGUCAUUAGGCCCCACUACUUUGCAACCAAACACUUCGCUAAAAAAAAGGUAAAACCACAACUUUUGUCAGCUUAAGCAUGUCCAAGAGUUUUCAGCGCCUACUCUUAACCUUUAAUUUUUGGUGAAUUCUAUUAAAUAUGGAAAUAUAUAGAGACUACACAAGUAAAUUUAUUUUGAUAUAUUUAUAAGUAGUAUAAAUUUUAUUGUGCUUACUGUUGCAAUAAUGUUAAUUUUAAUAUAUUCAGGGACACCCCUGUUCAUGGGCUGGUUUUUGGUGGUUCUGGUUUGCUUCUAAAAUAACCCAAGCUAGGUGUGGUUUAGGCUGGUUCUCACCAGGUUGCUAUGAAUUGGUUUGAAUGAUUUACAUAGUUUUUGUAGUUCAUUGUGAAUUUCUCUUUGGCUGACACAUAACCAUACACUCAAUACGUAUGUGAUUUCUUUGGAAUCACAACAAGGGCAUAGAAAUAUUACGCAUACAUAGUGAAAAAUGUAGUUACAUGAUGCUGAUAUCAUUGUGCUAAUAGAAUGUUUUUUGGCAUCAGAUAAAAAAUACAAUGUUUCAAAAAUGUAUCCCAUUGCCGCAUCUCAUAUUUUCCACCCAUCUUUAUCUAGCACUACUACAAAAAUGCCAUAAAUAUUGUCUAAAAUAUACUAUCAUACCCUGGAUAAAAAAAUGGAUUCUCACUAAUAGUGAAAUAGCUAAUUUAAACAUAAAGAAACUCCAAAGAUCCAUAUGUUUAAACGUCUUCAGCGGCCUCUCUUACACUUAUUUUGUUAUAAGAUGUACAUAGCCAAUAUUGUACGCAAAUUAAGGCUUCAACUGGUGUGCUAAUUGAUACGUUGCACCAAUGCUAAAAACCGACUCCGAAGACACUGUAGAAGCAGGCACACACACACAUCUUUUGCUAGAAAGAGAUGAUAUAAGGUAGUUUCCAAAAAUUUAAUAUGCUAAAAUUUUUAUUUCCUAUCUCAAUCUUAUCAACCAAAUACCUUGAUAGCUUAGAAAGAUUUUUCAGUCCUAGAUACCUCCAUAUUUUUUUCAACACGAGAGAUCUCAUUCCAAUUAUAAAACAACAGAAAUCCAACAUUCAAGUUUCCAGACUUAGACAGAAAAAAGAAAAUAGUUUCCAAAUUAACAAAAUUGCUAGAAAAGCCCUAGACUGACUUAGACAGAAAAAAGAAAAUAGUUUCCAAAUUAACAAAAUUGCUAGAAAAGCCCUAGACUCACAAAUUUUGCAAACACCUAUUCCAGAUGUUGUCUAAACCUUCUAACCAUCGAAACCUACGCAACCUCAAACUUAGAAAGUUUCAAAAGGCCAAGAGUUUAACCCAACACCACCAAAACAAAAUAGAGCAAAAGAUAAACCAACAACCAUUGCUAAACUACGACAUCUAGCUAGUUUCCAGGAUCUAACUCCCCAACUUUGACCCUCAACUUAAGUUGAUUCUUCAUCAAUGUCUUUCGCCUGACUAUGAAGUAACAGCUUGUUCACUUGUAUUGUCGUCUGAGCCACUAAUACUUUCUUGGCCACCUUCAUCAUCAAGUUGGCGCCCUCUAUUAGUUGCUCACCAUCCAACUCAGCAUAUAGUCCUGCCCAAUAAAUCAUAAGCACAUUUGCAUGGCAGAUUAUUUCAAGAGGGCUAUUGAUAAGUUUUCUCUUAAAACAUGCUUUAUUCUUGCUCUUCCAUAUCGCCCAGCAAAUGGCAGCAACACUCCAAGGGUGAUAUUUUUAACCAAAGGGGAACCAAGUUUCACACCAGCACCAACACUAUUGCAGAUUCAUUGGAAAGUUAGACACCCCAAAACACUUCACAAACUAACCAAAUUACCUUUGCAACUAGACGUUGGAAAAACAAAUGGGAAAUAUAUUCAUCACAACCACAGAAAAUACAAGUAGGAUCACCUUGCCACUUUCUUUUGCACAAAUUGUCUUUUGUAAGAACAACAUCAUAGGACAUGAAGCACAAUUUUUUGCAGGCACUUUACCUUUCCAAAUCCUUUUUAAAAAACAUCUUUAGUCAAACCUUUAUAUACCAAUUUCACAGAGAACCUGCCACUCUUCUCAAGACUCCAUACAACACUAUUAGGUGUGCUAUUUUAUUAAAAAUUGGAAGCAACUUGCCAUACCUUUUUCCAUAUCACUCUAAGUUCCUAAAAAACCAUCUUCUGAAUGUAAUGGGUACACCAUUCAUUGCUUGAGCUACAAUUAUAUUCUUAUUCUGACAUAAUUCAAACAAAACAGGAACAAUUUUAGACAAUGGUUUUGGAUAUACCCAAGGAUCCAACCAAAACUAGAAACACAUCUUCCCUGUAGAAGAGUGUGUCCUCUUCAUAUAUAUAAUGUGAAUUGGUGCUUCAUUUGAACAUCUAUUGGUAGAAGCUCCAAUAGUUUCAACAAAACCAAAUAAUUCGGCAAGGGUUGAUUCAACUUUCUAAGCUAAUUUCUUACCCACGUAUGGUUCAUACAAAAUUUCUAAGCAAAAUACCACAUACUUCAACUUGUAUCUCAAAUCUAAAAUCAUAGAAAUAAAUAACAAGAAGUUUGAAUUACCUUCUUACUUCUAAUACUUCUAAAAUUUCAAAUUCAUCUUGUAGGCCAUUGAAGCUAAUAUUGAAUCUUCUCUCAUGGCAGUCUCAUUUAAUAUUGCAUGAAUCAACAUUAUGUCAUAAAAUAUGAUGCCUCAGUUCAUGUGCAAGGAAGAUGAUAGACAUGUUAUUACCUUUAAAAAUAGCUUGAAGAAACACAACAUACACCUUGCAGCUUCCUAAUCGUGCACUAGGGGGACCUUGGUCACCAAACUGAGCAUUGAAUGGCUUGUAGUCUUUCGCCAAUCAUGCAAAGGACUUCUCAAUUUUUUCUAUAUCUUCCAACAUAAGAUAGGUAGCAUUCCAUCUUGUGUCCAAAUCUAAGUUCAAAAAACUUUUGCUUGAUUUUUUCUCCUAUGAAAGGAUCAAGAUGCCCAAGAGGGGGGUGAAUUGGGCUUCUCUAAAAAAUUUAAGCAACCUACAAGCCUCAAUUCAACCCUUGUGCCUAGUUGUGUCCUAAAGAGCUAACGGAUAAAAGUUUUGCAAUCUAGUUCCAAUCCUAUUCUAGCAUGACAAUUCUAGGAAUGUAAAGUGCUGAAUUUAAAUGCUGAAUGUAAAGGAUGAGAGGGAGAGGAACGCCGCGAUGUUUUACCGAGGUAUCGGAGAGUCACCACUCCCCACGCGUCCUCGUUGGAGCACCCACGCAAGGAUCUUGCUCCCCCUUGGACCGUGCAAGGACCAAGUGCUCUCUAUGGGCUGAUUCUUCGACACUCCAUCACGGUGAAUCGCUCACAACUGCUCACAAGCUUGACACGAGCCACCCACAAGGACAUUGGGUGAUCUUUGUGCCUCCAAUCACCACAGAACCAUCUAGGUGAUGGCGAUCACCAAGAGUAACAAGCAAUGAACUCUCACUUGACCCAAACAAGGCUAAAGAGAGUGGUGGAUGCACACUUGAACUAUUGAUUCUCACUAGAGAAGGAUCACUCAAGAAAUCAAUCAAAACUCAAUCCUCUCUAGGCUCUUGCUUCUCCCUUGCACCACAAGAUGUUUCUUAGCUGAACAAAUGGGCAAGAGGGCUAUCUUGGGUGAGGUGGAGAAGUAUAAAUACCCCCCAUCAAGUCUAAGAGCCGGCCACAUAAAAUCGGCAGAUUUCGUAUGCACCGGACGCUCUUGAUGUUGCACCGGACGCUCUCCACAGAGAGUCUGGUUCCUUACCAAUGGCUAGUUGUACUUUCAAAACCUGCUGACACCAAACACACAGGUGCAUCCGAUGUCCUCAUCCUAGACGCGUCCGGUGAGGGAACUCCUUUGACAUGCUCCCUAGGUAAGAGAAUGGACGCACCCGAAAGCAUCCGGUGCUAUGUCCGGUGCCAUACCCUAGACACGUGGCAUGCUGGCUCAGCACCUGCAUACACCGGACGCACAAGCAGUCCCACUGCUGCGUCCAGUGCCAGCGUCCGAUGUCUAAAAAUAGUGAAUAUUUUGUCGAAUCAUGAACUUUCCAAAAUGAAGUUUGAUCCUCUCGAUCUAAGGACUCUCUCUGAGCUGCCUGCACCACACCUAAACCUAAAGCCUUGCUUAGGUCAAGCUACCCAUUUGUCGCCCCAAAUUACUAUUACUAACGUGUGUUUUGCAGCGACUAAUCAUCAAAACUCAUCUGGGGCCUAGAUGCUUUCAUCCUACUCUACACACUUUUUCAAAAGCUUCAACGUCGAUGGCAAAGAUCUAACAAAUUGAACCAUUGUUCUUUUUUGUCAAUAGAUUCAUUGUGCUCCUCCAGUCCACUCUUCACAACUAGGAUGACUAUGUGGGCAAAAUACUACACAUGAAGGAAUUCAUUAUUUAACAAAAACCACUUCUAGUCUUUACAAACUCCCUUCAAAUACAAAAUUAACCAAUCAUUGGAGCUCGCAUUGUCAACUAUGAUUAUGAAUAAAUUAUUGAUACCCCACUCUAGUAAGCAUUCUUCAACUCUCUUCCCAAGGGUUACUCCAUUGUGAACUAUCAUUUCUGCAACCUCCAUUUAUCAUCAAUCUAAUGUAAAGUGAUGGACAUAAUUUAAAUUUUGAUUUGAUGUCCAAGUAUAUGUUGUUGCUAGACAGAUUCUUUGAUUUGCCAAAACCUUCUUCAACUUGGAUUUUUCUUUAAUAUAUCACUAUCAGCAAUCCCUUGCUACUGUGACUCCAAAAGGUGGUUGAAACCUGGGAUAUAACAUUUUGGAAUAUCUCUUGAACCCCGCACCUUCAACUAUUCUAAAAGGUGUCUCAUCAAUUAUAACUAAGCAAUAGGAAAUUUAUUGUCAUGGUCUACACUUGAGAAAUGAUCCUUUUAGAUUUGACUCUUGAAAUGAAGGGAAAAACAAAAAAAAUCAAAAUGAAUUAUGAAUAGCAACCAAACUUUUUGCCCAUAAAAUAGUGAGUCAACUAACCACCUUCUUAUCAUACGUCAAGUUUAUAAAAAUUGUAUUAGCAAUGUGCCAUGAGCCUUAGUUCAUUAGGGGAUUGGAGGAUAACCAUUUCCUGGAGCAAGGUCGAGCAAAGUCGGUGUGGAGGGAGACUAGAGGAUUUGGGGGAAUUGGAUUCGGGGUGAGGUUUUACCCCUCUGCAUCCUGUUGUUAAAGAAGAGGAAUUGGGAGAUAGAAUUGUCUUGUUAUUCCUUAGUCCCCUGAGAGCGGGUACAUGUAUAUAUAGGCACUUGGACUACUAAAUAAAAGGACUCCAUAACUUCCCAUAAAUCCCCUAAUUCUUGCCUUCCUUGUAUGCUGAUCUGCAUGCAACUCCUUGAUUGAUGCUGGUGCGAUCUUGGCACUAUCUUCCAUGCACGUUGAUACCUGCUAAUCCUUUGCUAACCAAAUCUGAUUGGGGUAAUUACGCCCUCUAUGGACACCAUGCAGUCAUUCACCACAUAACAUUUCUCUCCCUUUCAGAGUAGCUCACCCAUGAGCUACCACAGACCUACUUGACGGACCAAGGGUUAAGCCUUUUACAUCUCAGCUUACCUUUGUUAUUGAAGACAAAGACAUGAAAUAAACUUAAAGCGCAAGCUAAAAUAUGAAAGAAAUUUGAACUGCAACUACAUCCUCCUAGAUCCCAUAUGGAAAGAGCCCAACCGCUAACUUCAUGUGAGAUGAGCAAGAGAGGAUGUACCAACCCACUAGUGCUCUAGGCACCACCAAGGCGUGUGCCAGAACAACUGAGACAGCUAGUUGCUAUGUUGCUCUGGUUGUUCAUCGUGCCAUACAUGGACCUCUACUUCAAUGGGAGCCAUAGGACAUACACGAGCUUGAGUGGUUAAACACGCACGAGCAGAUCAACAUGCGCAUCUUACACACCACCCACCUGACUAGGAACCCUUGCACUACUACUUGCAGGUGCACCAUUGCAUGCUCCUCCGAUGAUAGCCACAUGAUAGACCUAGAGAUAUAAUAGCCAUACACUUCUCGCUAUGUAUAUACUACACCCACAGAUGUGCAAGGAGUCCACAUGUUGCUGCUUGUAGGCGUACUAUUGCUAGGCAUUCACAUUCCUCCACCUUGAGCAAUGCCACUAAGCGAUCCAACAUGGUCGACAUAUGACAAAGCUACUUAGACAUGUGACAAUGCCCAUCAAUGAGGAGGUGAAAGAGUCAUCAAUAGCAGAAGUCAUGCGUUCAGAUCGAAACCAGGCAAGCCGAUACUAGAUGCCAUGAUGAAAACCCAAGUUUGGUUUUGGUAAUUAAUGACACCAAGUUGCUAAUACCUUAUGUUUAAGUGAUUUGAGUUAGGCAUAGCAACACAUGUGAUGAAGGUGCAAGGUGGCAUGGAAAGGUGGCCACAUGAUUACAAAGAGAUGAAGCAUGAAGUCGAGAUCAUGGUGAUAGACAAGGAGUAAAGUAAUCAAGGCAAAGGUAUAAACAUAGGGUUUUGCUUUUGCCAGUCUAAGUUGAGUAGAGAAGUGAUUGACCAGGUUUAGGAUAGAUAGCCGACUAUCAAGAGGGGAAAUCACAGUCAUCUCUCGAAUCAAGUGCUACCAGGUCCAUAUCUUGAGCAUAUGCAUUAGGAUCUAGUGAAGUGCUAACCUAACUCCUUUGAUGAAAAUGUUUGUGAAAAGCUAAGACACAUGCACAUUGGUGGUGGUCACUUGGUGGUGCUAGCACAUUUGCAAAGGAGGUGGAGUUCCUAGGGUAGAUAGGGUUUGGGGUUCCUAGAUUCGACGCUUUUGGGAAAUUGAAAUGUAUAUUUUCUAUUGCACCAAUGGAAAGUUUGGGAAAGUCACGAGAGUGUUUUUCAUUGGAAAAUACUCACCAGACGUUAGCCUCGGAGGCACCGGACGCUGCUCCUAAGUGUCUGGUGCGCUCUCAUUUUUGGCAAAGGUGAAGGGAACACCGGAUGCUGAGCAUCGGAUGGUGGCCAGACACUAUUGGUGCAUCCGGUGUUGUCUGACAUCAGUAGGUGUUUCUGACUGAGAGCACCAGACGCUCAAGGCGCGUCCUGUGGUGUGAGUUCGGUGUCCCUAUGCAUUUGCAGCACUCUCUGAGUAAGGGACCGGACGCUUAGGGUGUGUCUAGUAGUCUGCAUCCGCUGACCCAGCGCGUUUUACACCCUCUCUACAUAUGGGUCUGGUGAGUACCUGACGCGUUCGGUGCUCACUUGAUCGUGUCCGAUAGUUUGUAGGUGACCGUUAGAGAUCGACAUGUGAAAGUCAAAAGGACGACACGUGGUUAUCAUCAAGGCACUAGACGCAGGGUUCCAGUGUCUGGUGGCUCCCCAUUGUGUGUCUGAUGCCCCUAAGUUUUACCCAGUGAUAGAGCCAAGGACUCUAUUUGUUGAGAGGGCUUAUAAAUAGGAGGUGUCCAGCUUUGGGGGGUCUCUCUUGCACUUUGACAUACUUGAGACAUUCUUUGAGCUAGAGAACACUCCCUCCACUCAUCUCCUUGCUUGAUUGCUAAUCCUAGUGAGAUUGAGUGAGAUUCAAGUGCAUUGCUUAGUGAGUUGCAUCUAGUGGCACUUGAUUUUUGAGUUUGUUGCAGAUUUCUUGUUACUCUUGGGUGUUUCUCGACGCCCUAGAUGUCUUGGAGAAGCGAAGGUGUUGAGCUCAUGAUUAGAGAUUGUUUUGAGCCUCACCAAGUGAUUUGUGAGGGGUUCUUGAGCCUUCCCCGCGGGAGAUCGCAAUUGGCUACUCUAGUAGAUUGCUCGUGGCUUGGAGGAUCCUCAUCUUGGAGUGGAUGUGCAGCACCCGCGGAGGGUUUGGCUUUGAAUUGCCAAUUAGCUCGUGAUCCAUCAAGUGGGUGUAUCACCACAAUGAGGACUAGCUUGCCGGGAAGCAAGUGAACCUCGAUAAAAUAUCGUGUCAUAUCUUGCCGAGGAUUCUCUCUUGUGCUUGUGAUUGUAAGUGAUUGAUUGAUUGGUCAUAUUCCUACUCUACAACGUUGGUAUAACAAUCACUCCCCACUCCUUUACUUACUAGCAUACCUUGCUAGUUGUUUAGCUUGUUUAGCUUAGCCUUGUUGUUUAGGAGUGUAGGUAGUUUUAGUUGUGCUUUCUUGUUGUGACUUAGUGUUUAGCUUUCUUGCUAGAAUUGUGUAGGUGGCUUGCAUAGCUUAGUUAUGCUAGUGCUAGAAUAACUUCGCCAUUUAUUUUACUAACACACUUGCUGAGUGAAGUUUGUAGAAAAUUUAAAUAGGCUAUUCACCCCCUCUCUAGCCAUUUGGACCUUUCAAGUGGUAUCAGAGCUGAGGCACCAUUUAAUUGAGGCUUAACAACCUUCGGUGAAGAAAUGGCUCUUAGUUUGCAUAUCAACAACACCAAGAAGGUACCUUAGUUUGAUGGCACCAAUUAUGCAUAUUGGAAGGUCAAGAUGACCACGCAUCUUAAGUCAAUCAAUAGAGAGGAUUGGAAGGUGACCCAAAAAAAGUUUGAGGUUGCAAAUGACAAUGCACCAACACUGGUUGAAGAAAAGAAGCUUCAAUGCAAUGACAUUACAAUAAGUGCUCUUCAUGAAGCUCUUGAUGACAAGACCUUUGAGCAAAUCAAGAACAUUGAGAUUGCUCAUGAUGCAUGGGCAAAGCUAGAAGAAACAUUUGAGGGCACUAAGGGCACCAAGACCACCAAGGCAUACAUCCUUCAAGAAAAUUUCUCAAGCUUCAAAUGCAAGAGGAUGAAAGUAUGCCGAAAAUGUUCCAUCGGUUGCAAGUCAUUGUGAAUAAGCUCAAGGCACUUAGGGAAGAAGUGAAGGAUAGUCAAUUCUCUAUGAAGUUCUUGAGAAGCUUACCCAAGAGAUUUAACACAUUGAUCACCGUGCUAGUCAAGACAACACUUAGUGAAUCAACACCUAAACAAGUAUUCCAAGAGGUGAUGACUGAUGAUGCCUAUAGAGAAGAUGAUGAGAAGGAUGAGUUGGUCAAGAAGAAGAAGAAGAAAGGUGAAAAGAAGGAUGAUGAGAAUAAGAAGAGUGUAGCAUUUAAGGCCUCCACAUCUAAGGGCAAAGUCAAGAUAGAAUCAUCAAGUGAAGAAGAAGCAAGCUCUUGUGAUAGUGAUAAAGAUGAGGAGAUGGCUCUUCUUGUCAAGAGAUUUGGCAAGUUCAAAAAGAAGAAGGGCUACCGGGCUAGGAGAAAGAAGAGCUCUUCCAAGAAAAAUUAUCAUGCCAUGAGAUACUUUAGAUGCCAUAGCAAGGAUCAUCUCAUCGCCAAGUGUCCCUAUGAUAGUGAUGAUGAAGAUGCUAUCAAGAAGGAAAGAAAGAAGCAAAAUAAGAAGCAAGAAAAGAAAGAAGGCUCAAACAUGAAGAAGGGUGAUGCCCAUGUUGCAACUUGGGAUAGUGAUGACUCCUCAAGUGAUGAUGAGAGCACCAAGAAGAAGGGGGCACGCUAGCAUUACAAUUCAAGGAAAGAGCUCCAUCUUGGACACUCCAUCAUGCUUCAUGGCUAAGGCCACUAAGGUAUCAUCCGAUGAUGAGAGUGACCAUGCUAGUGAUAGUGAUAGUGAUGAUGAUGAACCUACUAAAGAUGAACUAAUCAGUAUGCUAGAAGACUGCACUUAUCACUAUAAAGAAACUAGAAAGGAGUGCAAGGCCUUGCUCAAGGAUAAGAAAACCCUUAUGCAAGAACUUGAUGAGCUUAGAGCAUCUUAUGAGAGUCUAAAGGUAGACCAUGAGAAGCUACAAAAGACUCACCCUAAGCUUGAAGAAGCUCAUUCCUCUCUAGUUAACAAAUGUGAAAAUGAGCCAACAAAAAUUGAGAAAGCUAAAACUUGCAACAUAGGCCUAACAUGUGAGAUCUUAAGUAAGCCUAUUAUUGUUGCUUCUACUAACCCUUCAUGUAGCACAUCUACAUCAUCCUCAUCAAGUAGUGAUGGUUUCACUUGUGACACCACACUAAAAGCUGAGAAUGAAAUUCUCAAGAAGGAGGUGAAAGAGCUCAAUCACACCUUAGCCAAGGCUUAUGGUGGUGAGGACCGCUUGCUUAUGUGCUUGGGUAGCCAAAGAGAUUCUCUCUACAAAGAGGGAUUGGGCUAUAACCCCAAGAAAGGCAAGGCCACCUUUGCUCCUCACAAGACACGUUUUGUGAAGAACAAUGGCCGGUUAUUGCAAAGCUUGCAAGCAAGUUGGUCACUUAGAGCAAUAAUGCAUGAACAAGAAACCCAAAGCUAAUGUAUCCUCAAUUAAGCUUAAUUCUUUCUAUGUGCUUACCAAGGAUACAAAAGGUGUUCAUGCUAAAUUCACUGGUGCACCAUGGAUGGGCUCAAAGAAGAAAGCCAUUUGGGUACCAAAGAGCUUAGUUGCUAACCUUGGAUGACCCAAUCAAGUUUGGGUACCUAAAAAUAAUUGAUCUUGUCUUGUAGGUCAAUUACAAAGCCGGAGGAAGGCAUUGGGUGCUUGAUAGUGGGUGCACUCAACAUAUGACCGGGGAGUCUUGUAUGUUCAAAUCAAUUGAUACUAGCCAAAAUGGUGGCUUUGAUUCUAUCACUUUCGGUAACAACAAGAAAGGCAAGGUCAAAGGGCUUGGUAAAAUUGCUAUCUCAAAUGACAUGAGCAUAUCAAAUGUGUUGCUAGUUGAAAACCUAGAUUUCAAUCUCUUGUCAAUUGCUCAACUUUUGGACCUUGGUUUCAAGUGCAUCUUUGGUAGUGAUGAUGUUGAGGUGGUUAGUGUUGAUGGAUCCAACUUGAUAUUCAAAGGAUUUAGGCAUGGUAGCUUAUACUUGGUUGAUUUCAAUGAUAGUGACACUCAAUUGACAUCUUGCCUAAUUAGCAAAUCAAGUUUGGGUUGGUUGUGGCAUAGAAGCCUUGGUCAUGUUGGAAUGAAACAACUAAACAAACUAUUGGGGCAUGGCUUAGUUAGAGGCUUGAAGGAUGUCACUUUUGAGAAGAACAAACCAUGUAGUUCUUGUCAAGCCGGAAAGCAAGUUGGAAAUGCACAUCCUAAAAAAUGAAAUGAGCACAUUAAAGGCAUUUGAGCUAUUGCACAUGGAUUUAUUUGGGCCGACAACAUACACUAGCAUUGGUGGCAACAAAUAUGGCUUUGUGAUAGUUGAUGACUACACUAGAUACACUUGGGUGUUCUUCCUCUAUGACAAGAGUGAUGUUUGUGAUCUAUUUAAGUCUUUUGUCAAUAGAGUGCAAAAUAAGUUUGAGACCACUAUCAAGAAGAUUAGAAGUGACAAUGGUAGUGAGUUCAAGAACACAAGAAUUGAGGAAUUGUGUGAUGAUCUUGGCAUUGGACAUCAAUUCAAUCCAACAUACACUCCUCAAUCCAGUGGUGUAGUUGAAAGAAAGAAUAGAACCUUGAUUGAUAUGGCUAGGUCAAUGCUUAGUGAACACAAUGUUAGCCAUUCAUUUUGGAGUGAAGCUAUCAACACGGCUUGCUAUUGUAGCAAUUGUCUCUAUUGCCAUGGGAAGCUUGGGAAGACACCAUAUAAGCUAUUGAAUGGAAGAAAGCCCAACAUUGCAUACUUUAGAGUGUUUGGUUGCAAAUUCUACAUUCUUAAGAAAGGAACUAGAUUGAGCAAGUUUGAGAAGAAAAUGUGAUGAAGGGUUCUUACUUGGUUAUUCCAUCACAAGCAAGGCAUAUAGAGUUUGGAACUUGGAAAGUGGCACUUUAGAAGAAGUUCAUGAUGUUGAGUUUGAUGAAACCAAAGGAUCCCAAAAUGAAACUCAAAAUCUUGAUGAGGUGAGAGGAGAUCAAUUAGCAAAUGCAAUGAAGAACAUGGAUGUAGGUGUCAUAAGGCCGAGGCAAGUUGAUGAUGAUAAUGAUAUUCACAUGAUCAAUCAAGAAGUGCAAAUUGAUACAAAUCAAGCUAGUACUAGUGGCUCUCAUGAUCAAAAUCAAAAUCAAGCAAGUGAAAGCAAUCAACUCCCAACACUCCAACCUACAAGCAUAGCAAGGGAUCAUCCAUUGGAUCAAGUCAUUGGUGGUAUUCAAAGUGAUGUACAAACUAGAUCAAGACUAGCAUCCUUUUGUGAGCACUAGGGAUGAAAAUGGUAUGGAUAUUUUCCGAUCGUAUUCGAGACCGUAUUCAUUUAGAGGGGUUUAGAUCUAUCCGUAUCCGAGUCUGAAUGUUUAAUAUCUGAUACCGUAUCUGUAUAUGAAUACUUAAGUCGUAUAUUUAUGAUGUUGACAUACAAUCGUAUCUUAUCCAACAUUAUUUAUAUUAUCCGUAUUCGAAUCUGAAUCUGACCAAAAAUAUGAAAACAAAUAUGAUAUCAAUGAUAUCUGUCUGUAUUCGAUCCGUUUUCAUCCCUAGUGAGCACCAUUCAUUUGUCUCAUUUGAAGAACCAAAGAGAAUAGAAGAUGCAUUGAAAGAUUCCAAUUGGGUAAAUGUCAUGCAUGACGAAUUGAACAACUUCACAAGAAAUCAAGUGUGGGAGCUUGUUGAGAGGCCAAAGAACUAAAAUGUGAUUGGUACCAAGUGGGUCUUUAGAAACAAGCAAGAUCAAGAUGGUGUAGUUGUAAGAAACAAAGCAAGAUUAGUAGCACAAGGCUACACACAAGUUGAAGGUCAUGACUUUAGAGAAACUUAUGCACCGAUUGCAAUAUUGGAGGCAAUUAGAAUAUUAUUAGCCUAUGCUUGUGCCCACAACAUCAAGUUCUAUCAAAUGGAUGUGAAGAGUGCAUUUCUCAAUGGAUAUAUCAAUGAGUUAGUUUAUGUUGAACAACCUCCUGGUUUUGAAGAUGACAAGAAACUCAACCAUGUUUACAAGCUCAAGAAGGCUUUGUAUGGUUUGAAGCAAGCACCAAGAGCAUAGUAUGAGAGAUUGAGAGACUUUCUCCUCUCUAAAGGGUUCAAGAUGGGAAAAGUUGACACUGCCCUCUUCACCAAGAAAUUAGGCAAUGACUUGUUUGUGUUGCAAAUCUAUGUUGAUAAUAUCAUCUUUGGAUCAACCAAUUAAGACAUUUGUGAAGAAUUUGGAAGAAUGAUGGCAAAUGAGUUUGAGAUGUUCAUGAUAGGAGAGCUUAGUUACUUCCUUGGACUUCAAAUCAAGCAAAUAAAGAAUGACACUUUUGUAAGUCAAGGAAAGUACAUCAAGGACAUGAUCAAGAAGUUUGGGUUCUAAGAAGCUAAGCCAAGGAGCACACCUAUGGGCACAAAUGAUCAAUUAGGUAGUGAUGCAAGUGGCAACAUGGUAGAUCAAAAGCUAUACCGAUCUAUGAUUGGAAGUUUGCUCUAUGUCACCGCAUCAAUGCCGGAUGUAAUGUUAGUGUGUGCAAUUGUGCAAGAUACCAAGCUUCACCUAGGGAGAGUCACUUGAAGGCAACCAAAAAAAUAUCGAGGUAUCUCAAGGGCACUCAUGAUGUUGGAUUAUGGUAUCCCAAGGGGUCUAACUUUGAGUUGAUUGGAUAUUCAGAAUUCGACUAUGGUGGCUGCAAGAUUGAUAGAGUGAGCACAAGUGGCACUUGUCAAUUGCUGGGAAGGUCUCUAGUUUCAUGGUCAUCAAAGAAACAAAAUAGUGUUGCACUAUCAACCACCGAGGCCGAAUACAUUAGUGCCGAUAGUUAUUGUGCACAAUUGAUUUGGAUGAAAGCUAUCUUAAAUGACUUUGGAAUCAAAUUCAAGAAUGUGUCUUUGCUAUGUGAUAAUGAGAGUGCAAUCAAGAUGACACAAAAUCUAAUUCAACAUUCAAGAACCAAGCACAUUGACAUAAGGCACCAUUUCAUAAGAGAUCAUCAACAAAAGGGUGAUAUUAGCAUUGAAAGCAUUGGCACCGAAGAUCAACUAGCCGACAUCUUCACAAAGCCACUUGAUGAGAAGAGAUUUUUCAAGUUGAGAAAUGAAUUGAACAUACUUGACUUCUCCAACUUGAGAUGAGUGCACCCCCACAUUUAUAUAUGACAUGCCUCUCCUCCAACAAAGCAAGGUAAAGUUGGUUGACGUAGCAUUCAUACUUUGCUAAGGACAUGAUUAGAACAUAUAGACAUGUUUGCAUGAUAAUAGGCUCAUUCAUGAAAAUCAAAAGCAUUUGAUGUAUGUAUGGCACCACUAUUGUUUCUAUGAUUAAUUGAUCUAGUGGUAGCAUAUGACAUAUUUGUGAGCUUGCAAGCCUAGUGUUGAAUCUAGAAUAUGAGCUUAUGAUGUAUAAUUCAACAUGGUCAAGAUAACCCUUAUACUUGAUGAGGUGUGAAAAAGCUUGUCCUUGGAUCAAAUCGAAUUACAUGUUCUAGGCAAGCGAUCUAGAUUGAACCAUAAUUUGACCCUCACAUUGAUUGACUUAAUUCUCACUAAAAUUUAAACCUUUGUGGUUAUUGAUGACAAAAGGGGAGAGAAACAAAGAUAAGUCCUAAGUAGGGAGAAAAGAUAAGGUAAUUGCUAUUCAAGAGAAAACCUUUUUAAAACUUGAGCACACAAGUAAGGGGAGCAAGCUCAUGAACUAUUUGUUGCAUUUGAAUGUGCACUAACAUAAUGAGGUGUUGCAUUGCAAGUUUAAAUUCACUACUCUUGUUUGAUUGGUGAUUGCUAGAAAUAGAACUUGAAUGAUAUUUUGAAUUCUAGCAUAGAGUAUUAUUUACAUGUGGUAUCUAGACAUAUAAUAUGAUCUCACGUGGUAUCUUGAGUUUUUGAUGUAUGUCUAGCUACAUUGGUGCUAAGGAUGGGAUAUUGGCAACUCCGAUUGGUAUCACGCUUCAAAGGUCCAUUCUAUACACCUUAGCAUCAUUUUGAUAGUAAAAAAUCUCCCAAAUCUCCAAAUCAUGCAUAUGUGCAAACUUGAACCAAACUCACGGAAGCACAUAUGUAGGGGAGCUAGUACUACCAAAACCGAAAUUGAAAUGUUUGUCCAAUCUUGUCUCAUGAUCAAAAUGCUUUGGACAAGCAAUUCAAGUUCUUUAUAAUUUCAUUUCAUAUCUUUGUGAUGGUUGUCAUCAAUUACCAAAAAGGGGGAGAUUGAAAGCCCAAGUUUGGUUUUGGUAAUUAAUGACACCAAGUUACUAAUGUCUUGUGUUUAAGUGAUUUGAGUUAGGCAUAACAACACAUGUGAUGAAGGUGCAAGGUGGCAUGGAAAGGUGGCCACAUGAUUACAAAGAGAUGAAGCAUGAAGUGGAGAUCAUGGUGAUAGACAAGGAGUAAAGUGAUCAAGGCAAAGGUAUAAACAUAGGGUUUUGCUUUUGCCGAUCUAAGUUGAGUAGAGAAGUGAUUGACCGGGUUUAGGACAGAUAGCCGACUAUCAAGAGGGGAAAUCACGAUCAUCUCUCGAAUCAAGUGCUACUAGGUCCAUAUCUUGAGCAUAUACAUUAGGAUCUAGUAAAGUGCUAACCUAACUCCUUUGAUGAAAAUGUUUGUGAAAAGCUAAGACACAUGCACAUUGGUGGUGGUCACAUGGUGGUGUUAGCACAUUUGCAAAGGAGGUGGAGUUCCUAGGGUAGAGAGGAGUUUGGGUUCCUAGAUUCAACGCUUUUGGGAAAUUAAAAUGUAUAUUUUCUAUGGCCCCAAUGGAAAGUUUAGGGAAGUCACGGGAGUGUUUUUUAUUGGAAAAACACUCACCAGACGCUGGCCUCGGAGGCACCUGACGCUGCUCCUGAGUGUCUGGUGCACUCUCAUUUCUGGCAGAGGUGAAGGGAGCAUUGGACACUGAGCAUCGGACGGUGGCCAGACAUUGUUGUUGCGUCCGGUGUUGUCUGACAUCAGCAGGUGUUUCUGACUAAGAGCACUGGACGCUUAGGGCACGUCCGGUGGUGUGAGUUUGGUGUCCCUGUGUGUUUGCAGCGCCCUCUGAGUAAGGGACCGAACGCACAGGGCUCGUCCGGUGGUCUGCGUCCGAUGACCCAGUGCAUUUUACACCCUCUCUGCAUACGGGUCCGGUAAGUGCCUGACACGUCCGAUGCUCAAUUGACCGUGUCUAAUAGUUUGCAGGUGACCGUUAGAGAUCGACGCGCGAAAGUCAAAAGGACAACAUGUAGCUAUCAUCAAGGCACCCGACGCAGGGUUCCAGUGUCUGGUGGCUCCCCGUCGUGCGUCCGGUGCCCCCGAGUUUUGCCUAGUGAUAGAGCCAAUGACUCUAUUUGUUGAGAGGGCUUAUAAAUAGGAGGUGGCCGGCUUUGGGGGAGUCUCUCUUGCACUUUGACAUACUUGAGACAUACUUUUGAGCUAGAGAACACUCCCUCCACUCAUCUCCUUGCUUGAUUGCUAAUCCUAGUGAGAUUGAGUGAGAUACAAGUGCAUUGCUUAGUGAGUUGCAUCUAGUGGCACUUGAUUUUUGAGUUUGCUGUGGAUUUCUUAUUACUCUUGGGUGUUUUCCGAUGCCCUAGAUGGCUUGGAGCAGUGGAGGUGUUGAGCUCGUGAUUGGAGAUUGUUUGGAGCCUCACUAAGUAAUUUGUGAGGGGUUCUUGAGGCUUCCCCAUGGGAGAUCGCAAUUGGCUACUCUAGUAGAUUGCUCAUGGCUUGGAGGAUCCCCAUCUUAGAGUGGAUGUGCGGCACCCGCUGAGGGUUGGGCUUUAAAUUUCCAAUUAGCUCGUGAUCCAUCAAGUGGGUGUAUCGCCACAACGGGGACUAGCUUGCCAGGAAGCAAGUGAACCUUAGUAAAAAAUAUUGUGUCAUAUCUUGCCGAGGAUUCUUCCAUGGUAUAAGAAUGACCCUUUCAUAAUGACCCUUUCAUAAUUCGUGUAGCACUUGCCAGGAAGCAUAAACAUUCGAGGUCGAUGGUAUAAGAAUGCCCCUUUCAUAAUGGCCACAGAUGCUUCACAAGUCUUUUUCUUGGAAGAUACACAGUUAGGUCCAUGUUGGCGAGUGCUACAAGAAUUUGGGCACCGACAUAUAUUUGAUGUCAAAGAGUCUGACACAAACCAACCAAUUCAAGAACAGAUAUAGAUGAGAGGUUAGGAGGCAUACCAAGAGGAGCAUAUUUCAGCUGGAGAUGGUGCAGUGGGAGACAUUUGUCCUGAUUUGGAUUUGUUGCACAUGGAUACUGAACCAGGCAGCCCUAUUAGUAGAGACCUACAAGGAGAUGAAAUCCGGCAGUAGAAACACACACCUCGAGGUGAUGUAGCAGAGGAAGGAGAUGAAGAUGAAGAUCAAACCUAUCUUGAGUACCAUAGUCCAGUAGAAGAAGGCAGUACUUCAGGAGGAGACAUGGAUGACGACUGAACUUUGCAUUUCUGCAUAUUUUCAUUGUUAUUGAUGACUAAUCUUUAAGAUAAGGCAAUACUUCAUUUUGUUAUUGCCUUUGUUGUAUUUGUAUUAUGCUACCAGAAUUGUGUUUACGAUUAUGAAAAUGUAAGACCUCAUACGCAAUGAUUAUGUUUUCAGUACUUGAUGUAUGAGUUAUGGUGCUCAGAAUUUUAUCACAUGUUGCAGGUUCAAGUGCUCAGAUUUAUAUCACAGAAUGCAAGUUGCAAUCCCCAGGUUUAUGACACAUCUGUUGGGUAUUUUCAACACAAACAGAAAAAUCCGCAAGCGCACAGAUACCGAUGUAGCUUUCACCUGGGAGUAUUCUAGAGUAUCGAUUUUGCACAGGGAACGUGAGUGUACUAAUUAAGACUCAAGAUCGCCCAAGGAUAACUAUAUAAUUAUUUUUGCUAGGAAGAGAGGAAGUUUCCUGAGAGUUCUCUAGUUGAUCUAAGAAUCAAGAAUUACUUCAAAGAUUAUUUAUUUCGGGACAUCAGAACAAUAACCACAGAAAGAGAUGAGAAGGGGGCUAGGAAGCUCUGACUACGGUCCUACAAACACCGAUACGAACGAGAUGGAAUACGUCGACCGUUAGGGCUGUCACUAACCUAGGGCUACCACAACAAUCCGCAGGAUUGGGUGCAAUUCCAGGUAAUUGCAAGACUAAACACCACGUCUAAUCUAUUAAUUACUACUCUAGCGUUAUAAAGACUAAAGCACUUGAUGCAAGCGGGAAUCCAAUAAAUAACUUGAAUGUAAAUAAAAGUAAUUAAAGAACUCAGGAAUUAUAAAUUGAAGAACUUGGAGAACGAUGAAGAACGAACUAGUUGCUGCAAAAGAAUAAUGUUGAGGAAGAUCCGACAGAUCCGGCUCCUCCUCCGCUCUCCUCUUCUCUCUCCCUAUUUUCUAGAUUACAACUAGAUCUAACUAGAACUAGAACUAGAGGAACUAGAACUAGAACUAGAUGAACUAGAGGGAUCCUCUCUACUUGGAUGAAGAAUUGAAACUCUAGCUUUGAUUUUGUAGAAGAGGUAUGAUCUCCAAGGGCCAGGGAGCCUUGCUUAUAUAGUCUUUUCAAAUGAAUCUGGGCCGUCGGAUCAAACCGACAUCAAUCACACGGUUUUCCUUGAUCCCUUAGGUCGGUGGAGCAUGAUCUGCAAAGUUGAUCGUGAUUGGUGGAAAAAGGUGGGCAGGCGCCCUAAGGAGUAGGGCGGGCGCCCUGUCCCUGAGCCCUCUCAGCUUCCCGUUCGUUCCGGUGGCUUCUGGAGUCUCCUAGAUGAUAGAAAAUUGCGUGGCAUGUUAAUAUCUCUAUGUAAACCCAACGUGUGGGCCUUUCUUCCGUAUUUCCUGAUAACCCCCUGCAGAAAUAGACAAACACCAAAACUCGUGGAAUUCUGUCAGAUAAAACCCUAAGUCUGGGUGUUGGUUGCAUUUGGAUCCUUUUCCAUGAUUAAUUGACGGUUAAAUGUGAGCAUUAAGGACCGUCAACAAGCUCCCCCAAGCUUAACCUUUGCUCGUCCUUGAGCAAAGAUGAACUCAAGAGUUUCUGCAGUGGUUUCAUGCCUUAAAGGUACACAUGCGUUCAAACAAGAUCUCAGCUCUGGGUUAGGGCAAACUGUUAAGAUUUAAACUUACUCAUUUUACCUUCCACCAUGGGGCUUGCAACCAUCACUUAUGUCUUGAGCAGUUAAAAGAUAGAAUGGUCUAGUCAAGCGCCAUGUCUCUUGUUCUUCGAUUAACUAUAGCUCUGGAGUUUUUGCAGAUUUUCAAAUAAAACUCAGAGAUUCCUUGUAUGACUCUCUCUAGUCUCUCUUUUAUGGUAUUUCUGGAUCCUUACCAAGGCAGUAAUGGUGUAUGCCUUCUCUCAAAGUAUGUGGUAUUUUUGGCAUAAAGCAUAGUGACAUUGCCUUAUCUCUCAUCAUACUCUAAUAAGGCUUUUGAUAUCUGGAGCUCAUAGGUGGGAGACAGCUAAUACAUACUUAUAAGACAUUUAUUGCAUAAUCAAACCAUGGAUCCAGAAGAACAAGUCAAUAAGUCAAAUCAACAUGUGCAUGUGUGGCGAAUGAAUGAUGUAUGGUGAUGAUGGUGAUAACAAUGGUGAAAGUCUAAUUCUACUUGUGCUCUUUUGAGGGGAUACAUACAUUUCUUGCUCUUUUGAAACUUUUUGAGGAGAAUGAGAUGCUCUAUAUUUUAUUUUUCUUUUCUCUCAGGUGGGUAUCUUGUACCCCUAAUUCUACUGUCGGACACUUGUCCAUUUUUACAUCUCGUCUCACUUCUUCCUUUCUUUCGAGGUUCCGGGCACUUGCCCCUUUUUAUUUCCUCGUAUCUUCUCUCUCUUUUUUAGAGCACUCAUCUCUUGAAAUAAUGUAGCAAGUGGUAGUAAACGAAAUAACUUGAGCAUUUAUUUCAUAGGGGAAAAUAGAAAUAGGAGAAUGUCUUUGGCUAUUCUCUCCCGGAUUAGGAGUAGAAUAUUUUUGGAUGGUUCUGGAGAUGGAAAUGGGUGGAUAUAUGUGGAUGCGUACUUCCAGAGUAGAAGCAGCAUGUGUGAGUGAACGUGCAAGUGAAUCUUGAUUUUAACCACAUGACAAGCUCCUAAGGGUCUACACAGCUUGACCACACUCAAUGCUCAUAAGCAGUAAAAAGUAGAUGUGUGGCUCAAAGUCUAGCAAGUAUGUAUAUAUGGCUAUGGUAGGAAUUUAAACUCUCAUCAUACAGAAACUCAUCAUGUGAUAUUUUAAAAAAUUUCAAAGAUAAAAUUCUCCAGAAUUCUAGCAUCUCAAGGAACAAAUAAACAGUAGCUCAACCUUCCCAUAUCAUAUCCAUUAACGACUUAGACUUUAGAUCAAGUACUCUUCCCACAAGUUCAGGUUUAGAACAAAUCUUAAUUAAUAACAGUCAUGCCUAAACUUGAGAGAGAUUUCAAUUUUGAGAACUAGUCAUGGCAGAGCAACUAUUCAUCAUUUCCAUGUGAGAGCUUAUCAUGAGGGUUCAUAGCAAACUUUAUUUAUUUAUUUAUUUAUUUAGCAAACUAAGCAAAGAUAUAUAUAAGCACAAAAUCUUUAUUUGGGUUUUUAUGAUUAUGCAUCUUUUUAUUAUUUGAGUAAAAUAUAAACAUGAGUGGAACGCUUAGCUAGAUAAAUGGGGGUGCUCUCCCCCAAGCUGGAUUUUGACGUAAUUUCUUCUGGUGUAGCUAGCAAGUGGCGGAGGUGUAUUUGAAUGUUGGCAGCACCCUGACAGCGAUUAGGAUGUCCUCCGUCUGCUAGUCUUCUUUGAUCCUUGAAUUCUGUGGAGCUCAAAUAGACAACAAAGCUUUGUGAAACUGGUUAAGUGUUAGCAUAAAUAUCUAGCCUUUAUCAUGUUGAGCCUCCUCAAUAAAUGUUACUCUCUUUAGUAGGAUCAUAAAUUUAUUUUUAUAAUUUUAUUUUUAUAGGACAGGAAUAUAUUUAUUUUAUUUUUAUGCCACCACAGUGAAUGUACUUAUGGGUUUUAUGCCAUGAGCAUACUCACAUGGGGCUUACUAUUUUUAAUAUUUUUAUUUUCUUUUCGAGAUGAUAUGAACCUGAUUAACUAAGCAGACUAUUUUAAAUAAUUGAAAGGAAAAGGAUAACUACCAAGUUUACCUCUUGGCCAGGCGUUCGGUGUUUUUAAGUCUUCCGAACAAGACUCUCUGUUUUCUCAGUCGUCCUGAGAUUCGCUGGACGGCGUAGUCGGUGGUUCCGGCGGCGCCUCCUCUUCGUGUAUAACUAUCUUCUCUCUCCAUACCUGACUCGGUGCUACGGUCUCCUCAAGAUAGUUUUGUUCAAGUUGUAUGUCUUCAGACCUUACAACUUCUCCUUCAUAGUCUACCCAUCCGUCCUUGAUGAUUUGUCUCCUCUGGUUGCGGUUGCGUCGUCUUCUUCUUGUCCUAACCUUCUUAGAGUCUUCCGCUAUAUAGUUAGGGUCAGUGAAAUAGCGGCGUACCUUCUCAGAGGGGAAGUUCAUGUGGACUUCUCCGGUUCUAAUGUAGAUGAUUGCUUUAACGGUGCUGAGGAACGGUCUCCUAAGGAUGAUGGGUGGAUCGUACUCGUCUUCAACAUUUCAGAAUGUCUAUGUGCCAUCUGGAGCUGAAUGUAUGUCGGUUUUAUGGGCAUGGUUCCGAACAGGAGCUGAUAGGUGACUGCGGCCAUUAUAUUGACGCCUGACCCGGUGUCGCAAAGCAUCUUCUGGAAGUUGUAUCCAUUAAUAGAGCACUGGAUGCUUGGCAUACUUGGGUCGUCCUUUUUGGUCAGGAACGGUGACUUAAGUCGACGAUCUUGACCUCCUUGAACUGCAGUGAUCAUCUUAGCUGACUCGGUCCACAUUUGCUUGUUCCUGUCCCUCCUGUUGGUCCUCUUGCUUGGUUCAUAUCGAGAUUGCUCUGAGACUUGUGUAGUCUUGUUCUUGAAGGAAAACAUCUCCUUCCUCCCCUUGAUGUAGAAACUGAUCUUGGCAGCACUAGCGUAGAUGACAGCUCCUGAGGUGUUCAGGAAUGGCCUCCCUUGGAUGAUGGGUGCCCUCUCAUCAAUACCAGUCUCUAUCACCACGAAGUCUGCUGGGGCGUACAAGAUACCAACUCGGACGCAGAGGUUCUUCAAUAUUCCCUUUGGGAAACUUAGUGUCUGAUCUGCAAGAUGCAAACACAUGGUUGUUUCUAGGAAAGGAUGUGUAAAGAAUUUUUCAUAGAGUACCCUGAGCAUAAUGUUGACAGUGGAGCCAAAGUCGCAGAGUGCUUUUAGGAAGUCCACCAUGCCGAUGGAGAUCGGGAUGACAGGGCGUCUUGGAUUGUCUCUCUUGACCGGCAGAAGGUCAGUAAUUACUUCCACAACGGGGUUACUCCAGUAGUUACAUCCUCAAGCAUCUCAGGGCAGUGAUUGCCUGAGUGUCCAGUAUCUCCAGUGUGUUUGUGCUCGUAGAUCUAGGUUCUUCACUUAGUGGAGUCUGGGAGUUGUAAAAGUCCUUCAUAUUUCGCUCGAAGUGUACCUGCUCAUAAAGACAAGGCAGAGAUCAAGUGCAUGGGCCCUGUUGGUGGAAAACACCAACAGAACCAAAAGUGUAUUUGCUCUUCUCUAACCUCAAGUAUAGUGAGCAAGACAAAGUUGAUGGAUAAUAAGAUCAUGAGUGUAACAUUUAAAACAUUUGUCAGAUCAGAUCGCUCAAACUAAUGGAAAGAUAAUCUAUCUAUACUUAUGUUAUAUAUAUAUAUAUAUCUUCCAAAGAUUGCGUGUGCAACAUUUUAGUUCAUAUGAUUAGGAGUGUGGGAUCACAAAGGUGGAAGGACUAAACAUAUUGAAUCGACUGGGUUGGUUAAUCUAGAGUUGUAAAUCAUACAUGUUUAUCUCUUUUAUUCAUGUGAACGCCAGAACCAAGGAGAAGCUUAUAGAAGUGAUUGUCAAGUACCUUAAGAUGUUACCUUACUUGAAGAGUGAUGGUACAGUAUCACCUUAUGGAAGCUUUCCUUUCUUAGCGGUUGUGCAUCGUGUUUGUGGUACCCUCCACGGAUCAUCUCUUGUGAGCUAUGCCUUUCUUGUGUAAAUUGUUAACCUUCAUGCGUCUCUCUCUUUGUCUCCAAUGUGAGUUUAUCUCAGGACUUCCCAGGUCGAUAUUGAAAUUUUUCCUGCAGGGGUUAGUCCAACAAAAUAUCCAAUAUCUACUAUAGCAUACUAUCGGCUCAAAAAUCAACCUAGACACCAUGUCUAAUUUGAUUUAGGAGGGCAUUUUAACCUAAGCACCAUGCUUAAUUUAAAAUCCUUUGGAAGUAAGAUCAUCAUUCCUAAACUAAGCACCAUGCUUAAUUAAGAGAUAAAUGAAACUACUCCAAACCUAGACAUAUACUAAAGCAAAUAAAGGUAGCAUGAGAGCAUUUAUAGAGUUCUACUCAAGUGGAGAUGAAGUAGUGUGAUUAGUAUUUAACAAAUUGAGCAUGUCUCAAAGGUAGGGACAACCAACGUAGCAACAUGGCAAAUGAUGUUUCUAUGUAAAGUACUCCCCCAAGCUUGAAUUUUGCAAAAUUCAAGUUUGGAUGAAUUUAAUUCAAUGUUGUAUGAUGAUUGGUUGGACAUACCUUGUGCUUGUCAUUCAUUCGAUCUUCUUGCUCCAAUCUUGGAAAGGUUAGUGACAAGAAUACCCGAAGAAUUUUUUUUACAAUUAUCCUUAUAUGCUCAAUACACAAGGUAAUAUUGCAAAUAAUUAAAAGCUCAUGUUAUGAUCUGAUCAGUGCUUAUUUUAGGACACUAAGCUUGUCCUUGGGAAACCAUCAAUUUAUGUCGGCGAAGUGGUUUCCCCUUCAACGCUGACCUAUAUCAAGAUCAACUCAACGAGAUCUGCAAUAUUUAUUAUAGACAUAUGUAUCGACAACUGCCCUUUUAAACUUUUUAUAAAUAGAAAGGAUGAGGGGGUUGGAGAUCUCGAAUGUGGUGAUGUUGGAGAGACCAAAAGAUUGGGAAGAUGUUGCAUAUGAGCAUGGAGUAAAUGAAGUGGCUAUGAAUUAAAUUCCAUGCUCAUUAAUGCAUAGAGUGAAAUCCAUGUGGUGUGGUGAAAAUGGUAAUUUAAGGUGAGUGUGGUAAAAAAAGGAAAAGAAAAAAGAUACACGGACGACUUGGUUUGAAACUAGCACAGCUACCUUCCCCGGCAACGGCGCCAGAAAGCUUGUUGGGUAUUUUAAACGCAAACAGAAAAAUCCGCAAGCGCACGGAUACGAUGUAGCUUUCACCCGAGAGUAUUCCAGAGUAUCGAUUUUCCAUAGGGAACGUGAGUGUACUAAUUAAGAUUCAAGAUCGCCCAAGGAUAACUAUAUAAUUAUUUUUGGUGGGAAGAGAGGAAGUUUCCUGAGAGUUCUCUAGUUGAUCUAAGAAUCAAGAAUUACUUCAAAGAUUAUUUAUUUCGGGACAUCAGAACACUAACCACAGAAAGAGAUGAGAAGGGGGCUAGGAAGCUCUGACUACGGUCCUACAAACACCGAUCCUAACGAGGUGGAAUACGUCAACUGUUAGGGCUGUCACUACCCUAGAGCUACCACAACAAUCCGCAGGAUUGGGUGCAAUUCCAGGUAAUUGCAAGACUAAACACCACGUCUAAUCUAUUAAUUACUACUCUAGCGUUAUAAAGACUAAAGCACUUGAUGCAAGCGGGAAUCCAAUAAAUAACUUGAAUGUAAAUAAAAGUAAUUAAAGAACUCAGGAAUUAUGAAUUGAAGAACUUAGAGAACGAUGAAGAACGAACCAGUUGCUGCAAAAGAAUAAUGUUGAGGAAGAUCCGACAGAUUUGGCUCCUCCUCCGCUCUCCUCUCCUCUCUCCCUAUUUUCUAGAUUACAAUUAGAUCUAACUAGAACUAGAACUAGAUGAACUAGAGGGAUCCUCUCUACUUGGAUGAAGAAUUGAAACCCUAGCUUUGAUUUUGUAGAAGAGGUAUGAUCUCCAGGGGCCAGGGGGCCUUGCUUAUAUAGUCUUUUCAGAUGAAUCUGGGCCGUCGGAUCAAACCGACAUCAAUCACACGGUUUUCUUUGAUCCCUUAGGUCGGUGGAGCACGAUCCGCAAAGUUGAUCGUGAUUGGUGGAAAAAGGUGGGCGGGCGCCCUAAGGAGUAGGGCGGGCGCCCUGUCCCUGAGCCCUCUCGGCUUCCCGUUCGUUCCCGUGGCUUCUAGAGUCUUCUAGAUGAUAGAAAAUUGUGUGGCACGUUAAUAUCUCUAUGUAAACCCGACGUGUGGGCCUUUCUUCCGUAUUUCCUGAUACCCCCCUGCAGAAAUAGACAAACACCAAAACUCGUGGAAUUCUGUCAGAUAAAACCCUAAGUCUGGGUGUUGGUUGCAUUUGGAUCCUUUUCCAUGAUUAAUUGACGGUUAAAUGUGAGCAUUAAGGACCGUCAACAACGUCAUAAUGUCAUAUAAUGCCCAAAUUUUGUCAUGGAAUGUACUGAAACCGUCACAAAAUGUAUAUGCUGAAAGUAGCUAUACCAAACAUUCAUCAAACACAAGUAAAUCACCAUAAUGACACAGGACAAUAUCAUGAAAUGCAAAUAAUUUGUCAUGCAAUGUAGAAAUUUUGUCACAAAAUGUACUGGCCAGAAAAAACUUCCUAGAUUUCUCUAUUAUCAUGACCAAAGACAAUGUCAUUAAAAGUACACAAGCUAUCACAAAAGAUACAUGCACACAACAGAUGUCCAAGGGGACAAAGGCCCAUAGUUCAUAACAAAGACAAAUCUAGCAUAAUAAGUUCAUUACAUCAUUUUCACCAACACCCUGCUUCAUCAGCCUUGCCUACUUGAACACUACAGCUAGCACCAAACAGAUGCCCAACACCUUCAUCAGCCUUGCCUACUUGAACACUACAGCUAGCACCAAACAGAUGCCCAACACCUUCAUUAGCCUUGCCUACUUGAACACUACAGCUACAACCAAUAAAAUGGCCAACAGUAGAAACAGUGUUACAUUCACACAUCCACAGACUAGACAAAUGCAGCUUGCCAUGCCAUCCUUGUUCUUCACUACCACUUCAUUCAGCUUGUUCAGGCUUUGGGUGAAGCUUUCAAUUUUGCCUACGUCCUUGGCAACUUUUGUCGUCCUCGCAGCUGAUUGUAUAUAUCCAUUAUCCUCUAGAUAGAGCACAUAUUCUUCCUCAAACCAAUAGCUAGAACAUGUCCCCUGCACCACAUUGCAAAUCAAUUAAAUUUGGUCAACGAAGAUAAAAAAUUGGGGUCCAAAAAACUGUCACAGCCAACAACACUCACAUAGCUUUGCCUAGCACACUUGAAGUAUCUUUUUCCACGGUUAACCUCAGAUUUCAUGGUAGUGGCAGCAAACACCCUCCUAUCCUUACAUUCAGGGCACUUUAUCAAUGGCAACUUCAACACUUCAUCAAUUGGUGCCUCCGGAUCGACAGUUCCAGACAUGUCAGGUGGUGAUGUCCGCCGAGUGCGAGCAGUACAUGAUGACACCUGAGACAUGAGGCCUGAUUGAGAGACAUGGGCUCAUUAGGUCAUCGACAAACAUUUCCUCAUGAAAAGCAUGGACAAUUUAUCAUUGCCAUUGGAAAUAAUCUUAGAAUAGCUACAACAUGAACAACAGUAGCAGCACUAGCUUGGACUUGAGCUCAGGUAAAUUAAUUAGAAGAACAACUACUAAUAAUCAUUCAAUCUACAUGAAUUCUCUGGGUUGUUGGACACUCCUAGCUGCGCUUGAACACCGAUUGAGACCGGUAGAUGAUGAGGCCUGAGACAUUAUCACUAAAUAAAAUGGAUAUUAAUUAGGCAUAGCAUUAAGCAUAGCAUUACACAUCAAUUAGGGAAGAUAACUCUGUGAAACAAAACAAGUUGGGGGAGAUGAGCAGAGGGGGGACGCGGAGGGGAUGAGGGUGCAUCGAAGGUGUCCGGGAGGGGGAAGAGGGUGGGUGGCACCUGGGGAGAAGGCCAGAGCCUAGCGCGCCUAGGAUUGGAGAGAGGGAUAUACCUGCCUCCACCGGUGCCUUGGUCCCCGCUGAAAUCACCGAGAUGCCGCCCUAGACUCCACCCACCAGCGCCCAAACGCCGCCACGUUGUCGACGGGGAAGAGGGAUAGGGGACCCGCCGCACCGUCCUCCACCCUUCGCCGUCGGCCCCUCGCUCCGUGCUCACCGCCCUCCGCCACGCCCGCGACGACCUCGCCUCCCUCCCUCAAUUCAGUUGACGCCGGGAAGAUGGGGAAAGUGAAGUGGUCAACGUAUAUGGAUAGGGUCCACCUACAAGGAGUAUAUUUACUCUGUGAAUGGUCAUUUUUGGAACUUACUUAUUGUGACACAAUUUAAACAUCACAUAAAGUCACACCAUAGUGUCAUAAAAGGACAAACGACGACAGGUGCCCCGUGUUUGGCAAUUUGUGACAAACCUGUUGACCUUUAUGUGACACAUUAGAUACCAUCGUCACAAAUACAUCUAGGUCUCACAACUUUGUGACGACACAAAAAAUAUCGUCAUAUAAAGCCACAUUAUGUGACAAAAACUACCCCCGCCAUAAGCUAUUUUGUCACAAAAAGAUAGAUUUCUUGUAGUGCUUGUGCUUGUGAUUGUGAUUGUAAGUGAUUGAUUGGUCAUAUUCCUACUCUACAACGUUGGUAUAACAAUCACUCCCCACUCCUUUACUUACUUGCAUACCUUGCUAGAUGUUUAGCUUGUUUAGCUUAGCCUUCUUGUUUAGGAGUGUAGAUAGUUUUAGUUGUGCUUUCUUGUUGUGACUUAGUGUUUAGCUUUCUUGCUAGAAUUGUGUAGGUGGCUUGCAUAGUUUAGUUGUGCUAGUGCUAGAAUAGCUUCGCCAUUUAUUUUACUAACACACUUGCUUAGUGAAGUUUGUAGAAAAUUUAAAUAGGCUAUUCACCCCCCCUCAAGCCAUUUGGACCUUUCACAUGAACCUUAGUUCAUUUGGGGAUUGAAGGAUAACCAUUUUUAGGAGGAAGGCUAGGCAAAGUCAGCAUGGAGGGAGACUAGAAUAUUUGGGAGAAUUGGAUUUGGGGCAAGGUUUUACCCCUCUGCGCCCAGUUGUUAAAGAAGGCGAAUUGGGAAAUUGAAUUGUCUUGUCAUUGCUUAGCCUCAACAAGAGCUAGUACAUGGAUAUAUAUAGGCAUUUGACCUGCUAAAUAAAGAGACUCCAUAACUCCCUAUAAAUCCUCUAAUUAUUGCCUUCUUGCAUGUUGGUUAGCAUGCAACUCCUUGGUUGCUGUUGGCGCCGUCUGGGCACUGCCUUUCCUACAUGCUGAUCCGCUCCUUGUUGAUCCUUUGUUGACCAAAUUUUGUUGGAUAAUUGCGCCCGCUAUGGACACCAUGUAGGUGGUCACCAUGCAAACCCCGCUGUCCACACAAUGUGUUGUAGACUUGAAGUGCCAAAUUAAUUUAGAUAUGUCAAACUAAAGGUCUAAUCAUGUAGAGGUAGUUGAAAACUCCAUCUAAAUUGGCUUAUAACUCAUAUACCAAAUCCCACAUUGAAGGAUCUGAUAUAGUUGCGGCAAUUACUAUCUUCGAGAUACAAGGUAGAAAUAAUGAUAAGGAAUGAAUCUAAUUGAUUAUGAGGCCCUAGAUAAGACCCUAGAUUAAAAAGCGACCCAAAAGAUUCCACCAGACGUGCUAAUCUUAUCCAUCAAUCCAAAAAUUGAAGCAUAUGAGAGUAGUGCUAAAGGAAGGGAUUGAAUGAACCUGCAGAUGGAUUGAGAGCUUCUAGAAAAGCUUGGAUGCGUCGGGUGUUGGCUCUGAUGACCAAAAUCGGAGGCUCAGGUGUUUCCAUCAAGGUCUAUACUGCACCACAACAAGUCUUGCUCCACUUCGGGGCUAAUAGAGAAAGAUGCCCGAGCUUCUCAUAGUUCCCACACUUUCUUAACCACUAGUGCCACCUCUAUCUCAACGGCCCGAGCACUGCUGCUGCACUUGCCAUUGCCUCGCUUGCCACUAUCGUGCUCGCGUAGCAUGUGCGACACCACCGCUAGCUACUUUUUGGGGUUUCAAUGGGUUCCAAUGUUCUUUAAGUGUGACUGGAUAUGGCUCUCGAAGGUUAUGCUAAUGCAUGUUGGUUUUUCCUAGGCUGGUAACGGGCCAACAACUAGUUUUAUUAAACCAUUGAACAGACUAAUUAACACAUGCUAAAAUGGAUUCUAACUUAAUAAAAUGCACUUUCUUUGUUUUCAAACAAGUUUUAAAAAAUUUCUUACAGUAUCGUAAGAGUUUCCAAAACUCGCUCUCAAUCUUGAUUUUUUAGUAGGAUUAAAAAAAGUCUCUCUUCUUAUCCUAACUUCCAAUCUUUUUUUAGGCAAUUGAUUGAGACGCGUGAAAAGAUAAAUGUGCGGGUGACUUGAAAUUUGCAUUAAUGCGACUUCUCCUAACUUUUUUUUCGCACCAAGAAAUAAGUUGCCACUCCCAUCUCUUCCUACCAUCCCCUAGGGAUUCAUCAUCACUACCUCCACCGCCAAGAAGGUAAAAUCAGUCAUUUUGCAUAGCCUCUAUUUUGCAUGCCCUAGCCAAAGUCUAGAGGUCUUUAACCAACCCAUCCACUAAUGCUUGGUUGUUGCUGUUUUUUAGUACAUUGUGCCAAGCUGUGGGCAACUAUAGUUGCGUAGGGAUGGCUGCAGCGGCUGAGGAUGGCUGUUGGCCACUUGUUGCCGGCUAGGGCGUGCCUAAAGGUGGUCAGGAGGCGGUGAGGUUGUGGGCAACAUGUACAAUCUAUGUAGAAAGAAGAUCAAGUUGCACCUAACAAACCUUUAUAUGUGAUCUUUUCUAAUUUUUUUAAUGAGAUUUAAAAAACAGUUAGAAUUUAACAGAUAUGUUGACAACUCUUUUUAGCGACUUAAAAACUUAUUGAUUUACGAUUUUUUUUAUAUUAUUAAAGAUUUGCUAACAUCUUCCUACUUGUUAUCACCACCAUGUAAACCUAAAAGUCCUAAAAAAUCUUAGAGCUCAUAUAAUGUACAUAGAAGAUGUGCACUAUAUAAUUUGUUAAGGACGUGACACGACUAAAAUUUUAGCUGAAUUUUAGUUUUUUAUGUGACAAUUAUGACAAAUAUUUUAUAUUAAAAUUAUCGUUUUAGUUGUUGCAAUUUAUAUAGUCAUAAUUUAUCAAUUUUCAAAGCCAUUCAGUAAAAUCAUAAAUACAACAAACCCUUAUCUGUGUUAACACAAAGAUAAUUAAUAAUUUACUAUUAUAUUAGAUACAAGACAACUAAUAAAUCAAGGAAAUAACAAUUUAAUUACUUUAAUUGAUUUUAUAAGAGUGUUACUAAAAAUUAUCUUAAAAUUCAGACAACCAAAAUAUUACUCUCUACAUCUUAAAUUAUAAGUUAUGCUAAGAAUCUUAUAGAGUCUAAACAUCUUAGGUUUGACUAAAAUUAUAGAAAUAGUUAUAAAGAUUUAUGAAAUCAAAUAAAUAUACUAUGAAAAUAUAAUUAAUGAAGAUGGAGUGAGUAUAAGAGAAAUGAUAAAAUAUUUGGAAGGAAAAAAAAAGAAAGGAAAAGGGUGCAGGCUUUUGAUUUGCUUCGGUCUCCUAUUUAUAGCCAACUGCCCCGAAAGCGAUCUCGUCUCGACUCAUCUCAUUUUUUUCUCAUUUCGCCCCCUCCACUGUUUCAAUAAUAAUAAAAGGAUUCUCGAUUCGAUUUCCUCGCCAAUUUUUCCGGUGAGCGGCGGCGAUCGGCUUCGGAUCGGCGCAGCGGAGAUGGUUGCCGUGGCGGCGGAGGUCGCGAUCCGCGGUGCGGACGCCGUGCCGGCGGCGGAGAGGGAAGCGGUGAGGGCGGCGGCUGCGGAGGCGGCGGCGAAGGGCGGUGAGGGGGAAUCGGGGAAGGAGGAGGUGAGGUACUAUGCGAGCGACAUUAGGAAGCUGGAGGAGCUGUUUUCGAAGCUGAACCCCUCGGCGGAGGAGUUCGUGCCGCCGUCGCGCCGCCGCGUGGACGGCGGCGCUCGUCGCCUCUCGGCCGACGCGCCCGUGUUCGUGUCGCCGGCGAUCGACUACUACGCGCGCCACCACCAGCUCCCGCCGCCGCCGCUGCAGCAGCAGCAGCCGAUGCACGUGCUUCAGUUUGUGGGUGGCGUCGGCGGGGGUGGCAUGGGUGGCGGCGGGGGGAGGGACUCAAGCAGCGAUGGAUCCGUCAAUGGUCAGCCGAAUCGACGGGUAAUCAUUGAAUUGCCGAGUCCGAUUCGUUGCGGAUUGUCUCCGGGUAGGGGUUUGCAGUGGGCUGUUUCUGGGUCGAUCGAUCGGUCGGCUUUGGACUUCUUUGUGAUGUUGAUGGCUUUGGAUUUUUGGUCACUCUCGCGCCAUCGCUUGGGGGAGCUGAUCUUUUGGGAGGGUUUUAGGUCUAGAUUGGUUGCAAUAUAAAAUUCAAUCCAUCUGCCAGGAUCAAUUGAUACUGAUACUCUAUGAUACAUGGGAUGUUUAAAAGAUUCUUAUCAGCUGAUUACUUCCUGAUCUCCUGCCAAUGAAUUUUCUGUCAUUGGAUUUUUCCUUAUGGUUUCUUUCUCCGUUAUAUUCUCCCAACAUAUUAUUCGCCAGUGCUAUGAGUUGGGUAAUACAAUUGGAGUACUUUCUUGAGAAUAAUCAGCUGCAUUUGGUCUGUGUUUACAGAGAAGGAAUGGUUUCAUCCAGGGGAGGAGAAGGAUGAUGGGUGGCCGGCCUCGUCGAUCUGACAGGGAGGAUAGUGUGCGGCGGACAGUCUAUGUCUCUGACAUUGAUCAGCAUGUAAAUUCUUGAGAAUGAGCUAUCGUGUUUGGGUAUAUUUAGUUUUAUUUUUUUUCUUGAUCUGUUGAUCCCUUUGAUUUGCAGGUAACUGAACAGAAACUUGCUGAAGUUUUUUCAACCUGUGGACAGGUGUGUUCUAAGGUUCCUGAUAUUCAAUCUAGUUGCGAUCAUAUGAUUUUUAUUCGUCUAUAUUCUGAACACCACAAAUAAUGAAAUAUGAACAUCCUACCAUUUUUCUUACAUGUGCUUAGCUCAUUUGUAAGUUGUAUCUACUCUGUAAGCAUGUCUGGUGGGUGCUCAUGGUUAUGUGUGUGCUGGUUGGUCUUUGGCCCUUUGGACUUUAUGUUGAUUGCAUCCGAUGUUUGUAUUUUUUAGUAUCUGGUUUUGUGCUAGGAUGUAUGAACUUGUUAACAAGUUGGAUAUGACUGUAGUUUUGUUGAUCCUGAGUAAUGAAAUUUCGGUUCCCUCAGUAUGGGGGAAAACUGAUCACAACAUUUGUCUUUUGGGCUUAAAGAUUGCAGGGGGCACACUUAUUAUCUGGAAGUUUCAAAUACAUGGACAUUCUGUACCUUGUUAGAAUACUGGCACCUUUGCAUUAUAAAUAAGCUAUCAUGUGUACAAUUGAAAUCUUAGUCUGUAAUUUGUAGGAUAGGUGAACAAAGAACGAAUUUGCAAUAUAAUCUGUACACAUAUUUUCAAUUUUGAACUUAAUUAGGUGUCAUCUGGUCAUCUGGACUUAUAAUUCAGUUAAUUGCACACAAAAAAAUUAAAUCAGUUACUUGUUAUUUGUAACGGAUUCCCAUAAUUUUUAGGUUUGCCAUGUUUUCUUGAAUAGAUGCUAGCCAAAGGAUAAUGUCUCUUGCAGAAUUAAGAUCAACAUGGUCUAACCUUUUGAAUCAAUCAAAUACUUAAUGCUUUUCAUGGAAUUGCAGAUUUGUGCUUCUGGUAUACUUUUGUCAAGAAAGCAGGCAUCUAUUUUUUAUUCAUCUGAGAAAGUAGAAACCAAAAAUUCUCUCUUGGGUAACCAAUGGCCACUGAGCUUGUAAAUCCUGUGCGUAAUCAGCCCAUGAAAUGAUGAUGGUGAGGUCUCCUUGAGUGCUCAUGUAGACCAUAGUCUUUAGGCACGUUGUUUGCCCCCUUGCGCUCCCUGUGCUCAAAUCUAUUUGAUCCAACCAGGCAGCAACGCCUCCAGAUACUGAAGCUGCAGGUCCAGCCAAGCCAUUUUCCCGGGUUUUCUGUUUCAUUUGUUAUGCUUGGGUGUUGAGUUUUUUACCUGUGUGGCCACAUGGUCCUCCUGAUUGCCUGGUAUACUCCCUCCUUGUCUAGAAAGCAUCAAGUUGGUACACUAAUCAUCUACCUAAGAUUGGUUAGAAAUAUUAAGGAAAGAUGGAAGUUUGAGUUCAGAUUGAUAAGCAUGAAUGGUUCUUCCUUAGUCAAAAAAAGAAGAAUGAUUCUUCCUUUGGCAUUUCAAAAGGGACAGUGACAUCAAAUUGGGGUAUAUGGAUUAUAUUAUUUCACGAAACAUGAGUACUACCCAUAUGGAGAGUUAAAUCCAUAUAAUGUAAACAGGUAGCUUAAACAUGGUCGUUUCACUGCACGCUGUCCACUGCAGUUUCAAAAUGCUUCAUAAUGUGGGCAAUGUUCACUGCACCCUGUCCACUGCAGUUUCAAAAUGCUUCAUAAUGUGGGCAAUGUUGUGUGGUUACAUUUUAUCUCUCUAUGUUUGACUUGUUAUGACACAUCUUUUUCACAUGUAGGUGGUAGAUUGCCGUAUCUGUGGUGAUCCUAACUCAGUGCUCCGUUUUGCUUUUAUCGAGUUUGCUGAUGAUGGUAGUAGCUUUUGACACGCCAAUUGUUAUUUGAUAGUCUUAUGUCGGUGUAAGAAACAUUCCUUAAUGAAGCUGCUUUUUCUGCAGUUGGUGCACAAGCUGCACUAGCACUUGGUGGAACCGUGCUUGGCUUUUAUCCUGUCAAGGUUCUGCCAUCAAAGACCGCAAUUUUGCCUGUGAAUCCUAAAUUUCUUCCUCGAGUAAGUAGACAAAUAAAUUUACAUUAUCUGUUAAUCUUAAAUCUCUGUAAUAAAUGCAUUAUUUUUAUUUUCCUGCAGACUGAGGAUGAAAAAGAAAUGGUAUCCAGGACUGUGUAUUGUACUAACAUUGACAAGAAGGUAUGCUUUGUGCUAUAUCAUUUCUGUUUCCCUUUUAUUAUGGUAAUGUUAAUUGGUGAAAUGUGAAAAUAAAAGUCAUUCCAAAUGAUAAGGUCUCCUUUUGGGGCCUUCUAUUUUUUUUUUCUGCUCAAAUGCUAUAUAUAAUUAUUGUACUACAACUUAAGGCAGAUAUGUUUACAUAGAAACCAAGUUUUUUUUGGGUGUGUGCAAGGGUUCUUGCCCCUUUUCUCCUACAACUAAAAAGACUAAAGAAUGGACAAUUUUUGGUGCAACAAUCGACUUUGGUUCGUCCGUCUGCCGUGCGAUACCUUCCCCGCGCACUCCCUCGCUCCCCCAUGCGCGGUGGGCCUGGUCUUGCACAGUCCCCACGGAAUCCCCCUCUCUCAUGCGCCGCUCGUGGAGUCCUCGUCUCCCCUGACCCGCGCCGACUCCUCUUCUCCCCCACACGCUGAUGGAUUCCUCUCCGCCAUGCACCGAUGGCCACUAGGUCGCGCACGUCUAGGGCGAACACCCAGCCUGAUCCGACCACUGUGGCGAUGACGCACGCAGCCGAGCGCGACGCCACCACCUUGUCCCUGUCGCCGUCCCCGUCCCUCUCCACGCCGGCCCCUCACACCCUACGCCAGCUGGAUCCUCCGUCCACCCGCCGUGGCGCCGCGGCUCGACCGGUCGAGCGGAGCGGAGAUCCAUCCAUCCGGCCGUCGGUCGGUCUCGUCAUCUGUUAUUGGUGAGUGCCUUCUAGCUGCCUCGUUUGCCUGGAUAGAUAGAUUCUCGUUCAGAUUGUAGUUGAAUCCAAUCUCCCUAUUUUUUCUCCCUUCAUUGGUUCACAAUUCUAAUUACUUUCUGCUAUUGCACUAAGUCAGGAUCCUGCCUCGUAGAAAAAACAGUGGCUCCUAGAACUCUGGAUUUGCUGCAGCGUUACCAGAUCCAUCAUACUAUAGUAUUAGGCUACAAUACUUGCACAUGUAUCUUCUGAAAAAGGACGUAGACAUUGCUUUGAGAAUUAACGAAUUUGACAUUGCUUAAUCUAAUAAAGGUGACUAUGUUCUAAUGAAUAAUUUUUCUAAUUAUCUAAUAUACUGUUUUCUUACGAAACUGUCCUCAUAAUUUGUUUGGUAAAAAUUCGAUAAGUAGACUGACAUUAUCGUGCAAUCGGUGUGUCCAACUAAUAAUUUGUUUUUUUAUUAAAUUUCAUUUUAACACUAGUAUUUAAUUAUACAGUAUUGUUAUCGUGCAAUCGGUGUGUUUUUAAUAUAAAAGUUUAGUUGUCCCGUAGCAACGCACGGGCACGCUACCUAGUCUCUUCUUAAUAUAAAGGAGAAAAAAUUGUACUACAACUUAUUUUUGUGUGUAGAUUGGAGAAGAUGAAGUGAAGCAAUUCUUCGAGGGAACAUGUGGUGAAGUAUGUGAUCUCUAUGCUCUUAUUGUAGGCAUGUGUUCUUUUACAUGACUGAGUAUAAUAAUAAUCUAGAUACAUAAUUAUCUUCCUUUUCCUUUAGGUUUCUCGUCUGAGGCUACUUGGUGAUUAUGUGCACUCCACAUGCAUUGCCUUUGUUGAGUUUGUCCAAGUAAGUAAAAAUGGAACUUCAAAAUUUAAUAUAGUCUCAAAUAAAUCAAUUUCUAUAUCAGAGAUAAUGCCAAACACAGUAAAUGAACAACACAAACACUUUUUUAUGUAAACAUUCCCUGUUGGAAAGGUGAGAAAUGCAAUAUUUUGUUUGUAAAAUCGGCUAAUUGGCGAUUGCUUUCAUGCUUCAUAGCAAUUUCGUCAUUGAACUUAGCUUUUCCAUCCUUCCACAUCGUAUUUCCUUCAGACUGAUGAUUCACUCUCAAAUGCUUAGUAUUUACCUGAUUCAUAUUUGGAUCAUUUAUUUGCAUUGCAUCUGACAUCAUUGAUUAAGCAAUAAGCAAUAGUUAUCUUAUUAACUGAGGGCUAUUAGCAGUCAUUUGAAUUUUUCAUUUCUGUUUUGGGUGGCAAGUUUCAAGAGUUUCUACUGUAUUAGAAAGCUUCUUGUACAUUAUUAUCAUGUAGAACUGAUGUCAAGCUGUAAGGACUUUUUGUUUCCUAACAGACAAAGUAAGGUCAAUUACUGAUUCACACCACAAGCAAUCGUAGCUGUAUCCACCGACACCUUUCUCCUGGCUUCAUCUGCAUCUCAUCUUCCUACUGCUUUUAUUCUAUGUCAGCUGCCAGUCUUCUAGAAACUUGUUACUCCCUCUUACAAAUUUGUCCAUGGCUUCAGGGAUAUAUGUUCCAGAAGAUUUCUCCAUUGAGAUCAAGACUAUAGUUAUAUCUAUGUUUUCAUUAUCUAACUCUAAUCUAAUAAAAUGCUUUGAAAGAAGUUAAGUACUUCUGUCAUAUUAUUCGUUAGGGAUAUAGAUGGUCAUUUUACUUCAAUAUUUUUCUUUCUGGAAAUGGCACAUCCUUGGUGGCUAUGGAUGAGUAUUGUAGAACAGAGGGAUUAUUUUACAUCCUCUUACACGGCACACAUAACCAUAUGUGUUCACGUUACUUGGAUCAUUUAUGCUUCUCAGUCUUGAGUCCUAAUUGUUAUAACAUAGAUACUUCAAAUGACAAUGUCAUUUUUUGGGCGUAGUUUCGGGUUUUUGAAAACAUACUGAUAUAAUACAUGCGCCUGUAAGGUCAGCAAGUUGUGGGCAAUUUUGUGGUUUAUGUUGGGCGACGACCUGUCAGCAGCAAACAAGCACCCAGUAACCUUGAACUUUCAAGUAUGAAACUUAUAAGAACAUACUUUCAACUGAAACAUUUGUGUUUUAGCGAAUUUCGGUCACCAUGUCGCAAAGCAAUUAACUUCCAAGUAGUACCGAAACAAACUUGGGCUUCAUUAAUGUUUAUGAUAUCUGUAGUGAUCCAAAAUGGAGCUGUCAGUUACUUCGCAUGCAGAGAAUAGAAAUGUAUACCUGUAUAUGUAAUGUAAUUUUAACAUGUCAUAUCCUGAAGUUAAAUAAUACAUGCAGUUCGACUGGUUACUCAAUGAGUCAUAUCUCAACCAGUUGUCUGUGAAUGGUGUCUCCACAAAGUAUUUAUUAAAAUUGUUAAACUGCAUGCAUCCAAAAGCACCCUUUAUAUUUUAGUGUCCCCUGAGGUGCACAAGCACAACACUAGUCAGGCAGCUCUGCCUAAUCUAGCAAUCUCCAAUAGGUGAUCAGGCAGGCGGCAGGCCUGGCCUUAUCUGGUAAUGUUGUGUACUUGUGUUGACUAGGAAUUAUCUGCUGACACCUUGGGCAAUUAAUUCCUUAUUGAAGUAAUAGUUUCAUUAGAUAAACACAAUUUAUCUCAAUGACUUUUUCUGACAAGAGUUUCUUUCUUUGACACCUGCAUCUGCAUUUCUCUCGGCUUCUAGCACCACUUCUAUUUUUGUUUCCUUUUAAUGAUAUGAAACCAAUAUCUUUGAAUUGAUGAAAUGUUUAGUUGCCUGACGAUUUGUUCCUUUUUAGAGCUUGACCAUUUAAAAUUCUGUUUAUGCAGGCAGAUAGUGCUAUUCUUGCUCUGAACUGCAGUGGCAUUGUUCUUGGAACGCUUCCUGUUAGGCAAGAACAUAUUUUCUGCAUGUGUUCGAAAGUUCUGACUAUGGUAAAGGUGUCUGUUGCCCAUUUUUUGCUUACCCUACUCUGUACCGUUGAUUUUUGCAGGGUGAGCCCAUCAAAGACACCAGUCCGCCCUCGAUCGCCCCGUGUGACGUCAUACUGAGUUCGGCUCAUCUGAAGCCGUCGUCCAGGGCAGCAAAUUUCUGGGCAGCAAAGCCUUAGUCGUGUGGCCUUAGAGACUGUCGUUUCGCGGAUCAGUAAUUGUUGUUGAGCAGAGUUCUCGUUGGUUAAAAUCUAGUCUAGUAGAAGGCCCCUCAGCUGAUGUUUCUCGGAUCAGAGACCCACCAUCUGUAUGGUCGCUGAUGGGAGAUCUAUUUUGACCUCCUUUUUUUUUGGUCUUUGUUAUCAUGGUUGGAUUCUAUGACAGCCUUGACAGUCAUUCGAACAAUAAUGUCUAUGGCUUCUCUUAUCCGCUUUCGUCUUUAAGCAUGUUUUCCCAAUGACUGUUGUGCACAAAUGCUGUUACUGCUCCGAGGCGGAACUGUCUCAGGAGUCAGGAUAGGCCUGAGGCACUCGCCCUGUAACAGCAUUUCUAAUAUAUGCAUAAUCUUUGAUUUAGAGGGAAGUCGGUGUAUAUAGUCCAUGAUUAGUGGUGCAAUUAUUAUAGAUAUAAACGUUAUUUCCGUGUGGAAGUGGGAGGUGCUUUCCUUAUUUGUUUCGUUAGAUCUGGAAGACGGACGACCACUUCUCUUUUACCAUCUCGUGGUUCGCAUCUUUGAUACUAACAAGUACUGUUAAAAUUGAGCGCGUUGAGCAAGCUUGCGCGUUGAGCUAUAAUUAAUUUAACAAUACUCGAAUUUUGCACUUAAGAUCGUAAUUGGCUAAUUGGAUAUUUGCGAUCAGAUGGGAAUAACCAAGCUUUAUUUUCCAAUGAGGCUUUGUUUGUAGGAUGCCUUGUUUGUGUUGAAAUAUAAAAUGGUUUGCUCACUUUUCAUUUCAUUUUAAAUUUUUGUUUUUGGUUAAACUAAUCUGUGCAUGUAACUUGAUAUACUACUUGAUACAGAUGUUUUGAGUUCGAAUUUUAGCUAGCAUAAUUAAAUAUAGUUGUUGGUCGUCUCUAUUUUACAACUAUGAUCUUAUGGAGCCUCCACGUAAGAUGAAGUAUGAUCUUAUGAAGUUAAUGUUCAUUUUUUGUACCCGCUUAAAUUUUUUCAUCAUAUUGACCGGUGAUUAAAACCUUUCUUUAAUUAAUUUUGCAGACCAUAAUAUUUCGUUUGAACGGAUCAAAUAGAGAGACCGGUUGCCGCACCAUUUAAUGCCCGUUCGUUUAAAUUACCGAAUGUACUAGUCAUUAUUCUUCUAUCGUAACAAAUCAGUUAGAUAUAAUUUUUUAAAAAAAUUUUAACACUGUAGCAUUUUCAUUUUUAUUUGACAAACAUUAUCCAAUCAUGGAGUAACUAGGCUUAAAAGAUUCGUAUCAUUAUUUACCCGUACACUGUGCAAUUAGUUACGUAAGAUUCGAUGUGACGGUGAAUCUUAUAAAGUUUUGGGUUUUUGACCUAAAUAUGCUUUUUGAACGAGCUGAGGCCGGUUGCAAACUCUAGCAGCGGAAAAAAGAAAACUCUGCACCUUCGGUAGCUCGGAGAAGCGUCACCUACUCCGCUUUCUGAGCAACAAUCGUGAUUAGACGAUCCGUAGUGUACCUACCUAUAUACAGAAAGCAAAGGAACAGAAGCACGCGGACCGUGGCGCUGUCACCUUGCGUCACGCGGCACCAGCCACAGGCCACAGCGACCCCAUCGACAUCCAUCGAUCACCCAUGGCCUCCUCGCUCCGCCAUUUCGCCGGCCUCGGCUGUUUCCCCGCCGUGGCCUCUACCUCUGGCUCCACCUGCUGCCUGCGCCGCUACACCCCAAACUUCUGCGCCUUCGUGGCGCUCCGUCCGAUCAGCCCGCCCGCCGCCACCGCCACGGCGACUGCCAAGGCCCUCACCUCUCCGUCUCCGGUGGAGCAGCACCUACAGGCCGUCGUCCCGUGCCACGGCAUCAGCGACCCGCCGGCGGCGUCAUCGGCAGCAGCGGUCCCGGCGGCGCCGCUGCGGGUGGGGAUCGUCGGGUUCGGCAACUUCGGGCAGUUCAUCGCGGGCGGGCUGCAGCGGCAGGGCCACGUCGUGCUGGCGGCUUCCAGAUCCGACUACUCCGUCUACUGCGCCAGCCAUGGCAUUCGCUUCUUCAGGAGCGUCGACGCGCUGUGCGAGGAGCAGCCGGACGUGCUGCUCAUCUGCAGCUCCAUCCUGUCCACGGAGGGCGUCGUCCGAGCCAUCCCCUUCCGCAAGCUCCGCCACGACACCAUCGUCGCCGACGUGCUCUCCGUCAAGGAGUUCCCUCGCAACCUCCUCCUCGAGGUAACCAAUCAAGGCCUUGUUUAGUUCACACUUAAAACCAAAAAAUUUUCAAGAUUCUCGGUCACAUCGAAUUUUGUGGCACAUAUAUGAAACAUUAAAUAUAGAUAAAAACAAAAACUAAUUACACAAUUUAGCUGUAAAUCACGAGACGAAACUUUUGAUCCUAGUUAGUUCAUGAUUAUAUAAUAUUUGUCACAAACAAACGAAAGUGCUACAGUACCGAAAACUUUUCACUUUUCGGAAGUAAACAAGGCCCAAAACACUCUAAUUACCGGUACGGCAUUAACGAGGCUUUUCAAUUUUUCAACACCCACCUACCGUUCCCGAUCAAUAAUCAAUAAUGCACCUGCUCCUGCUGACGGUUGGCAGCUGAGCUGAUGUUGGUGAACGACAGAGAAUACUAUGCGGCCGUUUGGAUCGCAGCCUGUGAAUAGUAUUUUUUUUAAAGAAUAAUGGCUAAUGAGAUGUAUCCACCAAUAAACCUAUUAGCUUUUAUUAGCCCAUAUUUAACAUUUCUAGGACAUCGUCCUGGAAUAUAAGAGUCAAUAUUUUUAAGACGACUGGUGGUGUCUUGAUUGAUGUUAGGGGAUCGUCCAGAACAAUUAGUCGUCGUCCAGGACGAUUAAUCGACCCUGGACGAGUCUCCUGGUUGUCCUGGUCAUCUCCUACGUAUGAAGACCGAUAUAUACCAUAUGUAUUAUGUAGUUAUCACAUUCUAGAGUCUAGAUAGGUCAGGACAGGUAGAACAUCAAGCUUGAACGAGGAGGUGAUGAGUGACCUGAGGAGGAUGAGCUCAUCUUUGUAGUCCUCCUCCCUUGCACAGUUGGACCUGUGCCACCUGCUGGAUGUGCAGGUCUAUACACUUGCAGCAGCAGCCGCAAGGAAGAGAGGGAAGAAAGCUGAGAGGAACUGAGGAAGGGAGGGAGGAGCAGCUAGGAACCGAAAGGGAGGAGAGGAGAGAAGCAAUGGAGGUGGCUGCUGCGGGACAGGAGAGGUGAGAGGAGUAUGUUCCGCUGAAAUGAGUGAGUGAGGGGUAAGAAACAACAUAAAUUUUAAUAGGCUUGGGCCAAAAUUUAAGGCAACUAGCUAGGUUCAACUCUGAGAUGCAGUCCACCUAUUGACUGGACGCCCAAACAACUUGGACGGACGAUUAAUCGCGAUUGGACGACGACUAAUCAGACGACUAGUUUCCUGGUUGGUCUGGCCGAGUCAGAGACCCUGGUCGAGUAGCUCCAACUAUCCAAGACGAUUAGUCGUGAUUAAUUGUACAAUAGUUUAUAGUCAAAAUAAUGCUGAUGCGAAUGAGUAAAGAGAUGAGAGAAAUGAGAGCUUGGCUCCUAUGCAAACACAACAGGGCAUGAAGCAUACAUGUUUAUGGGCCCAAGUAGGCUAUCAAAGCAUAUGUAUUUGUGGGUCCAAGUAACAAGCGUUUUGAGAAGGAAUAGGAGAGAGAGACUUUUUCACACUUAUUGUAUAACUUAGCUCUUAUAACUUGUCUUAUAGCCAAGUAAAUUGGCUCUAUUGUUGAUCUUGUUCUAAGGCUUAAAGGUAGAGACUAACGCAGUGGCAGACCUAGAAUUUUAAUACAGGGUAUGUCGCACACAAAAAAUUUUUAUGUAAUUUGGUAAAACCAUUUUAUUCAGUAAAAAUUCUAUCAUUAAAUUUUAUUAAAAAAACUGACAUGAUAAUACUAAUGUUCGACGAACCAUGAACCAAUCUCUAACCACCGAUCUCGCUAAUAUUCCCGAUGCAUAACUAAUGUUGGAGUGCAUAAUUCGUAAAGCUGACACGACACUAUAUAUAUAGCUAUCAAUUUUCAUGCCAUGCAUAACUACAAAUUUUCAUGCUAUACAUAGCUAUAGAUUUCCAUUCCAAAUAUGUCACAGGACACAAUAAAAUGAAAUGGGAUGAAAACAAUUGGAAAAUAAAGGAUAAAAAUACAACACAAAAACUAAAAAAAUAUAUUAUCUAUGGUUAGUUUUUGAAAGGGACAUAAAAAGUUAGCUUUUAAAGGGAACAUAAAAUAUAAAAAUAAAACAAAAAUUGGAAGAAAAAAAAGAUAAAAACAGAACACAAAAACUAAAGAAAAAAAAUGAUCUACAGUUAGUUUUUGAAGCGAACAUAUAAAAAGUUAGUUUUUAAAAGGAACAUAAAAAUAUAGAAAAUUUAAAGGAACAUAAAAAUAUAGAAAAUUAAAAAAAAACAUAGAUGCGGAUAUUUGAGCCAGGGAUCUCUUGGUUAAAAAGCAAAUAGGCCAUUGGGCUAUAAAGACAUAUCAUCAAAAUAUUUAGUUUCAAACAAUUUUGUUAUAUACAUAGUAGUUCAUAGCUGCUCCACUGGGUAUGCCAUGGCCCAUCUGGCAUACCCUGUGGCUCCGCUCCUAACGGAAGUUUUUAUCUCUGCUAAUUAUCUUGCCAGCCAAAAAAAAAGCUUAUGCCCUAUUUAGUUUCUUACCCAAAAACUUUUUAUCCAUCACAUUGAAUCUUUGGACACAUACAUAUAGCAUUAAAUAUAGGAAAAAAAUUAAUUGCACAAUUUGGUUGUAAAUUACGAGACGAAUCUUUUAAGUCUAAUUGAUUAGCCAUAAUUACUACAGUAACCAACAUAUGCUAAUAAUGGAUUAAUUAGGCUUAAUAAAUUCGUCUCGUAGUUUCCAAGCGAGUUAUGCAAUUUGUUUUAGCAACUCCAACAGUUUGCUAAAACUCACUUGACAAAUCUAUAGUUUUGUCAAGUCUCAAAACCAAAUACCAAAUGAAAAAAGAGGCCUUCUCCAACAGUUUGCUAUUUGAACUUGGCAAAAGAAAUUGGUAUCCUAGAACUUUUGCCAAAAUCAUAAAAUUAAGCCUUAAACAAGUUGGCAAAACUGGUUUGCAAAUUGGGAUACACGUAAUGCCAAACGACGGAGGACUUGGCAUAUUUACCAAAUGAAGGGGGAAUUUUGCCAAGCUCACAAAAUCCUAGCAUGCCAAGUAUUUUUAGCAAACUGUUAGAGUUGCUUAGUAUCAAAAAUCUCACUCGACAUCGGCAUAUCUAAUAUAAUAUCAAAAAAUUUUCUUUUUGUGAAAAACAAUCCUUGGUUGAGAAACUACGUUACUCGUGAAAGUAGGCGUGUUUUCGCGUAGGGAGUAAACGAGCGGUUUCUACGGGUAGGGCGUCGCCGUUCAUGAAGACUUCACAGGCAGUAUCGCCGACGCGUAGGCUGCCACACCGCGAACGCACCUCCCUGCCGUGCCUCCCGUGCCCGCAAUGAACGCACCACCGCGCCAUGCAGGCCAAGGCUCCACGCCGCCGUCGCUCUUGCACCAGCCAUGUCUCCGCGCCCAGGAUUGUCGAGCCUCCGUGCCUCUGCCCAUCCGCGCUCGUCGUUUGCCCCUGCCUCACCGGUGACCAGCAGCCUCCCUUCCCUUCCUCUGGCACUCAGAAAAGAGAAAAGAAAAGCAACAUUUAUUAUGCGAAGACACAUAAAUGUACUUACUAUUUCUUGUUUAUUUGACAAAAUAGAAAAUAGUCACUCCAACAGUUUGGUAAAUGGGUUGCCAUCUUUUGGUAACUUACCAUCCAGCAGCACCGCGCGCCCAUAUUUAUCAACUUGCUAUCCAGCAGAUUAGUUGAUUUGGUUGUUAGUUGUGGGUCUUUUUUUUUAAGUUUAUCAAGCCCAAUUGACAAACUGUUGGACAUAGAAGAAAAUCUCACUUGCUAUAUGUUUUAGCAACUUGCCAAAUCACAAAAUUUGGCAAGUGAGUUUUACCAAACUGUUGGAGAUUACCCAGCACUAGAACAGAUCUUACCAUAUACUACGAUUCAAAGACCAAGAAAUAUAUUUAAUUCUUUAUCUUAGCAUUAGUAUUUAUGAGACUUAAACAAAAAGUAGUUACCGCUUAUAUAUUAAGACGGAGUGAGUGUUUGUCAUACAAAACUCAACUAAUUUUUAGCUCUAUGUAUCAACACCCCUACGCCUAUUCCGUGGUCCAGAAUUCGUUACUUCAUUUUCUCUGAAUUUACUUGAUUUUCUCUGAAUUUCUGACAAAGACGUUACCCUUAUGUUAGACUUACCAACUGUACUUACAAGGAAUGGUGCAUUGCCGUGUGUGGAAUCUAGAAUGAGGAUUGCUGAUACACUGAUACAUUGCCAAUCUGUCAGGUUCUCCCACCGGGAUUUGGGAUCAUCUGUACGCACCCCAUGUUUGGGCCGGAGAGUGGUAAACACGGCUGGGGCAAGCUUCCCUUCGUCUUUGACAAGGUCCGUGUCGCGGAAGACGGGGAUCAGGCAGCAAAGUGCGACCAGUUCUUGAGCAUAUUUGAACAGGAGGUAAUUCUACCGGGACUUUUGAUCUCUUUGUUUUGAUGUUCAUUCACAGUGGACCAUUUUUGGGAGUAACCUUUGGUCACAACAACUGACUGACUAGAGUUACUCAACAUGUGGAUUUUUUGUGUGUGUUUCAUUUUGUUCUAAACGAUGUUUGUAGGGAUGUAGGAUGGUGGAGAUGUCAUGCGCGGAGCAUGAUCGCUACGCUGCGGGAAGUCAAUUCAUCACGCACACAAUUGGGAGGUCAGCAAACAUUGCAUAUCUGGAAUGUUUUUACAGUUAUUUAUUACACCAAAUUGUUUCCUGUAUCUGCCUGCUUAGCUUCAUGCUAUGAAUAACUCGCGUUGUUUGGUGCAGGGUUUUAUCACAACUGAACCUCAAGUCAACGCCAAUCAACACCAAGGGUUAUGAAACCUUGCUGCAACUUGUAAGUGGUGAAUAAUGGCAUGGUCUUGUCCGUUCUUGAUUGCUGAGACGAGGGGCUCUUAUCGCCUACUACGAACUUGCAGACCAAGAACACCGUAAGCGACAGUUUCGAUCUGUACUAUGGGCUCUUCAUGUACAAUGUCAAUGCCACAGAGCAGGCAAGUGCUCUGCACUCUUCAUAUGCUGUGCUAUCGCUAUCAUCCCCUCAACACAUCAUGCAUUAGUUGCAUAUAAUAAGCUAGUUUUGGUUAGCCUGUGGGUCAGCGAUUGCUGUAAUGCAUAUAGUGCUAUUGUUUGUUAACAGUACAUAUGCCUAAAAUUAAGCUCAACCAUCAGCCUAAUUUUUCACUACUUCACGCGCAGCUCGACAAACUGGAAAUGGCAUUUGAGAAGGUGAGACAGAUGCUGUCUGGCAGGCUCCACGACUUCAUACGAAAGCAGAUUGUGGAGAGGGCAGCCCAUGUGCCAGCAGAUCCUUCAGGAAAAUUGGCAAAUGGUUUGUCCAGUUCUCCUGCAGCUCGCCUCUUAUAGACAGUAACUGAAGAAAAUAAGACACAUGUAUUGUUUCCUACACUUCAACCGGAUACUUCCCAAAUCCCCAUUUGUACAUCUUCCUAACUAUUACUUCGUCCCAAAUCCCCAUUGGCAAAUAGUUUAGAUGUUGGUGGAUUUUUCUGCAGAUUUGAUCAUCAAAGAUAAAAGGUGUUUAAUUUAGAACAAAAACCAAAGUGAAACAUAAUUUAAAACAGUUAAGAGUAUGUUGUUGUAAGUGUGCAGUUUCCAUAGUUAUUAUUAUUGACUAGACCAAGAGUAUAAGGAUACUGCUCUCCAUUUUGUUCCAGAUCUCUCACCUCACUUCGAGGCUGUUUGCUUGCUAACAAUUCUAUAAAAAAGAUCAAUAACACCAAAUAAGUAUAUUAUAAACAUAUAGUUUAUGAUGUUAUUAUUGACAUAUGGAAAUUAUUACUAUGUUUAAAAAUCUACAAUUGGAACUUAAGAUCCAAUAAUCCGCUGUCCUCUGUUUAUUACCUUAAAUAGUAGUAACUACUAGGUUACUAAACACAGAUACAUGGCAACUAUAUGUGCAUGUAGCAUUGUAUCACCAUAAAUGUAUACUUCAUCUUAAUGUCAUUUUUUCUCUAAGGCACUAUUAUACUAGGUCUUUAAUAGACAUAAUUUAAAAUCUGGCUUAUCAUAUACGAUAUAGGAUGACUACGAUCCUGAUAUCCUUUCUAAAAUCUUGCAACCUGCCUGGAAUCGGAUCGGGCUCUCCUUCCAUAAGGGUUUGACGGGCCAAUCCCAUGCUUCUUUCCACUGUCAACUUUCCUCAUCUUUCGGUGUUUAGAUGCACCGCUCUCCAGGUCCAGAUUGACUUUAGGAGGGUUCUUAAAACAGAAUGAUGCCGCAACUUUCUGAAAGAAAUAAAGAAAUUAGAAAGAGUAUUACCUCAUCCUCGCAGCCCCACCAAAAAUAGGUAACAGACAGACAAUUUGUAUUUGCAUUAAUUGUCCUACUUGACUAUGUAAGAUUUUGCAAAUUAAACAAAAUAGCCAGAGUAGAGAUAUAUGCACACAGACCAAGGACAGCCUUAGGAAAGAACUUCACAAGUAUGUACCGUGAGAUCAAGUUGAUGGACGUCAAAAAUGUCUUUCAUAGAAUGUGAGUUGUAUGCCAAAAGGUAGGACCUAUAGGCUUCCUUUGCUGACUGAUUUAGAAAGUAAUUCCCACCAACAAUGUUCUCCUGCUCCAAAACUCAAGUUAAAUACUUCACAUUGGAACAACAAGAUUGAACUGCGAAAGACACUCACAAGUUGCGAUUGCGAUUUAGGCACAUGCUUCUCACUGAACACAUAUUGAGUCAGAGAAAUAUUGGCCGCCUGCAAUAUGUUACUUCCUCAAUCCAAUUAUGUGGAAUAUCAUAAUCGGAGAUGUAAAAAUCAUAAAAAAAAUGCUUUAACAUAUAAAAUGAGACAACAAUAUCCAUAUUUCAGAGUACUUCCCAACACACUAUAUUGACUUUGUAUCCAGACAUGCUAAAGAAAAAAAAUGAUCACAUUAAAGUUAAAAACAGUGCCACAUACACUUCGAGGUUCCUCUUAAUAUAAGAGGGAGAAGGGAGGAGGGAUGGGAAGCACAUUACCUGCAGAUAAAUAAGCAACUUCAAUUCUUCCGGUAGUAAGAACAAUAAUGCACUUCCUUUGCCUUCAUCACCUCGGGCAGUACGACCAACCCUGUGGAUGUAAUCCUACAGAUUAAAUUCCAAUGCCAAGUUAGAAAAUUUGAUAAAAAUAGAUAAUUAAUUAGGAAAGUUCAGGACGACUUACCUUUGGGUCAUCUGGAGGAUCAUAUUGCACAAUAUAGUCCUAAACCAGACAAGCGGUCCUUAGGUUAGCGAGGGGUACAGAAAGGAUUGGUACAAAUGAUUUAAAAACGCAGGCCAAAACCUUACCACAUCAGGAAUAUCAAGUCCACGUGCUGCCACGUUUGUGCAUAAUAAGAUGCCCCUUUUCUCCUUCAAAAAUCGGAAGAAUGUACUAGUUCGCUUCUGUUGCUUCAGCUGCCCAUGAAUAUCAUAACACUCUAUCCCAAAGAAAUUUAGAAGUUCUGCAUGGAACUUGACUGAGCUACAUGACGAAAAGAACACCAUGAUCUUCACACCCUGCUCCCUAAGCUGCAUCCUUCUUAGGAAAGCAUACAGAACCAGAAAUCUUUUCUCACUUGGAAUGACACAAUAACCCUGCUGCAAGCCCUCAACUGUAGGCUGUAAGAGCAUGAAAGUUAUUUCUCAUACCAAAUAGAUAAAAAUUCUUUAAAAUAGAGUUGAACAAAAUUGUGAAAUAGUUCCAUACCUUCAAUUUAGAAUCAUCAACUCCAACAUAAACAAGUUUCCUUUGUCUUUCUUCAUUCUGUCCAAAUGUAAAAUUCGCAAAAUCUACAACCUGUGGGAUCAAAACACAUAAACAAUGGCACUGACAAAAAAAAGGGGACGAGAUUUUGAAUAUGCUAACAAACAGAUCCACUGACCUUUUGAGUCUGCGGGGCAGAAAAAAGAACAGUUUGCCUAUCCUGCAUAUGAUGCAUAACAAUUUGAGGACAAAAAUACAGCAAUCUCAGUACAAAAUUUAAAACGCUAACUUCACAUAUGAAAUGAACUUGUCAGACUAUCACAUACCGAAGGGAGUCGUUUAAAUAUUUGUUUCAUAUCCUCCUCAAAAUUUUGCUCAAGUAUGCGAUCAGCUUCAUCAAUUAUGAGGCACUACAACAUAGCAAGUCAUGUUAAAGAUAGAGUACAUAUAGGUCAGGAAUUACAUCCAUUGCCUUAAACAUGAGUUUUCAUGAAAAUCAAUGUCAUUUUCCUGCUAAACAGGUGGCACAUGAGCCACUGAACCUUAACUUGCCCAUGGGGCAGCCCAGCACAGUAGGCAUAUUCCAUUGCCAAGGUAUGAGUAGACAGCACAAUGCAUUACAUCCCUGCCCAAAAAUGUAUUUACUGGUGGGCAAUUAGAUAUUCCUUUCAUCUGAAAAUGGAAUUUAAUAUUGGCGACAGAUAUGGAAAAAAGCUUUUAUCUACAGAUUUUUUUUUUUUGAAAAUGCAGGAGAGCUGCGCUUCAUUAUAUUAGAGAAGAAAAUAGUCCCCAAACAGCCCACUUAUCUCGUACGGGGACUUUUAUCUGCAGAAUAACAAACAACAAUACAUCCGAUGGACUUGCCAACCCACAUAACAUUCCUAACAAUGGAUCAAUAACUUUAUAAAGAAUAUAAACCAUUAGGUUUUAUGAUUUUGCAUGUACUUUGGCAUAAUGUAUGCAGAAAUUUCAUUUAUACUCUAAUUCAGUAUUAAGAAGCCAGUACUGGACAAUGAAAAGAUAGAAAAACACAGAUCUGAUAUAUGAAACAAAUCAGGUGACUGAUUAUGCAUGUAGAGUAGCGAAGUAUGAGAUUGCUGGUUGUAUUUGUUAUUUAGCUUGAUAAUUAGAAUAUGCACACUAUUUCAACAGAAAUAUUUUCCUUGAAGCUUGGAAAAAAAUGAUAAUAACAAGAAUGCUUUACCUGUAGCCUUUUAUAGUGGAAACCACUGGUACUUCGCAGAUGGUCCAAAAGUCUGCCUGGUGUAGCAACUAACAGAUUGAUCCCUUUCACAAUUUGGUUGGCCUCAUUUCUUAUGUUAGUGCCACCAAUAACAUAUCCAAUAGUUUGUGAGUGAUACUUCAUUAAUUCCUUGGCAACAUUGUGUGUCUAGCACAAAAGAAUCAAUGAAACUCAUAAGUCAUAGUUAUUAGGGAUAGUGAAAUGUGAGUCCCUAUGAACAAAGUCUCGGCAACCAUCCAACAUGAAGAUACACUAUAUAAAACUGACUCCAAUGCAUUAUAUUUGCACAAGCAUUACCUUAGCAAAGGAUAUGCUUACCUCAGUUUGGUCCAUCUGAUUUUGAUUGGGUUUCAUUCAAUGCAAGUUGAAGAGUCACAAAACAUGUAAAAUGGAAUUAAAGAGAAAUACUGUUGCGUCAUAUGCAUAUAUAUUACCUGGAUAGCAAGCUCCCUUGUUGGGCAAACUACAAUAACUCCAGUUCCGUUCCUUGGCGUGAAGCAUGCUUUGUGCAGCAGUUCGAUCGCCGGUAUAAGGAAGGCAAGGGUCUUCCCUGAGCCAGUUUUGGCUGAUCCCAGCACAUCACUUCCUAGCAUAAGAUGCGGUAUUGAUCUAGCUUGAAUCUGCAAGGAAAAGAAACAUGCAUACAUGCCAUUUACAGUAAUACAAAAAAUCCAACAGCUAGCGCAGCAAAGAGCAGAUCAAAUCAACCCACAUAAUGCAAUAAUCAACCGCAGAAGCAUUCAAUCAACUAGCUGUAAUUAUGAAAUUGGACAAAAAUUUAGGUGUCGGCGAGAAUUAAUGACCUCGGUAAGGUGGGUGUAGUUCAUCUCUGUGAUGGCCUUGGCAGUGAACUCGGAUAUGUAGAGCUCUGAGAAAGUUUUGUUAGUUAGAAUUCCUCCUGCAUUACCCUUGUUCACCUUUUCUUCUUCUUCUUUAUUCUCGUUCUUCCCCUGCUCCAUCCCUAUCUCAUCCUCCUUCCGCUUCCGCUUCCCCUUACCUUUCUCCUUUUCAUCUUUCUUCUUCUCCUUGCCCAUCCCCUCCCUCCCAUUCCCCUCCCCUUUCCCCUUCUCCUCAUCCCCAUCCCCAUCGCAGGUGGCGUCGUGGAUCGACUCUCCCGACUCUGGCGGAGCAACGGGGUUCUUCAACGGCUGGGCCAAGUGGCUACAGGGGCCGCUCAGGUACAUGGCGGCGCCGGGGGCUGCUGAAGGUUGGUGAGGAGGGCUCACUCCGGCUAAAUUCGAAUCGUACAUAUAAUAGCGGCGGCGGUGGCGGCGGCGGAGGCGGUGGUGGUGGCGGCUGCUAGAGCGGCAGAAUGUAGGUAUUAGUGCACGUACACGUGCACCAGAGCGUUUCACGGGGGCGCAGACGUCCACGCGUGGGCCGUGCCGCCGUGCCGAGGACCUACUUGUUGUAAUUUAGAGUACUGUAAUGUUGUACUUGUACAAACAAGACUGUAUUGUACAUUUGUAUAUAUACAUGUAUACAAGAUACAGGGAACACACACACCCAGACACAACGAGAGGCCCGAUGAUCAAUCAGACACCAGCGGAACAACUACCGCACCGAUCUCGUGGAGUCAUGGAGGAGGAUCGAUGACUACAUGAUCGAGCAAGCAGCACUCGGGUUCUCGUCACUGAAGUAGUUCCGCACGGCGGCUGGCACUACUUCGCCGGGCUGCUCCUGCUCCUGGUAGUUCCCGUAGAGCUCCGAGUCGUAGUACCCGUGGACAUGGUAGUUGUAGGAGGAGCUGGCCUUGGCCUGAGGGUACAGCUGCGCCACCGCCGGCUUCCUGCCCACCGCCGCCGCCGAGCCGCCGCCGCUGCUGUUCUUGCCGGCGCGCGGGACGCUGCUGUAGUAGUAGUGGUGCUGCUGCGGCUGCGCAUGCGCGGGCUUGGCCUGGUGGUACAGCUGGUACUGGUACUGGUAGUAGGAGGCCGCCGGCUGCGCGUGGGCUUGGUGGUGGUAAUACGCCGGGUUGUAGUUGUAGGCGGAAGCGGAACCGGAGGGCCACAGCACGGCGAGCCUUCCCGUGCGCCGCGCCGCCCGGAGCGCCUUCUUCUGGCUCACCGAUCCCGUCACCGUCACCUUGCCGUGCAUCCUGUCUAUGCUUACGUGGUGCACUCCUGGAGAGGAGGAGGAGGAGGAGGAGGAGGAAGAGGAGAAUCAUAUCGAGCAGUUCUUUGCGUGUGUGAUCAUGAGACAUUUUCGUACGACAUACAUAUACAUAUACGCACCUUCGAGCUUUUCCAGGGCUCUCCUGACCUUGCCCUCGCAGCCGUCGCAGUCGAUGUUCACAUGCAUCUCUACGAUCUGCAAAGACACGACACGACGAUCGAUGCAUGGUUUAGUUUCAGAGACGAGGGAUAUGCAUGAGAGCACUAGAACACAAACAUGCAUCAUCCAUCAAAAGUCUGAGUCAAAUUAAUUGGCCAAGCAGUGAUUUGUGUUAGAGCGAAGAGUGACUCAAGCUUACCGUCAUGGUUCCUCGGACAGACGACGGUAAAGAAGAUUCACUCUGGGGAGUUCACUAGGACAGUGUGUAGUGCAGUGUGUGGUGUAUAUAUGCACAAGAAUCACUACCGGAGAUGCAGCAGGAGAGAAGACAUGCAUUGUGUAUUUGAGGAUAUCAAGUCACGGUGCCAAGUACCAAGUAUAUUGCCGGCUAUUUUGUUUUCUCUCUUUUUUUUAUGGAAACGACGCGGACAAACAGUCCCCACCUGAUGUAUUGCCGGCUAAUAAUUUCUUUGUUCCUGUAGCCCAUUGCGCUCAUUUAAUUUGCCUUGACGUCGCUGGCAGUGCCUAUCCCAGUAUUUCUUCCCUACAUACGAAUGCCAUGGAAGUUGCGUGCCAUCACUUAAGAAGAUGCUUCGGUCAUGGACAACGACCGGCUAAGUAAACUAUAUGCUGAAUCAACGCAGCUGGGAUUGCGUACGUUGUGUAAGAUAUAUAGAUACAUAUGCAAAUUGAGCAAGUAGGCAGACACAACUAUCAGGUCGCUGUUUCUGCGAUGGGCAACCAACGUACGGGAGAGCUUCAUUUUUUUAAUUUAUAAGUUAAUUUAAUUAGAAUUGUUAUCUGGCCAAGUCUAGAUUAUAUUGAACGUUAUUAGGUUCACCAUCCAAUAUCUAUGUAAGCCUUUUAGGUGUAAUGUAACUUAAUUGGUUGGGCCGGGUUUCUUUGUCGAAGCUGCCCAAUUGGGUUCAAUUUCCAAAUUUGGAAUGGGUACUUGUGCUUUUCUUGAUCUUUUUUUAAAAGGAUAUAUAUAAUGGAUGAUUUUUUUUUCAAGAAACAAAACUGUUAACUCACUCUUUUUGUUCUAUCCUUUUGGAUGGCUUUUGGUUUUUCUAGUAGCAAAAGCACUUUUAUUUGAAAGCCCAACCAAACACACAGUGAUAGUUGCAUUUUUCUUUAUUUAUCUUAGAAAAGGGUAGGAAUGGGUGAUGUUUCCGGAAACAAAAUUGUCAACUCAAUGUUCCUUUUUGAAAACAAUAUGGGUAAAGUGCAGUGCUUCUGUAGCAAGAUAUUUUGAUCUCCCAGAUCGUCGUGUGGACUUAAUUAUAUUAUUGUGGCUGGAGAAAGUAGUCAAUGGUGUUGUUAAAUAGGCAUGAUCUUCUAUAGGGACACAAUCCACAAAAAUUCAUUUGCAUUCAUCUUCGGAAAUGGCCCAUUAAUUGUAAGGAUCAUGUGGUGAUGUAUGCGAUUUAGUGAGGUGUUGGUGAUUUAUGAUGACAACCCAAUUACUGAGAAUAAUAUAUAUUUUAAGAUGGGUUAUAGAUAUUUUAGUAGAUUCUACAGGUUCAAGGAAACAAACAACAUAAAGAAUAGUGAAGAAAUAACGAAAAAACCAUGAAAAUAAUGAACUAAUGUGGUUGGAUAGUCCACAGUACAGCGUUGGACAAUUAGGGUCAGUGUUUAGCCAACAAAAUGAUUAGAGAUUUAGAGCACUGUUCACUUAGCUUGGUGAAAGCUCUAAUUUAGUUUUGGUGAAUUGAUGAAACUCUAUGUGCUAACCUAUUGUUCUAAGUAUUUAUGAGAUAGGAAAGCACAUUCCAAGUGGUGAGCAACAUGGGUGAUGAUCAUAAUGGUGAUAGUGGAACCAAGGUGAUCAAGUGCUCGGGCUUGGAAAAGAAGAAAGAGAAAAACAAAAAGCUCAAGGCAAAGGUAUAAUUUUUUUUGACCGAAGUCAGCAAGGAAACCCCAGCCUAUUUUUUUAUUUUUUUAAUAAUGCAGAUCUGUUUAAAUUCGCUCCCACCGGGAGUCGAACCCAGGUCUGCUGGUGCUACUCAGGUGCUCUAACUACUAGGCUAGAGGCCCUUUCGCGGCAAAGGUAUAAUUGGUUAGGAGCUUUUUGGUUUGCACUCAAGACACCAUAGAGGGUGUGAGUGAUUUAGGAUUGAUAGUCGUACUAUUGAGAGGGGUAAAACUCGUAUUGAAAUGUGGUUGUCAAAGUGCCACUAGAUGCUCUAACUCAUUGUAUAUGUAUUAGGAUCUAGUGAGUGCGCUAACUUCUUUUAGAAAAAUGUUUAUGAAAAUACUAACACGCUUGCACAUGGUGAUCUGCACUUGGUGGUGUUGGCAUAUUUACAAAGGAGGUGGAGUUUGAUGGGUUGAGAGGGGUUUGAGAUCCUCUCUCCCUUGGUGGUGUUGGCACAUUUGCAAAGAAGGUGAAACUUGAUUCGGCGCUUUUGGGAAAAUAAUUUGUAUAUUUUCUACUGCACCAGAGAUGGACUUGAAGUAGUGGCGAAGUCGUGGUAGUGUCUUGCACUGAAAUAGUGCACUAGACACUGGUGCUAAGAGCACCGGACGCAGGGGCUUUGUCCGGUCAGUUCUAACUGGCAAGCACUCUAAGGGUUUACCAUCGGACACUAAGCACCGAAUGUUGGCUGAACAAGCAUUUGGUCUACGUGACAUGGCGAGUCUGUGCGAGCCGUGUUGCACCAGACGCUGUGGUGCGUCUAGUCACUAGGCACCGGACGCCUCCGGUGAUGAAAAACAUGUUUCGGAUCCUCUCUGAGUAGCAACCAAACACUGGGUGCCGAGUUCAGUCGGUGCGUCCGGUGUGAACUUAACCAUUGAGAUCUUACGAUGCGACCUUCAAAGGUAGAGGACAUGUGGCGAGAAUCCAUGCAUCGGACGCUGAGGGCUGCGUCCGGUCGUUUGCACCAGAGCGUCCGGUGGCCCCGUGUUUUGAGAAGAUGGAGAGCCAACGAGUCUAUUUCUUUGAGGGGCCUAUAAAAGGUGGUUGUCUAGCUUGGGCUCAUACCUUUGGCCAUUUUCAUUGACAUAGCAACCUUGUAAGCCUAGCGAAUAUACUCCCACUCAAUUGCAUCAUUAUUUGAUCAUCCUUGUGAGAUUGGAAGAGCAUCCAAGUGCAUUGCUUGAGUGUUUGCAUCUAGAGGAACUUGGUGAUCGUGUUUCGUUGCGGGAUUUGCUUGCUACUCUUGGAUGUUUGCCGACUCCUAGACGGCUUGGUGCAGCAAGGAUCAUCAAGCAGAGGUUGGUGAUUGUCUCCGGCUCCGAUCGUGGUGAUUGUGAGGGGUUCUUGACCUUUCCCUGACGGAGAGCCAAAAAGUAUUCUAAUGAAUUGCUCGUGGCUUGUGUGAUCCUCAUUUUGUGUUGGUUGUGCGGCACCUAUGAGGGUUUGGCGUGUGAUGGCAAUUAGCUCGUGAACCUUCAAGCAAGUGAACCUUGGUACAAAAUCAUUGUGUCAACAUUUGAUUCCUAGGUGAUUGGUCUUGAUUGACAUUCUCUAUUGUGAUUGAUUGGCUCAUUCCUCUAUGCUGUGGUAUAUCAAUCCUAACCCCUCUUGGUAUUACUUUGCUAGCUAGUUUGUGUAGCUCUCUUGCUUAGCUUAGCUUAUCACCUAGGGGUAAGUAGUGACAUAGUCUUGGUGUGCUUCCUUAGAGACUAUAGAAACUAUAUUAGGUAGGAGGCUUUCUUCGACAUUGUAGAGCUAGUGCCAAAUUCGCUUCGCCAUCUUAUAUACUAAUCAAGUGCUUUUAGUGUUGUUGUAAAAAAUUUUAUUAGGCUAUUCACCCCCUAUAGCCAUUAGGACCUUUCACUUGGUCAAUCAUAUCGCAUCUUACCAAACAAAGAGACCAUAAAAAAUGAAGAUUGGAGACAAGCAAUAAAGAAGAAGGAAAUUUAUAAAUACAGUUGUUGUCAAUAGAAUAGAUGGUCCGACCAAUCAGAGAAGUGUGCUAGACUUUCUAUAGUGUUGUCUGGCCAUCACUUGUGCAGGGACACUGUGCAAAUGCAUAGUCUAGACGAUCUAGUAAGUAUUAAAGAAGUUCUAGAAUUGAACAAUCUGACAUCAUCCAAUCUGCAACGACUAGUACUUCAAUGGUCACAACUGACUAGAUAUUCUGAUAGAAGCAUAAUCUAUGAGCACUAGAUCGUCAGCGUUGUUUUUCGACAAACUUUGGCUAAUGGCCAUAUGAGAAAUGGAGGAGUUAUAUAUACUCCGUUCUAUCAUUUUGUGGUGGUUGGAUGUUGUUGAAGUUUCCCAUGGCUACUAGAACUAAAGCAAGAGAUUGUUUAAUCCAUCCACCCUCUCAAAUGCAUGUUGAUCACAUCCAAGACAUAAGAUAGAGUCUAGCAUUUAUCUUUGAGGGUGUUAGGCAUGAGAGCAUGAGAGCUUCAGAGUUAGGGUUGUUGAGCUCUUGUAAUACUAGAUCAUACCCCGCGCAUUGCUGCGGAAACAUAUAAUUGGAAUGUAGGAAAAACAGGAGAGAAUACACGAUACUUACUAAUCAAACAUACGACAUGGGUACUUCAUAUGGGCCAAUAAAGACUCGAUGUGGUAUGAGCAUUCAUAAACAUCCGGCUUUUGGCCAAGGAGAUGGAACCUCUCAGUGCUUACCAGGGGCCAUGCAGCAGCGCAGGGAGGAGCUCGAUGGUGGCGAUCUUCCUGGCGGUAGCAGCUACAACGUGCGCGUCACCACUAGUGAACAUGCAGCGAUCAUUGACCAAUGACAGCACCUUCUACUUCCUAUGGAGGGGCAGGAGAGAUUCAUUUUACGCCGUAGGCGAUUGAUGCAUGCGUAAUGGUGCUGGCGUUUCAAAUGAGGAUGCAUGCGUAAUGGCUAGUGGGUGAGGUGUAUGUGAACCCUUGCAAUUUUGUAUGCACAUGCACAUGCACAUGCGUUAGGCUUUAAUUUGGAGGCAUACGUGUAGAUGUGGGACCCUCGGAUGACGUGGCUGCAUGAGAAUGCAGGGAAAAUAUGGUAGUGGGGAUCUCCUAUUUAGGCAUAGAGGAUUGGUGAGCUAGAGAACUUGGGUUGUGUUGCUGACCUUGCAAUGACAUUAACCCUCUGAGCUUGGUAUUGAGCAGUGGCAACUUAAUGUGCAUGGGAUGAGGAGACUCCUUCCUUAUUAGAGAAGCUAUGCUUCCUUACUAGAGAAGCUACAUAGAGUGCACACAACAUCAAAGGUGACCAGGAAAGUGUGGUGGUAAGCUUUAAUGGGUUGCGACACUUUUCUUGGUUAUGCAAGCCUUUGUGGAAAGCUCAACACCAUUACCAAGGGAUGAAGCUUUAGUGACAGGGAGCAUACCACAUGGGAUCUCUAGUGUGCAUUAGGGGUUGUGGUUUGGCAACUGAUAUCAUGGGAUACAUUAUUGUCUCUAAUUAAGAGUUUGACCUAUCUUGACUUGCUAUUUACGUACCACAUUAGGCCUCUAUAUUGUGCUUGACUUGUGUGGCAUUUACCUUUUAUUAAUCAGUAUAAGGUAGUUAAUAGGAUUGACUCUAGGUUGCAAAAGUCUUUGGGGGUGUAGGUAGGUAGAGUACACUAGAAAAACUUAUGGUGCAUAUCAUGCUAUACUAGUUUAUAUUUUUUCUAGUGAAAUUCAAGUAGACCCCCAAACUCCAAUCACUAGUGGCAACCUCUAAGGGAACCUCUAAGAGUAAGCUCUCAAGCUUGCAAAACAAUCACUAUAGCGCCGUUGGAUCGCUCAAGUAAAUGCACUAGAUCAUUCCAAUAAAAAAUUACCAAUCAAGUAGAUGCUAUCUCUCACUGAUUCAAUUGGUAACAUAUAUUGCCAGGCAUUAGAUUUCAGAAACUGUUUAGCACUAUCUAAAGAGGGAUGGUUGAAGUAGCAUCAUGGUAAAAAAAGUCCAUCCAAUGGGCUGGGAUACAUAUAUAGUGGCAUUUUCCCUGCCAAGAUUCAUUAAUACAUAAUAGUAAAUUUGUAGAUUAUAUGAUGUUCAUUAUUACAAUAUAUUUAAGAUGCCAAGAUUUUCCACUUGGACUUCACAACAAGAGUGAAAAAUAUAAAGAGGCCAAAGCCGAGGAAAUUACAUAAACAUGCAUAUAGUGAAAACAGGUGGUGUCAGUUUUCAGCAUCUCCAUCCAAAACUGACAAAACGCCACCAUCCGGAAGCUGUGAUUAUUAUUGCCGUGCAGUACUCUGCAGGUGAGUGAAGGGGAAGCGGCCUAGCCGGUGUUCUGCAUGCCGGCGGCGAUACCCUUCAUGGUGAGGAUGAGCGUGUCUUCCAGCCCCGGCGGGUACUCGCUCGCCGGGUUCAGCUUCACCAGUCCGGCGGGCUUGUUCUCGUCGGCGAACUCCUUGGACAGCGGCGGCUGCGGCGUCACCUUGAAGCUGGGGUCCCUUAUCCGCUUCAGCGUGUAGGCCUGGAACACGUUCAGGGUGGUGAUGUAGGGAUUGCGCAGACGCAGCCCCUGCUUCAGGUAAGGAUCGCCUUCAAGAAUGUCCUUGUGCCCAGCGAUCUGCAACAAAAAAAAAGUACAGUACAUGAAUAUAUAUAUAUAUAUAUAUAUAUAUCGUGCAGUCUGCAGUGCAUGAAUAUCAUUCCUGCAGUGAACUUGCUGGUAAAAAAAAAGGUACCUGUAGGAGAAGCUGCUGUGUCUCCACGUAUUUGUCCCUGAGCUGCUUCCCAAAGGGCUUGAGUUCCUCGGCGACAAGCAGCUCGUCGUACAAGCCGGCAAUGCCAGGGUCUCCCUUGGCGAAAACCAUCUCCAGCAGGUCCAGGGUGACCCUGAAGAAUGGCCACUCGUUGUACAUCUCCUUGAGCUUCUGGAAGUUCUUGAUGUCCUUGUCGAUGGCCCACUUGAAGGCGGCGCCGACUCCCAGCCACACGGGGAGGUGGAACCUCGUCUGUGUCCACGAGAAGAUCCAGGGGAUGGCACGCAGGGUGGUGAUGCCGCCGCCCGGCUUCCUCUUGGCUGGCCUGCUGCCGAUGUUCAUCUUCCCGUACUCAGUCUCAGGGGUAGCCUGACAGAGAAAGACAGACGAAUGAAUUAUAACGACGACAUGGAUGAAUGAAUUCGAUUAUUCGAUCGAUCUUCACCAAACAUCAAACAAAUAUAUGAUGGCAUACCGAUCUGAAGUACUCGACGAAUCGCGGCUCCUUGACGACGACGGAGCGGUACUCCUCCGUGGCGACGACGGCCAUCUCCUCCAUGAGCUUGCGCCACUCGGGCUUGGGAGACACCGGCGGGUGCAUGCCGUGCUCCAGCGUGGCGGCCGUGAACCGCUGCAGAGACUGGAAGCACAGGUUCUCCUCCCCGAACAUGAACUCGAUGACCUCGCCCUGCACCGUCACACGGAUGGACCCGUUGAUGGUGUCCGGCGGCUGGGACAGGAUGGCGAGGUGCGUCGGGCCACCGCCCCUGCCGACGGUGCCACCGCGGCCGUGGAACAAGGUCAGCUUCACGCCGUACUUCUUGGCCACCUUGGCCAUCUCCUCCUGCGCCACGUACAGCUGCCACGCCGCGGACAGGCGGCCGGCGUCCUUGCCGGAGUCGGAGUAGCCGACCAUCACCUGCUGCUUGCCGUUGAUGUGGUUGAUGUACCAGUCAGUGGAGAAGAGCUUCUCCACGGACGCCGGCGCCGCCUGCAGGUCGGCCAGCCUCUCGAACAGCGGCACCACGGGGAGCGUCUGGCGAAUGCCACACUCGCGCUGCAGGAGCUCGACGGCGAGCACGUCCGAGGGCGCCGUGCACAUGGAGAUGAUGUAGGGGCCGAAGCUGUCGAUCGGGAGCUCGGCCAGGACGCGCAUGGCGCCG
RNAcentral lists this long non-coding RNA (98524 nucleotides) under Sorghum bicolor (sorghum). RNAcentral describes it as "long non-coding RNA (SBIC_LNC018062)". The record is from RNAcentral. Lineage: Eukaryota; Viridiplantae; Streptophyta; Magnoliopsida; Poales; Poaceae.